CUGCAGAGGCUGCUACAUGCAAAGGAGUAUGGAAAAAAGGUACAUCAUCGAUACGCUGAAAAACAUAUGGAUCAUUCAGAAUUAACUCAUACAAGAUGUUUAUGUCUCCUGUUUGUGCAGCACCUAUCAUCCUCUCAUCCAUAGCAAGGUGCGGAAAUUUGCAGAAUAUAGAAAUGGAGUGAAGAAAAAACGCUUUAGCAGACGAUGUGAUUAUGUUAAGGAUAUACUGAAGUGUUUGAUUAUUUUUUCCAGAUGGAGUGUGUGACAUUUUAUAGCACUUAAUUAUUUUGGAUUUAUAUGUGAUGUCAGCCACUACACGUAUACAUGUGAAUGUCACCUAUUAGAAAGAAAUAGUAAUUAUAUUUAGUAAUUAAAUUCAUAUUUAAUAUAUAUUUUUAAUCUAAUUUUUUAACUCAAUUUAAUUUUAGUUAAAACGUUUAAAAACAUUUAUUUAAUUUCUUUAAUAUAUUAAAUAAAUUGAAUUAGAGAAUAUAUUAAAUAUGGAUGAAUACUAUAUCAUACUAAUUUUAUGUCUCUAAAAAUUAAUAAGGUGUCAUUAUUUUAUUGGUGCUUAAAAAAUUAAAAUAUUUAGAAUCAUCCUAAUAUAAGUUAUUCUAUUAAUAAUAAUAUUUUGUACUCCCACGAGUAAGUUCAAUAGUUUGACAAAUAUCUUAUAAAAGUAUAGUAAAAUAUAAAAAAAAUUAUUUAGUGACUUAAUUUUUUAAGAACAUUUGAUAAUUUAUAAAGAAAAUAAAUAAUAAUUUUUUUCAAUAAAAAAAGUGUGAAAAAAUGAUAAGUAGAUAAUAACUAUUAUCACUUACAACAUGUUUGGAUUAAAAAGAUAGAAAAAAGGAGGGAAAAUUAAGUAAAAUGAGGGAAAGAAAAUUCGGUUUCUUUGUUUAAGUUAAGUAAAUAUCGUAUUAUUAGAUUUUAUAUUUUAGGGUCUGUUUGAUUGAAGGAAUUGAUUUUCCGGAAAAUCAUUUCCAACUUUUCCAGCAUUUGAUUGGCGGAAAACAUUUUCCAUUUGGAAAAUGAACUCCAAAACAUGGGAAAAUGGGUUACAUUUUAGGGAAAAUGUCUUACCCUUUCAAUUUCCGUAAGACAUUUUCCGUGCUCUCCUCUCUAUCGCCUCAUUCAUUCCUUCCUUCAUUUCCGGUAAAAAAUUGUUACUGUUUAUCGAUUUUCUAGUAACUUGUUUUUUUAAUUAUUCAAUACUUGUUUUUUUAACACAAUUACAAAUAAUUUAUUUGAUAUUAAUUUUUUUCAAUUUAUAAUGAUUAAUAUUGUAGCUUAAUAAUUGAGUAUUAUUAUAAAUAAAUCAUUGCAAUAUAUGUAAAAAUAAUUUAAAAUAUAAAAAAUUAUUAAUAUAUAUCAAUAUAUGUAAAAACAAUUUUUUCGAAAAAUAUUUCCAAGAAAUCUGCCAAACAGCCGAAAAUAUUUUACACAGAUUUAAUCAAACACCAGAAAAUAUUUUCCACUAAAUCAUUUUACAGAAAAGUAAAAUAUUUUCCCGAAAUCAUUUUACGGAAAAUAUUUUACUGGCAAUCAAACAGACCCUUAGAUUAUUAUCUCUUCUUCUUCUUCUUCUUUUAACUUGUAACCAUCUUAUUUUUAUUUUUUAUUUGUUUAGGUUACUAGAAAUAUUUAAUUUUAAAUUUGUUUGAUAUAUAUUUUUAAAAAUUUUAACAAUAUUUUUUAUUAACUAUUUUGUUAAAUUAUUAGGAAUCCUUCAUUUGUAAUUUGGUUAGGAUAUAUUUUUUAGUUUGAUCAAAUAAGCUUAUUUAAAAAAAAAGAGAAUAUACCAAUAUAUUAUUGGUUAACAUUUUAAUUAUUAUUUUAUAUAGACUAUUGAUAUUGUUCUAUAAUUUUAAUUUGCUGUGAUUUAAUUUUGUUAUUAUAUAUUAUUUAUGAACUGUUAAAAUUAAAAAAUAAAAGUAAAAUAAUUCAUUUUCUUUCCUUUUCACAGUUUAGCAAAACAAGUCCACAAGGUCGCCCCAUUCAACAAAAAUUAAAUUGUUUAAAUAUAUAUAUGUAUAUAGGGACUAGUUUUAACAAAUGAAAAAUAUAGAAAAACUACAUUAAAAAAAUGGAGAAUGGAGGAAAACAGAGGGAGAAGCAGAAGACAAUAAAAAAUAAAGGAAAGUUAAAAGAACAUAAAAAAAAUUAAAUUGAAUUGCUCAAAAUGAAAAAAAUAUGGGGAUCAGUUGUAUAAAUCACCCUAAAUUUUUUGUUUGAAAGAUGAUUUAACAUGUCACAUCAGCUUAUCGUUAUAUGGUUAACGGAAAUUAACAGCUCAGUGACUAAAAUGUUACAACGCGAUAACGUAAGUGACUAAAAUGUAACAUUUCAAACAUAAAUGACUAAAAUGUAAGCAAAAGUGACUAUUUUAAUAAUUUACCCUUACAUUUAUCUAAACAUACUCUUAAUGUAAACAUUUUUCAAUUAUUUUUAUUUCAUUUUAUUUUUAACCAUUAUCCAUUAUCCUUACUUUAAAAAGUAUAAUUAAUAAAUCGUAUAAUUAUUUUUCAAAAUUAAUUUUAAGUAAUACACCAAAUAGAUUUUAUAACUUAAAUUUAAUAUUUAAGUUUAUAAUAUUUUUUUAUCAAACAACAUUUACUCCUAAGUAAAUAAAUAAAUAAAGGCCUUGUGUAAUUAAGAAAGUUGAGAAAGGGUUAAUCCUCACAUGGAAAAAAUUGGCUACAAUAAUGAAGGAAAGAGAAAAACACUAAGGAAUAUCCAAUAAUUGGGAGGCAAUAUGUCAAUUAUGAGCAUACCCCAUACUGUCAAUGGUGAUGGAUGAAUUGUCUACUAUACAUGGAUUUUGUUUUCCCUUUUUUUUUUCUUUUUUUUUUGUUCUUGUCCUGUAUUAUUUGGAUUUGAGAUCCCAAGCUAUGUAUGUCAUCACAUUUUAAAUAUAUAUAUAUAUUUAUUAUGUAUUGAAUAUCAGUUUUAUUGGUAUAAAUAUUAUUGUUAAUGUAUGAGAAUAUAGGUUCAAGUGUGCACUACACCAAAACAGGCUUUUAGCGGCGUUUUGAGCGAAGACGCUGCUAAAAAUCGAGAAAUAGCAGCGUUUUAGGAAAAGCGCCGCUAAAGAGUGAGCAUUAGCGGCGUUUAAGUAAAAGUGCCGCUAAAGAGUGAGCAUUAGCAGUGUUUAUAAAAAACGCCGCAAAUAAUACACCUAGACGGUGCCGUUUUAUGUCCUUUCGGGGGAAUUAGUGGCGUUUUUUGUAAAGCGCCGCUAAGGCUAAGACUUUUAGUGGCGUUUUUUGAAAAUCGUCGCUAAUCUAGGUGUUUUAGCGGCGUUUUUUGUUUAUGCGCCGCAAAAAUAAUUUAUCUUAAUUGAACUAUUAUUUAUAUUGUUUAAAUCAAAUUAAACAUAUUUCUAAUAGAAUAUUUAAAAUCUUCAAUAAAAAAUUACAGGUAUAAAUAAUUUGAAAUAAAACACAUGGAAAAAUUAAAAUAGUAUUAUUUAAAAUAAUUUUAAAGUUUGUUGGGUACAUUACUGAUUGUUUUUUAAUUUAUAUAUUAAAAAUUUGAAAUUAUUAUCGUAAUUAAAAGAGAUAGUAUUAAUUUAAAUUUAAAAUAUUGAAUUAAGCGUAUCACUAUAGUUAAUAUAGGGUUUUAGGUUUUAGGGGUAUAUAUAUGAUAUUAUUAAUUUAAGAUUUUAAGUCGAUUUAGGGGUUACUAUUUUAAGGUUAUUAUUAUAAUUGAUCAGGAGUAUAUAUAUAAUAUUUGAUUUAAGGAUAUGGUUUAAGGGCUGAGAUAUAAUGUUUAGGGGUUAGGGCUGGGGUUAGCACUUAGGGGCUAUUAAUUAGGAGUUAAUUAAGGAUUUAGGGUUUAGUUAGGGGUUGGGUUAGGGAACGUAGGGUUUUAGAUUAAUUAGUAUUGCCAAAUUAUAUUUUAAAUAUGUUCUUAUAUAUAUAAUUGUAAAAGAGGUAAUAAUAAAUUUGUUUAGGAUUUUUCGGUUCGGUAUAUGAUUUGGUUUCGGUAUAUUAUUAAUUUAAAUACGAAUUUGAAUAGUAAUGCUCAAAUAUAUAAUUCAUGAAUAACACUUAAAUACUUAAAUAAAUUUGUGAAUUUGAAUUGAAAUCAUCCAAAAUAUGCAUAUACCUGAGUCGGUAUCUUUCCUAUUUUGAUCACUUCAAUAAAAAAAUCCCAUAUAUAUAUAUUUAGUACUCCUUAUUUGUUUUCAUUAAUUUAUCUAUUUGAUGAAGAUCAAUAUAUAAAUUAGUUAAUUAGACAAAUUUAUUCAUUUAUCAAUAAAAUANNNNNNNNNNNNNNNNNNNNNNNNNNNNNNNNNNNNNNNNNNNNNNNNNNNNNNNNNNNNNNNNNNNNNNNNNNNNNNNNNNNNNNNNNNNNNNNNNNNNAAUAUUAUAAAUUUCAAAUUUUAUACAAAAAAAUAAAUAUUAUAAAGAUAAUAUUGUUUAUUGCUACUUUAUACAAAAAGUUUUUAGUAUUAAUUAUUCUUUAAUCAAUUAUAACUAUUUUAUGAUAUUUAUUAAAGAUUUAGGGAUUAUUUUGGAUGGCCGUGCUAUUUUAAGGAUUAGGGGUACAGAUUUAGGGUUUGGGAUAUAAGAGUUAUCUAGGGGUUUAGGGGUUACAAGUUAUGAUUUAGGGGUUAAAGAUUUAAGGUUUAGGGGUUUAGGGGUCGGAUAAGGAUUUUAGGUUAGUUUAGAUUAAUUUCUUUAAAUAAUUUUUUAAAAAACCAAUCUAAAGUACCAAUUGAUAUAUUUAAAUAUUAUUUUAAAUAGAAUUCAUAAAUAAGUUAAAAAAUAUAUUGAUUUAUAUUAUAUGGAUAUGGUUAUAUAUAUUUAGGUAUAAUUAUUUAUUUUGGAAAUAUAUAUAUAGGACCAAAUACAUAAGAAAUGAAGUAAAAAAAUAAUAAAAAAUUUUAAAACGGCGCCGUUUUCGAAUGAAUAGUUAAACUUUUAGUGGCGUUUUAACUAUUAAACGCCGCAAAUAUGGGAAAGCAGUCGUGGCGUUUGUACAAGAAACGCCGCAAAAGUGUCUUUAAAAUUUGAGUAAACGACACCAUCUGUCUACACGAUUUUUAACUUAUAAAAAGUUUAGAAUUAUUUACUUGAAACGUCACCAUUUGGCUUGUUGUACGUUAAGUAUUAGUGGCGUUUUUACAAAAAGCCACAAAAUGUACAAUUUGAGAACCAAAAAACAGCGCCGUUUCUGCAUACAGGUUUAAAUUUUUAUGGCGUUUUCGCAAAAACGCAGGAAAUUUAGGAAGCAAUAGCGGCGUUUUUCAGUAAACGCCGCAAAAGGGUAUUAAAAUAAUGUCUAAACGGUGCCGUUUCUGUACAUGAUUUGUAACUUAGAAAAAUUUUAGAAUUAUUUAUUCAAAACAUCAAUUAAGUAUUCGUGGCGUUUUUACACAAAACGCAACUAAUAAUACAAUUUGAGACUAGCAAAACGACGCCAUUUCUGUUUAAAACUUGAACUUUUAGUGGCGAUUUUAUAUCAAACGCCGCAAAUGGGUUUUAAAAAAAUGGGUAAACGGCGUCAUUUCUGUACAGUAUAUUUUACUUUGACAAAAUUUAGUGGCAUUUGUGCUUAAAACGCCAGAAAUAAUGCAAUUCCAGACCACGAAAACGGUGUCGUUUCUGUUCACAGCUGUAAUACGUAGUGGCGUUUUUAGGAAAACGCCGGAAAUGUGGAAGAAGUUGCGGCGUUUGUACCUAAAACGCCGCAAAACGAUGUUAAUAUAAUGGCUAAACGACAUCGUUUCCGUAACCGAUUUUUAACUUAUAAAAAUCUUAGAAUAAUAUAUUUAAAACGUCACCAUUUGGCUUAAAAUAGAUUAAGCAUACAGGUUUAAAUUUUUAUGGCAUUUUCGUAAAAACGCAGGAAAUUUAGGAAGCAAUAGCGGCGUUUUUCAAUAAACGCCACAAAAGGGUAUUAAAAUAAUGUCUAAACGGCGCCGUUUCUGUACAUGAUUUGUAACUUAGAAAAAUUUGAGAAUUAUUUAUUCAAAACAUCAAUUAAGUAUUUGUGGCGUUUUUACACAAAACGCAACUAAUAAUACAAUUUGAGACUAGCAAAACGACGCCAUUUCUGUUUAAAACUUGAACUUUUAGUGGCGAUUUUAUAUCAAACGCCGCAAAUGGGUUUUAAAAAAAUGGGUAAACGGCGUCAUUUCUGUACAGUAUAUUUUACUUUGACAAAUUUUAGUGGCAUUUGUGCUUAAAACGCCAGAAAUAAUGCAAUUCCAGACCACGAAAACGGUGUCGUUUCUGUUCACAGCUGUAAUAUGUAGUGGCGUUUUUAGGAAAACGCCGAAAAUGUGGAAGAAGCUGCGGCGUUUGUACCUGAAACGCCACAAAACGGUGUUAAUAUAAUGGCUAAACGACAUCGUUUCCAUAACUGAUUUUUAACUUAUAAAAAUCUUAGAAUAAUAUAUUUAAAACGUCACCGUUUGGCUUAAAAUAGAUUAAGUAUAAGUGGCGGUUUUUAUUAAACGCCACAAAAAAUGCAAUUUCAGAGUAACAGAACGGCGCCGUUUCUGUUAAAAGGUUUAAUUUUUUGUGGCGUUUGGUCUAUAAACGCCAGAAAUUUGGAAUAAGUAGUGGCGUUUUUUCAAGAAACGCCGCAAAUGUGUUUUAAUAUUUUUUUCUCAACGAUGCCGUUUCCGCAGAUGUUCUUUAACUUAGCAUUUACACUCGACAAAGCACAAAAAGCAAAAGCCAAGUGCAGAGGCCAAUUGGGAAGGGGAAAAAACCUAAGAAAAAAAUCUAAGGAAGAAAGUGGAGGAGAAAUCAGAAAUCAUCAAAAAGGAAGCAACGAUUGCGUCAUUCUUGACAGUAGUUGCAGAAUUUCUGGUUAAAAGGUAUGCGUUUAAUCCUUCUGAAGAACAUCGUCUUGAUUUAGGGUAAUUUUGGGUGCAUUGUGUUUUGCAAAUUUGGGGUUUAGGAAAAAAAUUUAGAUUUUAGGGUUUGCGGUUUAGGUUAAAACACCAUUCUUGUUUGGGAAUUUGGGGAACUUGUAAAUUAUUUAUUUAGCAAUUUAAAUAGAAGGGUUUAUUUAGGAAAAAUUUGUGUAUUUAGGGGUUGCCUGAAUACAAAUAUGGGUCCUUAACACAGCCUGUUGUUUCUCCAUUACAGCGAUUUUUGGAGAAGCAUAAAAGGGUAAGGACAGCCCUUCUGGUUGUGGUAGUAUUUGGUGCUUCUAUGGUCAUCUUUAUGGCUGUGGAUUCUAGAGUUUAAUCUCGGUUCCUCUUAAACAUAUGUGGCAACUAGGACAAUAAGCAAAACUAUUAAUCAUGACAGUAUAUAUGAUUAUGGAUGGUGCUAGUGAGCUUGAGAAUACAUUCCCUUUAAUAGCUCUACUAAUAUUUUGCAUAUGGACUAGACAAGAGAUACCAAUAAAUAACUCGUCUGGUCUUACACCUGAAAGACUCAAAUUAACACAGAUUUAAACCCAAGCUAGCUGGUGAAGGUUAAACAAACCAUUUUCCUAAAAUUUUCUUGGCUGAGCCAUUAUUCGGACCAUGCAAUCAUUGUUGCAAUAGUGCAUAAUUAUGUUUGAUUCGUUUAGUGUGCUUAUUUCUCAGCUGGACAUAGUUGAUCUCCCAUGACAGAGUUAUGGAUACUGAUAUCAGAAGUUCUUUAAUGAACAUAGUGGUGUCAUCCUAACUUCCACAUUACUUUGAUAACUUUAAUUGGUUGCAUUAUUCCUCCUAUCUAUAGUAUAUUGUUUGUGGUGGAUGGUUUGACAUGUCUCAGUGCUGAUGUUUCAUUAUUCAAAUAAGAUUUUUAAUUUUGGAUUUUGUUAUAUUUAAGCUUUAUACUAAUUUUUUCCUAGUACUAACUUACUUGUGUUUUCCUUUUUAUUUUUUUUUUGCAGUAGUUUGCUUCGAAGUCCAGGAAAUUGAGGUAUUUAUUCCUAUGUUUCCCACCUUGGUUUUCUUAAAAAAACACCUCCAAAUGUUUAAAUUUUGGAUUUUGUUAUAUUUUAUCUAUGUACUUUAAUUAUUAUUUUUGAGUUUUAAAAGGGAGUUUUAAUUAAGAAUUUUUUUUAAGUUGUGGGUAUCGGUUUUAAUUAUCAUUUUUGAUUUAUAUGUUGCUAGCUCAAUUUGCAUGUUACUUUGCCAAAUUUUUCCAUAACUGCAAGGUAUAAAUUAUGAUUGUAAAUCUUGUACGUAUUUUUUACCCAAGCAAAAACAAUUACGCAAAUUAUUAAAAUUCUUAAAUCACUUUAUAUAUUGGAGUAAGUGAAUAAAUUAUGGGCGAAUAGUGGAUUCGUUUUAAAGUGAACAAAUUAUCGAUUUUCAAUUUUAUGCCAAUUAAUAAAUUAUCGACGUUAGUUCUCAUUUAUGCAAUUGAAUGUUAAUGUUUAAUAAUAUAUGAUUAUUCAAUAAAUUGAUCUAUUAAUUGAUUGAAUGUCAAUGAAUUAUCAAUUUUUGUAAGUUAAUUUGGUUAAAUUUAUUACUUAAAUACAUUACUUACUAAAAUUUGUUUAAAUUUAUUACUUAAAUAUGUUACUUAAAUACAUUACUUACUAAAAUUUAAGUAUAUAUUACAUUACUUACAUAACUUGUUAAAAUAUAUUAUAAUUUUAAAAAUAAUUAUAAUUAAGAUACAUAAAAGUGCAAUACUUACAUCAUACAUUAUUUACACAACCAAAAAUUGAAAUUUACAAGAACUUACAUAACUUGUUAAUAUUUAUAUAAACUUACAUAACUAUCACAUAAACUUACAUAAUAUNNNNNNNNNNNNNNNNNNNNNNNNNNNNNNNNNNNNNNNNNNNNNNNNNNNNNNNNNNNNNNNNNNNNNNNNNNNNNNNNNNNNNNNNNNNNNNNNNNNNNNNNNNNNNNNNNNNNNNNNNNNNNNNNNNNNNNNNNNNNNNNNNNNNNNNNNNNNNNNNNNNNNNNNNNNNNNNNNNNNNNNNNNNNNNNNNNNNNNNNNNNNNNNNNNNNNNNNNNNNAUACAUUAUUUACAUAUUAACUUACAUAAGUUAUCUACAAGCUUGUGGUUAAACUUGCAUAACUUACAUAAUAACAUAACAACUUACAUAAUACAUAGCAUACAUAACUUACAUAACUUACAUAAUACAAAACUUACAUAACUUAAAUAUCUUACACAACUUACAUAACGUACAUAAUACAUAACUUACAUAAUACAUAAUAACUUACAACUUACAUAACAUACAUGACUUUGAUAACUUACAUAACUUACAUAAUACACAACUUGUUAAGCUUACUUAAUACAUAACUUACAUAACUUAUACACGUACAUAACUUACAUAAUUUACUUAAUACAUAAAUAUAUAUCAUAUGAUAUACUUACAUAACUCAUUUAUACUUACCACUCAACAACUUACCCUUGUAAUUUCUGGUGAAAAUCAGACGUCAAGAAAUAAGAAAUGGACCGGUCUUGGAUGAAUUUAUCAAGGGUAAGUGACGGUUAUCGAAAUGGAGUACAGACUUUUCUAAAUUUUGCAUUUCAAUAUGCAAGCCAGGAGAACAUGAUUCUUUGCCCGUGUAAGAAGUGUGUCAACAUAAACUCGCAUUAUCGUGAAGUGUGUCAAUAUGAAAACGAUGGGUUUGUUCGGGGUUAUAAACAAUGGUUUUUUCAUGGAGAAUGCCCGCCUAGUACUUCCUCAUCAAGGAUGGAUGUAUCUUAUGACAGUACUACUUACCAUCAGUCUGUUAGAGGGGAUGGCAUGGAAGGGAUGUUGCGGGAAGCAUUUAAUAUUCACAACCAUGGUUUACAGUCGUUCCCAGCCGACUUUGUGGCACCUGAUGAUUGUAAUAUCGGUGGAAAUGCUUUUACCGAACCUGAAAGAAGUGUACAUCAUGAAGAGCCGAAUGGAGAAGUGGCAAAGUUCUACGUGCUACUUAAUGACAUGAAUGAAGAACUGUUUGAGGGAUCAAAAUUCUCGAAAUUAUCUUUCUGUAUUCGUCUUUUCCAGUUAAAGUGUUUGGGAGGGUGGACCGGGAACUCUUUAACAAUGCUGUUAGAGUUUCUGAGAGAGAUGUUUCCGUUUGCAAAAAUCCCUCAAUCAUGCAAAGAUAUAAAGAAAAUGAUAAAAGAUUUAGGUCUUGGGUACACCAAAAUCCAUAGUUGCCCGAAUGACUGCAUGUUGUAUUGGGGCGAUCGAAGAAACCAGCAAUGCUGUCACAUAUGCGGCCAAUCACGUUGGAUAAAUAGAAACACAGAAGAUGGGAACGACGAUGAAAAUGAUACACUGGCAAGAAAGAAGCCGGUCAAGAUUUUGUGGUAUUUUCCGCUCAUACCAAUGCUUCAAAGGCUUUUCAUGUCGUCGAAGACAGCGGAGUCUAUGACGUGGCACCAUGAUGGACGAACCGAUGAUGGGAAGAUGAGGCAUUCAGCAGAUUCUUUAGCUUGGAAAUCAUUUAACAAUAAAUUUCCAAGCUUUGCAAGCGAUCCUAGGAGUGUAAGGCUUGGCUUAGCAUCUGAUGGAUUUAAUCCGUACAAGAUCAUGAGUACUGCGUACAGUACUUGGCCAGUAGUGCUUGUUGCUUACAAUCUGCCUCCGUGGAUUUGCAUGAAGCAAUCUUCCUUUAUCUUAUCUAUGAUUAUCCCUGGAGAGAAAGGGCCCGGGAAUGAUAUCGACAUUUAUUUACAGCCACUUAUUGAAGAGUUAAAACAAUUGUGGGCUGGUGUCGAGACAUACGAUCUGCUGAGAAAGGAGAACUUUAAUCUACGUGCAGCUUUGAUGUGGAUCAUUAAUGACUUUCCCGCUUAUGCCAAUUUAUCCAGUUGGAGUACAAAGGGUCGUUAUGCGUGUCCUUGUUGUGCUGCACAAACAUGUUCGCAAUGGUUGUACAAUGGGAAGAAGUUCUCUUACAUGGGGCAUCGUCGGUGGUUACCGGAAAAUCAUAGAUUUAGAUUUCAAAGUUCUGUAUUUGACGGUACUGAAGAGUUCAGAGAAGCUCCUUCGUAGACCAGUGGCUCUGAAAUCUUGUUCAUGUUGGAAGAUAUGAAUUUCAUUUAUGGGAAGAUGAACCAACCGCCAAACACGCAAAGAAGUAGAAGAUCAAACGAUGAAGCUGAUGAUGACUCUGAUGAAGAGGACGAUCCUAAUGAGGCGGACUUGUGGAAAAAAAGAAGUAUUUUUUUUGAGUUGCCUUAUUGGGAGCAUCACCUUUUACGACAUAAUCUUGAUGUUAUGCACAUUAAGAAAAAUGUCUGCGAGAACAUUGUGGGUACAAUUUUGAAUGUCGACGGAAAAUCAAAAGACAAUCUUCAAAGUCGACUUGAUUUAGUACAAAUGGGAAUCCGACCUGAUCGUCAUCCCAAUCCACUUUCGAAUGGGAAAUAUCGGUUGCCGCCAUCUAUUUUUUCAAUGUCGAAGACGGAAAAAGAAGUGUUCUGCACGGUGUUGAAGGAUAUAAAGGUUCCAGAUGCGUAUGCAUCAAAUAUAUCUCGAUGUGUUAGUGUUAAAGAUCGAAGAUUAUAUUCGCUAAAAUCACAUGACUAUCACAUCUUGAUGCAAGAUUUACUGCCAGUGGCUCUACGAUGUUGUAUGUCCAAGAAGGUGACGUCUUGUAUAAUUGAACUAUCCAACAUAAUGAAAGCCAUUUGUGGCAAAGUUUUGGAUGUUCAAGAACUUCGGAAGGUACAAGAUCGAGCCGCUUUGACUUUAUGCAACAUGGAGAAAAUCUUUCCACCUUUCUUCUUCACCAUUAUGGUUCACUUGAUAAUCCAUCUCCCACACGAAGCAAUUCUUGGCGGACCCGUUUUCUAUUGAUGGAUGUAUCCCAUAGAAAGGUGUUAAUUAAAAUUUUUAAAAUUUUCCUUCAUUCACCUCUAUCCUUUAGUUUCAAUAAUUAAGAAAUGUUAUAUAUUGUGUUUAGGUUUCUAUCCAAAUUAAAGUCUUACUGCCGCAACAAGCGAUAUCCAGAAGGAUCAAUUGCAGAAGGCUACUUGGCAGAAGAAUGUAUGACCUUCUGCUCAAGAUAUUUGGAAGAUGUUGAAACAAGGUUAAACAGACCAAAUAGGAAUGCUGGACUCACGGACCAUAACUUAGCCGAUACUUAUUUGUUCCAAAGUUUUGGAGAACCAAUCGACAAAGUUGAAAUUGCAGAAUUAGAUCAUUUAUCGUGGGUACAAGCACAUCGAUAUGUUCUGUUUCACCACGAAUCAUUGGAACCUUUACGGAAGUAAGUUCUACAAAUUUGAUAAAUAUUUAUCAAACUAAUAAUUGUUUAUCUUCUAACAAAGUGAACAUUUUUUUAACAUAGUGAGUACAAACAAAUAUUGAGAUCUCGUUCGCGCUCCCGAAGAAUACAACAUCGAGAUAUCAAUAAGUUGUUUACAAAAUCUUUUUAUGAAUGGUUAAGCCAAACGGUAUGCAGUUCGAGCUUCCGCUUACAAAUAAUAAAAUCUGUUUUCUCAUAACAUUUUUAAUUACUCAGUUUACUUUCCAUUCAAUAGGUUUGGAGUGGGAAGAACGUAAACGACGAAGUUAAAUGGCUCUCCCAAGGUCCAAAUCGAGUGGUUAAAAGAUAUAGUUCGUUCCUCAUCAACGGAUUCAGAUUUCAUACAAAAUAUCGCGAGAGGUUGAGGAGAAUGCAAAAUUGUAGAAUAGUUGUCAAUUCUACAAUUACAAGUUAUGCUAGUGCAAGGGACAAUAAUCCUGUCGAGGGAAAUAUGGAAUAUUUCGGACAUCUUACUGACAUAAUUGAGUUGGAUUACUACGGCAAAUGGAAAGUUGUCUUAUUUCGUAGUGAUUGGGCCGAUGUUAAUACAACUCAUGGAAUUAAGCAAGAUCAAUUUGGUUUUACAAUGGUGAACUUUGACCGAUUGAUUCACACAGGACAACAACUGAUAGAUGAGCCGUAUGUAUUCUCAUCUCAAGUCAAACAAGUUUUUUACUCAAAAGAUCCAACUGAUGAGGGUUGGUACGUUGUACUCCGUAACAUCCCUAGAGACUUGUUUGACAUGGGCAGUGGAAGUAGAGAUAACAUCGACGACAGAUCAGAAACUUUGCCCUUUCCAGAACAAAACUUAAACGAUAAUAUCCCUAGUACUAGUGCACAAUUUCAAUGUGUUCGUCAGGAUACCGAUGAAGAUAUUUACGAAUAAUGAUGUAGUAAGAUUUUACGAUUGUUUAAUUAUAAGUAUUUUGUCAUAAUUUAAAUAUUGGUCUUAUUAUAUAUUUCAACUGUUUUAUAUGUGCUGUUAUUGUUGUAAUUAGUUAUUAAGUUGUCAACUAUUUUAUGUGUAUUGCAGAUAAAAUGCCUAGAAGAAAAAUUCUAAGGGGAAGCAUUGUUCAAAAUGAUCCAAACACGACAGAAACAAAUAGUACUGAACAACAGACAGCAAUUGGAUCUUCGAAUGUUCCGAUUACAGCUGAUGAUCCUACAGAAGUUCAAAGUAAUUUUACAUUUAAUUUACAUGUGUGUUGACUUAUAGUUGAUUUUUUUUUCAAAUUCUUAUAUUAUAAUAUACCAUUUGUAGCUGAAAAUGGUGGGAUGCGCAGAGGUCGAGGACGUACGCUACUUAGAGAGUUAUACGAGUUAGAUCCAGUCGAGCGUGUCAAAGUUGGACGAAACAGUUUUGGUCAGCCUGUUGGAUCAGAACCUCGACUUUUAGCAGGAUACAUGGGCAUUUUAGCACGAAAUCCGAAUAUGUUGCCUAUCAACUACGACUCAUGGCAUCAAAUGCCCGAUAGCAACAAAAACCAAGCCGUCGAUAAUAUUAAGGUAACAAAAUGUUAAUGUCAUCUGUAAUGCUUGGGAAAUAGUUUCAUUUAUAUUUACUUUAUUAACUUGUUUUUUUUAUUUUUUGUAGACGAGGUUUGCUUUAGAGGUCUCGGAUGCUUAUGUAAAGAAGGCAUUGGGAAAAAGAUGGAGAGACAAUAAAAGUACUUUGAAGAGAAAUUAUUAUAAGACAAAAACAACCCUUGAUGAGAAAUUACAAAAUGUCCCGCCGGGUAUGUUGAGGUACCAAUGGGAAGAUGCGGUUAGAUUUUAGCAUUCGAAGAAAGGCGAGGUAUGACGUACUUCCAAACUAUUGUAAUUAUUUUGGUAAAUAGUAUUUUCUAUUUACAUACUAAAAAUUUCAUAACGUAGGAUCGUGAACNNNNNNNNNNNNNNNNNNNNNNNNNNNNNNNNNNNNNNNNNNNNNNNNNNNNNNNNNNNNNNNNNNNNNNNNNNNNNNNNNNNNNNNNNNNNNNNNNNNNUGUAGCUGAGGCGGAGGUAUUUUUAAUUUUUUAAUAUUGUCGAAUAUGUAUAACUUUCUAUUAAAUAAUAUUUUUACUACUAUAUUGUAGGAACUGUCGUCCGGUCAAAAAGUUGGACGCCUUCAACUUUUUGAAAUUACACAUAGGAAGAAAGAUGGAUCUCCCAUGACUCCUGAAGCUGGUGAAAUAAUGGUACGUUUACUUAAUACGAUUUGACUUGUUUUAGUUAUUUAUAGUGUUUAUUUUCUAAUGGUUUAAUUCAUUGCUUGUAAUGCGACUAUUGUUAUGUUGCAUAUGUUUUUUAAUAUAUAAUAUUGCGUUCCUAACUAUGUGAUUUAUUUAUUAGGAAAAACUAAAGGAUAAAAAGGUGGAGUACGAAGCGAUUGCUUCUAGUGAUAGUUCUGUUCAUCUUGAAGACAUUGAUAAUCGGAUUAUUACUGAAGUUUUGGGUCCUGAAAGGUAUGGUCGGGUUCGAUUUCAAGGAUCUUUUGUUAGCCCAACCCAAUAUUUUGGAUCCAGCUCCCACCAAUACAUGGCUUCGGGGAGUCAGGCUCAAGCUGAAGUUCGGAGGUUAAAAGACCAGAUGGCUCAGAUGCAAGCGACCACAGUUGAGGUUCAAAGGAAAUAUGAAGAACUCCAGCUACAACUUAAAGCAGAGGCGGCAGCGAGGGAAGCAGCGGCUGCAGCGAGAGAAGCAGAGCAGACCAAAAAGUACAACGAACUCCAGCAGCAGCUUCAGAUUAUGAUGAAGAUGUUUCAGUCGCAACUUCCGCCUUCAUAGUGUAUGGCAUAAAUAUUUUUAUCAUUUUAUCAUUUAACAUUUUUGCAAAAUAAUAUGAAUUCACUUUUAUUUAUUGAUAUUAAUAUUAUUUUAUUCGUUUAAUUUGAAAUAUUAUAUAAAUUUAUUGCUUUUGGCUAUUUUAGAUCUGGUUGCUUUUGAUUUGUUGUUACAGGAGGGCUGAAAAAAUGAAAAAUUUAAUAAAAAAAUCCCAAAAAUAGUGGCGUUUUUGUAUAAAAACGCCGCUAAAGACCGUGUUCUUUAGCGGCGCUUAGAAAAAAACGCCGCUAAAGAACAUGGUCUUUAGCGGCGUUUUUUUUUUGUAAACGCUGCAAAUGUUUGUGACGUUUUCCUUAGCGGCAUUUAGUGGCGUUAAAAAGCGCUGCUAAAGGCUUAAAAAAACGCCGCUAAAGACCUGUUUUGGUGUAGUGGUGUUAAAACGCAUUAUCCUCUUAUUUAUGAAUUAGGAAGUAGUUAUUGGUAGUUCUAGACAUUGCGUAGAAAAUAAUAGAUAUGAUGAGAAUCUAUAUUGAAACUUUUCGAAAAAAUAUAUUUAUUACACAUGAACUAAAAGAAAUUUCUUUAUGGGUAGUUCAAGAAUAUUGUUGAAGCUAUAAAAUAAAAAUUCAAUUGGAAAAUAGAAAUCUCUUUUGUUUAACAAAAUAUUAAUCAUUGAUUGAGUUAAUAUUAUGAGUCAAUCGGACACCAAUUUAAUUAAGAAAUUACAAAAAUAUCAUUCCAUAAUUAAAAUAAAUUAUAUUAUUUGAGGAUAUUUUAAUAUUUUUAUGUCAAAAAAAUCAAUAAAAAUAUAUAUUUAUUUUUCACAAAUAUAUUAUUCUAUCAAUUUUCAUCAACCAAAAAAAAAGUAAUUAAAGUAAAAUUUACCUUUGAUAUACCAGAUGAUUUCAAAGAGAAUGAUUAUAUCAAUGAGUUUAACAAUUAAAAAAUAUAUUUUUUUCAAAGAUUUUAUAAUAUCAAAAAUUUUAAAAAUUUUAUAUAAAAAUUAAAUAAAUAUUUUAAAUGAUAUUUGGACCAAUUUUAAUAAUUAGUUUAUAAUUUAGAGUUGUAUAUAAUAUGGCUGAUAUAUAUAAUGUCUUGGUCAAGUCAUGGUUUUAUAUAUGUUUAUUUGUGAGCCCUACACUCACAUCAAAUUUAGAUAUCACAAACAUGAUUUAAAAUAUUAUUAACUGUGAGCAAUUUAAAGAAAUUUAAUUUCUUUUUUACAAUUUUAAGUUAAUCAAUUAUUUGAUUUUUUUUAGGGGCGAAUUCAGAAAAGUUUUUUAGGGGCCGAAAUGAAUUUUUAAUUUUUAUUAGUCUAUAUAUUUAUAUUUUUAAAGGAUUAAAUUAAAAUUUUUAUAAUUUUAGGGGGGCCAAAAUGUAAUUUUAUCUCUACUAAUUUAAAACUUUAAAAUUUUUUAAAGGACCUAAAUAAUAAUUUUUCAUUUUAAGGGGGCCGGGGCCCCUACCAACCCUUUAGAUUUGCCUCUGAUAUAUAUAUUAUUUAUGUUUUGCAACUCAAAAUUUAGUCAUAUUAUCAAUAAUAUUUUAAUAUGAAAAAUUUACUUUUUAAAAAAUUUAUGUUGAACAAACUUAUUUAGCUUGUCUCAAUUAAAUUAAAAAAAUUAAAAUCAAAUUAGAAUAAUAAAAUAAUACCCAUUUACGCGAUUGAAUCUAAUACUCACCUCUCAAUAUUACACCUUUUGAAUCUUCCUAGAUCAUAAAAGGGGAAGUUAUCCUUGGCGUGUGUGUUUUAGUGCUCCUUAUUUCCUUUAAAAACAGAGUUUAUUUUUUCCUUUUUUAUAGAAAUGAAUUGAUAUUUAAACUGCAAAAGAAGAACCACUAUUUGAACAUGUAUAAAUUAAUAUUGUACGCAAAUAUAAACUUUAAUACCAAUUAGAGAAGUAAAAUAAGAUAUUGGUGAAUCAAAUUUAUUAAAUAAUUUAUAUACAGAAUGGAUGAUAUAAUAUUUCUGAAGUCUUCCCUUGGUUGACCAUAAAAGGAGAAGUCAUUGUUUUGUUUUUUGGUAUUUAUUUGUGACCCCUACACACACAUCAAAAUCACAUAUCAUAAACAUUGAUUUAGAAUUAAACUAUAUAAUAUUAGACCUUUUGUAAUCUUCCUAUUGUUGACCAUAAAAGGAGAAGUCAUCCUCUUCUGUCUUUUGUCCCCUUCAACUCUGUGGCUAAUUAUGUCAAAACAAGGUUUUUUUUUCCCUUCUUUGGUAGGAAUUAAAUUAAUAAAGAUUAUUGUAAUUUAAAAUCCAAUUAAAGUUACUAUUUGAACUGGUAUGAAUUAAUAUUGUUAUGUCUAACAUUUAUAUCCAAUAAUUUUUACUAUAGAGAAAAGAAGUAAGAAAAUAAUAUAUGAUGUAAAAUUGUUAAUUUGAGUCUUAACACAGUCGGUAUUUGUAUGUUGUUUAUGUAAUUUUUCUUUCUAGUUAAAGGUUGGAGAGGAGUUAGGGUGAAGCUAGAAAUUUCUUUUUUUGGGAGACGAAAUUAAGUUGUAUAUUUUUACAAGGGUUAAAAUAUAAUUUCACCAUUUCAAUAGCUUAUAUCUUUACAAUUUUUAAUGGACUAAAUCAAUAUUUUAUCAUUUUUAGGGCUAAAGUACAAUUUUACUAUUUAUUAACUUAAAAUUUUAUAAACUUAAUUUAAAGGGUUAAAUUUUAAAUUUCACAUUUUAAGGGGAGGGAUAGAACCCUGCUAGGCUCCCCUCUUGCCGCCCCUGAGAGGAUAUAAAGUAAAGCCAUAAGGGUCUAAAAUAUAUGAAUUAUGAGUACUUAUUACACUUGACCAAUUGCUUUUCUUCAAACAAAACAAAAACUAAUGCACAUGAAAAUGCAAAUUCACAUGCAACCUAGAUAUGCAUUCUAUAUACAAUGCAAUGCAAUAAAUAAAUAAACAAAUAUUAUUUAACGAUGGAGUUGCCUCUCCGUAAGCACCUUUGUUUAACAUUUUCUACUAGAUGUUUUUAAAUGUUAUUUCACCAUAGAAUGAUUCGGAUAACAUCUUGACUUAGUAAAAUUGAACAUUAGGAACAACUUAAAAGUCGAGGGAACUUGAGAGUUUUGAUCCCCUUUUGGUUCUUUAACCAACCAUUCUCACCCCUAAUUAUAAUUCCAAUACAGUAAAAGUACGUGAUUGAGUUGAAUGGAUGGUGGUUGUUUGACAUAAUAUGUAGAAAGUGAAAAAAUAGUUGAAAAUAAAUCAAGUAUUAAAACUAAAAGUUUAUGAAAGAAAUUCUAGUAUUAUCAAUUUUUCGUGAGGCUCAAAGCUAUUUGGAACAAAAAUAAAAUCAAUGUGUAUAGGCUUAACAAAAUAGCUAUUAUCUUGCAUUGUUAUUUCAUCCUAACCUCUUCCCUCAUAACUUCAUCUUCUAUUUUCUGUUCGACUUUAUCAAAAGUCUCAAGAAUUUCCUCCUCGUCCUUUUUAACUUCAACGAAACUUUCUAGGGAAGGAAGCUCUAUCGUGAAUGACUUCGGUUCUAGUCAAAGUAAAACAUAGUUUUUUUAGGUUUUUCGACUAUUUAUGCAUCAAACUUUUAGGCCAUUUUGGACAUCUUCCUAAUGUUUUUAGGCUUUAAUCUGUGAAAUAAAUUUAGAUAAAUCUUUCAAGUCACAUCAACAUUUUAUUAAUGAUUUAAUAAAUUAUUAAUAAAAAGAUUUAAGGUUAAUGUACAAAUUUGUCACUAUACUUCAAUUUGAUUGAUAUUUGAUAUUGAAUUUUAUUGCUUUACUUUAAUUUAAUUGAAUUUUGCCACUAAAGUAAGAUUUUUUUAUUGAAUUUUCUAUUCAAUUUAAUUUUAAAAUAACUUGAAGGCUAAAUUGAAUAAAAAUAGUUUUAUAUUUCGCUUUUAUAUUUAAUAAUUAUCCUCUCAUCCAUGGCAAGGUGCGGAAAUUUGCAGAAUAUAGAAAUGGAGUGAAGAAAAACCGCUUUAGCAGACGAUAUGAUUAUGUUAAGGAUAUACUGAAGUGUUUGAUUAUUUUUUCCAGAUGGAGUGUUUGACAUUUUAUAUCACUUAAUUAUUUUGGAUUUAUAUGUGAUGUCAGCGUCUACACGUAUACAUGUGAAUGUCACCUAUUCGAAAUUAAGAAAUAGUAAUUAUAUUUAAUAAUUAAAUUCAUAUUUAAUAUAUAUUUUUGAUCUAAUUUUUUAAUUCAAUUUAAUUUUAGUUAAAACGUUUAAAACAUUUAUUUAAUCUAAUUUCUUUAAUAUAUUAAAUAAAUUGGAUUAGAAAAUAUAUUAAAUAUGGAUGAAUACUAUAUCUCUAAAAAUUAAUAUAUUAUUAUUUUAUUGGUGCUUAAAAAAAUUAAAAUAUUAAGAAUCAUUUUAAUAUAAGUUAUUCCCUUGAUAAUAAUAUUUGGUAUUUCCACGAGUAAGUUCAAUAGUUGACAAAUAUUUUAUAUAAGUACAAUAAAAUAUUUAAAAAAGUUAUUUAGUGACUUAAUUUUUUAAGAAUAUUUGAUAAUUCAUAAAGAAAAUAAAUAAUAUUUUAAAAAAAAAGAGUGAAAAAUGAUAAGUAGAUAAUAGCUAUUAUCACUUACAACAUGUUUGGAUUAAAAAGAAGAAAAAAGGAGGGAAAAUUAAGUAAAUUGAGGGAAAGAAAAUUCGGUUUCUUUGUUUAAGUUAAGUAAAGUUGUUAAUUUUUUAUUAGAUUUUAUAUUUUAGAUUAUUAUCUCUUCUUCUUCUUUUUUUAGCUUGUAACAACCUUAUUUUUAUUUUCUAUUUGUUUAGGUUACUAGAAAUAUUUAAUUUUAAAUUUGUUUGAUAUAUAUUUUUAAAAAUUUUAACAAUAUUUUUUUAUUAACUAUUUUGUUAAAUUAUUAGGAAUCCUUCAUUUAUAAUUUGGUUAAGAUAUUUUUUUAGUUUGAUAAAAUAAGCUUAUUAAAAAAAAGAGAAUAUACCAAUAUAUUAUUGGUUAACAUUUUAAUUAUUAUUUUAUAUAGAAUAUUGAUAUUUUUCUAUAAUUUUAAUUUGCUGUGAUUUAAUUUUGUUAUUAUAUAUUAUUUAUGAACUGUUAAAAUUAAAAAAAAAUAAAAGUAAAAUAAUUCAUUUUCUUUCCUUUUCAUAGUUUAGUAAAACAAGUCCACAAGCUCGCCUCAUUUGAAAAAAAUUAAAUUGUUUAAAUAUAUUUAUCUAUAUAUAUAUAGGGACUAAUUUUAACAAAUGAAAAACAUAGAAAAACUACAUUAAAAGAAAUGGAAAAGGGAAGAAAACAAAAGGAGAAGCAGAAGAGAAUGAAAUAUAAAGGAAAGUUAAAAGAACAUAAAAAAAUUAAAUUAAAUUGCUCAAAACGAAAAAAAUAUGGGGAUUAGUUGCAUAAAUCAUCCUAAAAUUUUUGUUUGAAAGAUGAUUUAACAUGUCACAUCAGCUUAUUGUUACACGGUUAACAAAAAUUAAUAGCUCAGUGACUAAAAUGUUAUAACGUGAUAACGUAAGUGACUAAAAUGUAACAUUUCAAACAUAAAUAACUAAAAUGUAAGCAAAAGUGGCUAUUUUAAUAGUUUACCCUAACAUUUAUCCAAACAUAAGCUUAAUGUAAACAUUUUUUCAAUUAUUUUUAUUUUAUUUUAUUUUUUACCAUUAUCCUUUAUCCUUAUUUUAAAAAAAAGUAUAAUUAUUUUUCAAAAUUAAUUUUAAGCAAUACAUCAAAUAGAUUUUAUAACUUAAAUGUAAUAUUUAAUUUUAUAAUAUUUUUUUAUCAAACAACGUUUACUCCUAAGUAAAUAAAUAAAUAAAGGCCUUGUGUAAUUAAGAAAGUUGAGAAAUGGCUAAUCCUCACAUGGCAAAAAUUGGCUACAAUAAUGAAGGAAAGAGAAAAACACUUAGGAAUGUCAAUGAGCAUACCCCACACACAUACUAUUUACUGUCAACGGUGAUGGAUGAAUUGUCUACUAUACAUGGAUUUUUUUUUUUUUUUGGUUCUUGUCCUGUAUUAUUUGGAUUUGUGAUCCCAUGUAAAAUUCCAGUCACUAUUUCAUCGCAUUUAAAAAAAAUUAUUUAUUAUCAAUUGAGUAUUAACUUGAUUGGUAUAAGUAUUAUUGUCAAUGUAUGAGAACAUAGGUUCGAGUGUAUUAAAGCUCAUUAUCUUUUUAUUUAUGGAUUAGAAAGUGAUUAUUGGUAGUUCUAAACAUUGUGUUGAAAAGAAUAGACAUAAUCAGAAUCUAUGUUGAAAUUUUUCAAAAACAAUUAUUUAUUACACAUUAAUUAAAAGAAAUCUCUUUAUGGGCAGUUCAAGAUUGUGAAGUUAUAAAAUAAAAAAUUCGAUACGAAAACAAAAAUCUCUUUUGUUUAACAAAAUAUUAAUCAUUGAUUGAGUUAAUAUUAUGAGUCAAUCAAACAUCAAUUUAAUCAAGAAAUUACGAAAAUAUUAUUUUAUAAUUAAAAUAAAUUAUAUUAUUUGAGGAUAUUUUAAUAUUUUAUGUCAAAAAAAUCAAUAAAAAUAUGAAUAUGAUGGGAUUUGAAAUAAAAUCUUGAAUUUACCACUCAACCAAAACUUUAUUUUAUCAUAUUUUAUACAUUUUUAUUUUAAUACGCACAAUUUAUUAUCUUCAUCAGUUGUAUAUAUAUUAAUAAAUUUAUUGAUUGAGUUGAUAUCACAAGUCAACUCGACACUAACUGACAAUUGACGACAACACUUUGAUAGACAGUUGUAUUGCGUUUAAUUAGUAUUUUUAAUUUGAUGUAUUUAUAUGUUUAAAUUUUAUUUUUGCUCCCAAAUUAAUUUAAUUUUUUAUUUUAAUGCCAUACAUAUUUUAUAUAUUCUUAUAAUUAAUUAUCUUGAAACCAUAUGUUUCAUUAUUUACUUCUUUCUUUUAAGCAUGCAUCUGUGUUUCAAAUCUAAACAUGGUUGAUUAUGUUAAUUAAUGUUACAAAUUGAGAAAUUUAUUAAAAGUAUUGAAAGAUGUUGGAAGAUGCUAUUGAUCUUCUUCAAGUGGUUUUUCACAAAUAUAUUAUUCUAUCAAUUUUCAUCAACCAAAAAAAAAAGUAAUUGAAGUAAAAUUUACCUUUGAUAUACCAGAUGAUUUCAAAGAGAAUGAUUAUAUCAAUGAGUUUAACAAUUAAAAAAUAUAUUUUUUCAAAGAUUUUAUAAUAUCAAAUAUUUUAAAAAUUUUAUAUAAACUUAAAUAAAUAUUUUAAAUGAUACAAUUCGACCAAUUUUAGUAAUUAGUUUAUAAUUUAGAGUUGUAGAUAAUAUGGCUGAUAUAUAUAAUGUCUUGGUCAAGUCAUGGUUUUAUAUAUGUUUAUUUGUGAGCCCUACACUCACAUCAAAUUUAGAUAUCACAAACAUGAUUUAAAACAUUACUAGCUGUGAGCAAUUUAAAGAAAUUUAAUUUCUUUUUUACAAUUUUAAGUUAAUCAAUUAUUUGAUUUUUUUUAGGGGGCCGAAAUGAAUUUUUAAUUUUUAAUGGUCUAUAUCUUUAUAUUUUUUAAAGGAUUAAAUUAAAAUUUUUAUAAUUUUUGGGGGGUCAAAGUGUAAUUUUACCUCUACUAAUUUAAAACUUUAAAAUUUUUUAAAAGACCUAAAUAGUAAUUUUUCAUUUUAAGGGGGCCGGAGCCUUACCAACCCUUUAGAUUUGCCUCUGAUAUAUAUAUUAUGUAUGUUCUUUAAAUCAAAAUUUAGUCAUAUUAUCAAUAAUAUUUUAAUAUGGAAAAUUUACUUUUUAAAAAAUUUAUCUUGAACAAACUUGUUUAGCUUAACUCAAUUAAAUUAAAAAAAUUUAAAUCAAAUUAAAAUGAUAAAAUAAUACUCAUUUACUCGAUUCGAUCUAGUACUCACCCCUCAAUAUGACACCUUUUGAAUCUUCCAUGACAGAAGUUAUCCUUAGUGCUCCUUAUUUCCUUUAAAAACAAGGUUUAUUUUUUCCUUUUUUAUAGAAAUGAAUUGAUAUUUAAACUGCAAAAGAAAAACCACUAUUUGAACAUGUAUAAAUAACUUGUAGUUGAUAGUUAUAUACAGAAUGGAUGAUAUAAUAUUUCUGAAGUCUUUUGGUAUUUAUUUGUGACUCCUACAAAUUAUAUAUAAGAAAUUCUAGUGUUAUCAAUUUUUUGGAGGCUCAAAGCUAUUUGGCAUUGUUAUUUCAUCCUAACCUCUUCCCUCGUAACUCCAUCUUCUAUUUUCUGUUAGACUUUGAGAGUUCAAUUACGAAAAGGGAAGUGUUUUUUUCGGCUCUUAAUGUAAUUGAUAGUAGGCUAGGAAAUAAAGAUUAUUCGUUUGUUUGUUUAAGCCUGAUUUUGACUUGUGUACUAUAAUUAAAUUAUCACACUAAUAUAUUUUUAUCAGUUUGAUUUAUGUACUUUCAUUCUAUAUACUUCGUUAUCUUAUUUAUAUUUUUUAGAAAAAAAAUUUUCUAUCUAAUUAAAUGCUGUCACCUAUGAAAAAAUUUAAAAUUCCACUAAAGUAUAUAAAAAUUCAUAAAAAUCGUAAAAAAAAUAAAAAAAAAAGCAUAAAACUCUAAAGAAAUUAAUAAAAUUUUAUAAGCACAAAUUUCCAAAAAUAAAAUUAAAAUAUUUUAUUAAAAUUUUUAAAUUUUUUAAAGUUUCAUAUAUUUAUUGUUUAAAAAUUAUAUCAUUUUCAAAAAAAGAUUAUGAAUUUUUUUAGGUAUUUUAAAAAUAUUUUUCUAAGUCUUAAGAUUUUAUUUUUUGCAUUUUAUGAUUUCUUUUUUGGAUUUUUAAUGGUUUUUAAAAUUUUAUAAUAUUUUCUAAAAUGUUUUAACUAUUUUGGUCGUCCAGGUUUUGUGAAUGAAGCGAAGGGUAUCUUUAUUGUGGUGAACUUUUAAUUUACUCAAAACGAAGUGAUUUAUUACGUUGUGUGAUUUGCAGAUAAGUGUUAAAUAUGAAAUGUGUAAGGCCCAAUAUUUGCCCGGCCCGUAAUAAACAAACCAAAUCAAAAUUUAAAAAGUCCAAAGUCCAAAAUUACAAAAAUCUAUCAGACCCAAAAUAUAAAUCGAGCCCAUUUAUAAAUGGCCCAGUACAAACCCAAAUUACAGCUAGCCCAAUAGCCAAAACCAGCCCAGAUUUUUUCAUUUUGCAGAAACCCUAAACAGUUUCAGAGGUACCAGGCGCCGCAGCCAAGCCCUCGCACAUGCCCCACGAACCACGCUUCCAACGCCUCUCCCCACAUACACCUAGCCACGUCCCUGACACCGUACGGCCGUACCUGCAGCAAACGCAAACGAAAAACGCAGCAGAGAAAGAAACUGUAUUUUUCAUUUUUAUUAUUUUAAAACGAAGGGAUAUAAAACAGGAGAAACCUUUUGUAUUUGAGGGGGGAUUGAUACGCAAUAUCAACACACGCAUAUUGUAUCAGAAAAACGAAAUCAAUACAGAAGAAAGGUUUUCUUUUUCUCUUUUCUCGAUUGGGUUCCUUUUUCUUUGGCUUUUCAUUUUUCUGUUUUGCUGUUAGCCCUAUACAUAAGCAUAUGCAUAUAAUAAAAGGGAAAGGAAGUACUUACCUCGGUGACCCUGUCGUCGUUCUCAUCGGUUUCGUGGAUACCAGAGAGGCUAGGUAUGGUUUUAGCCUGAGAACGGCGCGAGGGGAGAGGGGAAAGGCAAAGUUUUUUUUCUGCUGUUUUUUUAGUGGCCGAAUAACCUUGUUUAGGGUUUUAAAAUUGGUUUUUUUGGGGUGUUGAAACGGCGUCGUUUGGGGCCUGAAUCAGUGGCCACCAAAACGGCGUCGUUUCGCGCUUAGUCCCUUGCCUUUAAAGCGCAUCCAAAUCAAUCUUUUUAUUUUUUUAGAUUUUGCCUGAUAUGUCACUGUUGUUUCAUUUUGGUCCCUUCUGCCAAUAUGCGUUUUGAAGGGCGGGGAAUAUUUCCCAUUUAAUCCCUCAUGUAAUGCGCAGGCUUCAUUUUGCCUUUUAAUUUCCUUUUAAUUUAUUUUCUUUUUUCGAUUAAGCAUUAAAUCCCUUUUAAUCUCUAUUUUAGUUUGUUCAUAUUAAUUAAUUUAAAUAUUUUGGUUCUGUUUUCUUUAAUAUAUUUCAGUUUAAUCUAAUGUUAUUUUAAUAAUUCAACUUAUUAGUAUAAAUUCAUUAUUGGUAUUAUUUAAAUCUAUUGAACCAUUAUUCUAAAAGUUCUCUUUCGUGUGUUAUUUUAAGUUUUCAUAUAUUAUUAUUAAAAUUUAAUACUUAUUAUUUUUAUGAUAACUAAAUAUAAUUUGUACAAUUCUAUAGUUUUAUAAUAUUUAUUUUUAAAUUUAUUGGGAUACUAUUAUUUUAUGAAGUAUUUGUUUUUAAUUAUAUUUUUCAUUUAUUUCAAACUUUCAUGUGUAUAUAUAUUAUUUUAAACUUAUUUUAAUAUAUAAUUUCCCUUCUUUUAUGUUACUUUUUUUGUUUUUGUUAUUUAAAAAAAAAACUUGUUACAUUUUAUUUAAUUCGCUUGUUACCCUUUUUUAAUAAUAACUUUUUAAUUCAUUUUGCUUGCUAAUAUGGAUGUUAGUAUUUGCAUAAUGUAGGAUAUAAAAUUGUUGCUCUUUUGUAUAUGAUAUUGUUUAUUCAUAUAUUAAAUUUUUGUUAUUCAUUAGUGUAUGCUUUAGUUUACGAAUAAUCAAUUCGCAUAGUACAUUAUUAUACGAUCGUUUUUAUUUAUUCAAAAGAUUACAAAUUACAAAGUUAUUCUAUUCAAAAACUUUCAAAAAUACUCGAAGUUUGAAAUCCUCGAGAGAAUUGAGCCCUAACGUAUUGGGUUCCAAUUUUCUUCGUCGAAUCUAAAUAAUUGAACAUUUUUUAACAUACAAAUUUCAAAUAACCCAUUCUCGGGAAUUCAACACGUUGUGUCCUAACGUAUUGGAUAUGACAUGUUAUUUUCUCGAGAUGAGGAUUUUAAAAAAAUAAUAAAUAAAGGCAAUGUUCGGUAUUUGGGAAUUUGGUGAAAUCGAACCCUAACUUACUGGGUUUUGAUCUUCUCUUUUGGCCCAAAUAAUUAGAUAUCCUUCUCAAAAUGCAUAGUUUUAAAAAUCAAAUUUAACUUCAAAAUAAAAGGAUUGUAUUUUAAAAUUUUUUCAAAAUCUCGACAUUAAGACAUUGAACAAUCAAUUUGGUACCAAUUUUGGGCGUAUCGAGGGUGCUAAUCCUUCCUCGUGCGUAACCGACUCCCGAACCUGUUUUUUUGAAUUUCGUAGACCAAAACCGUUGUUUUAAUAAAAUCAAAUCGUUUAUUAAAAACAACCACUUUUUAAGGUGAUCCGAUCACACCUUAUCAAAAAAAGAUUGGUGGCGACUCCCUUUUUCCGUUUUCGUUUUCAAAAUCCAAGUCGACCCCGUUUUCAUCAAAGAAAUGGUGUCUACAAAAUGAAUUGUUGAAUUUGAAAACAAUGGUUUAAUAUUGCAGGGAUUUCCAGCAUUAUCAUAAAUUUUAGUGAAUUUAGAGACGAAAUCAGAGUUCCACUGAGUUUUGUUCAAAUCUGGGGAUUUCAUCGUCAUAUAGGGUCGAUUUGGAUAUCUAGGAUACAAAGCUUCAUAUCAUUGAUGUUCGAUGGCCAUGGGUAUAUGUUGAUUUUGAGUUUAUCGUUGCCCCAUAAGUUGGUUGCACUAAAAAAAAUGGGUAUUACCAAUGCUAAAAAUUGUUACUAAAAUUUUAUUGUAGCAAUAAAAGUUGUUGCGGGAUUGUUGUGUAUAUUUUCGUUGUUUAAAGUAUACGCAACUCUACUCAAUUAUGUAAUAUCUACUCUUAAAUAUGGUCUAUUUAACUACAUAUUUAAGCACAUCAAACACAAAUUAAUAAUUUAGAAAUAUCAAACCAAGAAUUAAUCACACAUAAUUGGGAACAAUAAACUAAGUAUUUAUUGCAUAAAAUAAAAAAAUGAUAGAAUCCAUCAUAGGGUUCAUUUCCCUAGGUAUUUAGAAAAUUAGUUCAAGCUUGAAAAUAAAAACAUCCAAGAUAUAGUAUAACCGAAAGAAAUAAAAAAAUUCAUGAUAAUCUCCUAGGAAAUCAACUGAGAAUCUUCAAUCUUGACGUAAAUUUGUUUUCAAGAUGGCUUCAAUGGCAUUUUUCGAGUUGCUUUCUUGAAUAUUUUAUGACGGCUCUCUCAUAUAUCUUCUUAAUUUUUCACAUAUACGUUUCAUAAUGCCCCAAAAAUCUAAAAAUCUUGAUUUUACAUUGUUUGUGUGGCAAUUCCAUGAAAUUGACAUAGCCUACCACACACUCGUGUGGGUCACAUGACUAUGUGGUUUGCUCAUGUGAAAUUUAGAAAAUGUAAAAGAUUCAAAUAUGUAUGCAUCCGUAUAUUGCAUAUAUUGUUGGGAUGUUAGACAAACAUUUAAGCAACUCUAGUAUAGGCCAUUAGAUAACAACCAAGAGGGUUAUGAGGUAUCUUUAGAAAACAAAAUAUUACAUGCUCACAUAUUGGAUGUUUGAUAAGUUAGAGAACAUCAAGUAUACAAACUCCAAUUUUGAUGAAAUAUUGAUGCAAAAUUUUGUCACUAGAGUGCAAAUUGUAACAAUAGUUAGUAGUCUUUUAUUCCAAUUGUACAAGCCCAAAUUUGCCCGAGGCCCAAAAACCCAAUACACCCAAACCUCAGCCUAAUUACAAUAUUUAACUCAGCAGACCCAACCCAACACCGAUGACCCAAACCUCAAUCCAAUAGCACCUAGCCCAACAAGAUUAAACCCAAACCCGAGGCCCAAUAUCCAACCCAAAAAAAAUGAAGGCCCAGUAGCCCAAAAUGUUUGAGACUUUUUCAGAAAAAAUGAAACCCUAGCCUACUGCCUAACCCUAGCCGCCUUUGCCUCCUCUGACAUCUUCUAGUCUGGCUGCCGCUCGUAGCCUCUGCCACCGCCACCUCUGACGCCGAGCCGCCCAUCAAUCACCUACUCCAUCAACGUCAACACCUGCAAACAAGAGAAAAAGCAAUAGCAAAUAAUAGCAAAAAUAUUGUAAAAAAUGGCUAUAAAGCCAUAACCACCACUGUAAACGGGGUUCUUCCCCCCCUCCCCCCGAUUUUUGUAUAAAAAAAUAUUAGCAGGGAAAUAAAGGAAAAAAGAUUGAAGGUGAUUUUUUCUUUUCUUUUCUUUUCGGUUUUGUAGACCCGUUUUUCUGUUCUCUUUUCUUUUUUCGUUUACACGUAUGUAAAUAAAGGUAGUAAAUAAAAGGAAAGAAUGAAGACUUACCCAUUUCGCCUUUCGGUUACGCCGCCGUCGGGGUCUGCUCAUAAUUGAAAUCGGCCCGAAAGGUCGAGUUAGGGGGUCCUUUGUCUUGAUUUUCGGGCCAAACGAAUCUAGCCUUCGAUUGGGUCUUAAAACGGGGACUAGAAUGCCCAUUUUGCGCAACGCCGGCCACCGUCCACGAUGGCGCUAUGGCGGUGCUAAGAAGACCCAAAGGCCGAACGUUUGAGAGGGAUGAGGAAAUGUUUUUUUUGUUUUUUUUUAAAAUUAGUGGCUGAUAUGUUUUUUUUUUUGAAGAAAAUAUGGCUUAAAUACUAUUUUCGAAAUAGCAUAGUUUCAAUUUGGCCCUCCAGAUGCCAAAACGGCGUCGUUUUGAAAGGGGCCGGUUCUACUCGACCCGUUUGGCCAGGAUCCGCGUGUUUUAGCCUUGAGGGGUUAUUUAUGCGGGGAGUCCCUCCGCUUCUGCAGCGUAGCCGAUAUGAUCCUUUUUGGUCUUUUUGUUAUUUGGCCCGCGAAUUUUGCCUCUAUUUCGAUUUGGUCCUUAGACCAUGUGCUGCCCCUAGUCGAAACGCAGCAUUUUAGGACUGGGAAAUAUUUCCCCACAAGUCCCUCACGCUUUAAGCGCGUUUUACUUCAGUCAUGCACUAUUCCUUUUGUUUGUUUGCAUAUUUAAACCCCGAAGUUCGUUUCAAGUUUUAAUUUAGUCCUUUUGUAUUUUGUUUAUUUUCUUAUUAAGUAAUAAAUUUGAUGUUAUACUGUUAUUAUUAAUUAUAAUAAAUAUUAUUUGCUCAUUUUUACCUUUAGAAUUUCAAAUUUUAUCAUAUAUAUUUGUAUAUACUUAUUUUGAUAUUUUAUAAUUUAUAUCUAUAUAUCUAUAUACAUAUUUAUACAUAUAUACACAUACCUAUAUGUUUUAUAUUUUCAUAUAGUUUUUAUAUACAUAUAUAUUCUUAUAUGCACAUGCUUAUGUUUUUUUAUACUUUAUAUAUAUAUAUAUAUAUACACCUAAACAUGCAUAUUUUUUUAUAUGUACAUACAUUCAUAUAUUUUAUAAUUUAAGUACAUAUACAUAUAUAUGUACAUAAACUUUAUUAUUAUUAUUAUUUUGUAAUUUAUAUUGUUAUUAAUUGUUUUAUUUGAUAUUUAUUUAUUUGCUCAUCUUUAUUUUUAUGAAAUGCUUUAGUUCUUUUUACAUUAUUUUUAUGAAAUGCUUUAGUUCUUUUUACUUACUCAUUAUUUCAUGUAUAAUUGUUUUUUUUAUAUAUGUGUCCUUUUUAUUGUUGCUCGUAUUAUUUUACUUACAUUAUCAUAAUUGUCAUUCCAUUACGUCAAUUUUCACCCAAAUUCAAAAAAAAAAAUUUUAAAAAUAUAAAUAAUACUCGGUAUUUGGGAUCUUCGAGAGAAUCGAGCCCUAACGUAUUGGGUUCCGAUUUUCUUCGUUGAAUCUAAAUAAUCGAGACUACUCUUUUUUAUAUAUAAAAAAACAUAAAUAAAAGCUCAUUAUCGGGAAUUCAAUACGUUGUGUCCUAACGCAUUGGAUAUGAUACAUUGUUUUCUCGAGAUGAGGAUUUUUCUAAAAAAAUAAAAAUAAGGCAAUGUUUUGAGUUUGGGAAAUUCAAGAAAACGUGCCCUAAUGUGCUGGGUUUCGAUUUCUCGUUUAGCCAAAUAUUCUCUUAAAUCUUAAUCUAUGUCAUUUAAGUUUUUUUAGGAUUGUAUUUUAAAUCUCUUUAAAGUUUUCAGUUUUUCGACACUAAGAUAUUAAGUAAUCAACUAGGUACCAAUUUUGGGCGUAUCGAGGGUGCUAAUCCUUCCUCGUGCAUAACCGACUCCCGAACCCAUUUUUCUAAAUUUCGUGGACCAAACUUGUUGUUUUAAUAAAAUCAAAUCAUUUAUUAAAACAACCACUUUUUGAGGUGAUCCGAUCACACCUUAUCAAAAAAGAUUGGUGGCGACUCCCACUUUCGUUUUCAUUUUUCAAAACCCAAGUCGACCCCGUUUUAUCAAAAAAAUGGUGCCAACAGCUUGGCGACUCCACUGGGGACCCAAGAACGAGAGUCAAGCCACGAGUUGAUUAUUUUUUUAUUUUUUUGUCGAAAAUCAAAAAAUUGGUUUAAACAUACGAUCCUUUCGUUGCAUUUCAUUCGUCUUUAUUAUGAUCUUCAUCAUUAUAGUUUAUAAUUGUUGUGUUAGUUUAAGUUUUGGUAUCAAUCUGUACAUUGCAUUGCAUAACCGUUGGUCACACCCUUCUUAGUGGGAGUGAGAAACUACGCUUUCGUGAGGUUUUCACCUCCGCAUAGGAUAGUGAAUCGCUUCUGGUAUAUAUCCGUACCUAUGUUUUCGUGAGAUUUUCAUCUCCGCAUGGCCAUAGGGAAAUGUAUUCCCCUGAACUGAACUCAGUCUGCAUGAGCCUAUAAUGGGUCAGGACCGAGGAAUCUGCUGGUUCAGGUACCCUUACUUUAGAGCCGAACAGCAUGUAAUGAGCCCUAGGAGCCUACCCUAGGUAGAACCACACCAAAUACCUAGAGGUCACCUGAAAACUUGGUUUAAAUUUACGAUCAUUUUGUUGUAUUUCGUCCGUUUUGGUAUGAUUUUCAUUACUUCGGUUUGUAAUUACUCUAUUGGUUUGAAUUCUCGAUAUGUUUCUGCGCAUUGCAUUACAUGACCACUCAGUUACACCCUUUUAAGUUUGAGUGAGAAGCUACUCCUUCGUGAGGUUUUCACCUCUGUGCAGGAUAGUGGAUCACUUUUGGGAUACAUCUGUACCUAUGUCUUCGUGAGAUUUUCAUCUCCGUGCAGCCAUAGGGAAAUGUAUUCCCCUGAACCGAACUCGGUCCGUAUGAGCCUAUAAUGGGUGAAGAUCGAGGAAUCGGCUGGUUUGGGUACCCUUGCUUUAGAACCAAACCACAUGUAGAAGACCUUAGGAGCCCACCCUAGGUAUAACUACUUUGAACCCCUAGUAGUUACCCUAAUAUGUGCUCUUUUUGUUUUUUUUUCUUGUUUACUUUUGCUUUGUACUAACCUGUUUUGUUUUGGUUAUAACUGCAUUGCAUUUUCAUCAUAGAAAAGAGGUGUUGAUUCAAAUUUGAUUGCUAAAUAGAAAAGCUUGUCAUGGAAAACGAAUUUCUUGAUAAAGUAGAAUAUGAUGCGACUGUCUGAUUAUGGACUAAUUAAACACAACAAGAGAAGGUUAGAAGUUUGUGGAGGAAUAUACGACUAUGCUUCACUGCCUGAGGAUUCAAACCGACAAAGAUCAUUCGAGAGUGGUCACGAAACUAAAGAGCAUCGUAAGGGAGCAAUGGGUCGUGGCUCAGAUCAAUCAAAAAAGAAGAUAGUAAAGGUAAAUUUUGGGAAAUUCGCAAGAUUUGAUCCUAACAUCUGGAUAUGAAGAAAAGAUCGAUGUAUUCGCCAGGAAUAUGGGGGCAAAGCAGCAGAUGUAAUCUAUUUUAUGUAAAGAAAUUUGUUCUCUAGAAAAGUUGUUCUAAUGGAAUUGAAUUAGGAAUCAAUGCCUCUCUUUCUUUUUGCAUUCAUUUCACGCAUUUGUAUUACAUAACAUCACAUGCAUUAAGGACCAUCAAAAGACUCUAAUUGAGUAAAAUGAUUUCAGCUAAUCUAGAGAACCAACACCCUUACGGAAUUCGAGCAAAAACUAAAAGAAUGGACCAAAGAUUGGAGAGAUUAAAGCAAAGGCAAAUACAGAUGCAAGAGCAAUUUACCAAAUUUCAACAAGAUAUGAAGGAUCAGAUGCUAGAAGUCCAAAGAAAUCUAAUAAGUCAGUUAACCCAGUUAUUGGAUAGAGGGUUAGAAAAAGGAAAAAACCCAGUGGUCCACUUUGGAGAUAAUGAUGAAGACCCUGCUCAUUUUCUAGGUUUUACCCCAACAAACCUCCAAGCACAACCGAAUGCAUGUCCACAAAAGGUAAAUGUUAACAUCCGACCACAAUACCAGACCAGUACCUCGACACCGGUGAAUUUCACGACAGGCUCAGGUUACAACCUUAGGGGAAAUCUAACUAGUCCCGUUGUCCUUGAUGAUCUAGCGGGAACAAAACAGGUGAGAGUAGAGCUCUCAAAACCAUUUGGAGAUCGUUACAAACAGAAAGGGCAAGAGUGGAAUCCUCAAAUCAAUACUUCGAGGGCCCCGAGGAAGAGGAAAGAUGACGUGAAUGAUGUGAGUAGGUAUAAUGAGGGUUAUUCAAAGCUGAUUACAACAAGCCAGAAAAGGACGGUUGAUUCUAGCCAUCAGAUCUCCCAGAGCAAGAAUUCGGCACAAAGAAAAACAUUGAGAAGUCCAAAUUUGUACCAAUCCCAAUGUCAUUUCGGGAGCUGUAUCAUAAUUUAUUUAACGCACACAUCGCCUCCCCUUUCUACUUGAAGCCUUUACAACCUCCGUACCCUAAAUGGUACGAAACGAAUGCACAAUGUGACUAUCAUGCAGGAAUUACGGGGCAUUCAAUAAAAGAUUGCGUUACCUUUAAAAAGGUGGUUGAAAGGCUCAUCAGUAUAGGCAUUGUCAAGUUCGAUACAAAAAAAUCUGCUGCCUAAUCAUAUUGAUAAUCGGGGUGAAUGCGAUGAAUGAGGAAAUAUUAGGAAACGUUCAAAUUAACGCUGUGCGAAGAAACAACUGAAGAAUGGACCUUGUUAGAUAUUUACCCGUACAUACUUAGGGGUGUUUUGAGCAAUGGGACUGUGGAAGAGAUCCCUGUAUUUUGUAGAGCUAAUUCUGAGUAAUAUCCAAAACACGCUUAUUGCUUUAAGCCUAGGGGCAAUAAGAAUCCUUUUGUGAGAUAGGCUUAUGUCCAACAUCUUUAUUUCAAUAAAAUGCAUCUUUGUUUCUCACUUCGAGCAAAUUUUUAUUCUUAGAUUCUUUUAUUCUUUGGAUAUACUUUCGUCCCUAUAAUAGGUCUUCAGAUAUCAAUGAUAUGAGCGACACUGCUAUUGACUCAGAACCUCCUUUUGAGCAAGAUAUGUGUCCAGAUUAAACUUCAAGACUUUGGAGAUAACUGAGACUGUAGCUUAUCUCUUAGUUUGUUAAGGACGGGAGAACAAGAUCCUACCUUACAAAGAAUCAAUGGAAGCCAUGGCCUUUCUCUGGAUGGGGCACGGAUGUCAUUAGGCCAAUCUCGCCUAAGGUUUUUGACGGCUAUCUUUAUAGUCAUCGAUUACUUAACCAAGUGGGCAGAAGUUGCUUCAUAUGUCAAUGUCGCAAAGUUAACAGUUUGUAAAUUCUUGAAAAAUCAUAUGUCAGUAUGGAAUGUCAAAAAGGAACAUAUCUGACAAUAUACUAAAAGUGAACAACGACACAAUAUCAGAAGUUUGCAGUCUGUUCAAGGUUAACACAUUUUGCCCUAGAAUGCACGGUGCAGUGGGAGCAAAAACAAAACAAAAAAGAGGAAAAAUUACUGCAAUGGCAACACAUUGGCUUAGCGCAGUUUUGCUCAUUGAGGUCAAGAUUCCUUCCCUCCGAGUGUUGGAUCAGAUCCCGAUUGAAGAGAAAUGUUCAAAGUUAUCCGUCUGGGUCAAAUACACCAAAAACAAAAGAUGCGAGCUCACCAAAGAAGGUUCACCCUAAAGAGUUCCAUGAAUGGAACCUAACAUCGAAGAAAAUCCUCCCCAUACAAAAAGGACUUUAUAAGAAAGAGGAUCUGAAAAAGUGUUGAUUUCGACCAGAAAGGAUAGCAAGGACUUACCUAAUCCUAUGAGUGCGGAUUCAAUCAAAGAAUGUAAAAAACAAACAAACAAACAAACGAAAAGAGAAAGAAAAGAAAAGAAGAAUGAAAAAAGAAAAAGGAGAGGCCAAGAUGAAAACCCGCAAAGGGCGCCUUGAGACCAAAGGGGUUUUGAAUUGAAAACCCAGGAAUGAGUAGUUCAAAUUUUGAUCAAAGGUGGGGCAUACGGUGGCCUUGUCCUUUCUGAAUUAGCAAGAAGGUGAGACGCUACAUCUCAGGCCAUCAACAAAGUCUUUUAGGGCUUCUAGACACAUAUCAAGUUCAAAAGAGUCCUCAAGAAGCUUAUACAGAAAAGCUCAUGCUGCGAUAUCUGGGGCACCUGUUUCCAUUUUAUUCAUUUUUAUUUUGGCAAAAUAUGCCAUCUUGAUUAAUUUAUUCUCAUUUCGUAUCUUAGCAAAUUUACUAUCUUGAUUAUUUAUUUCAAGCUUUGUUCUUAAUAAAAUUUCAUCUUGUCCAUUGUGAUAAUCCUUUUCAUCUUAUUCAUUUUGAAUCUUAGCAAAAUUCGCUGUUCUGCUUAAUUUAUUUGUUUAGAGCUCUGCUCUCAAUAAAAUUUCAUCUUUCCCACUAUGAUAAUCUUUUUCAUCUUAUCUUAGCAAAAUUUGUUAUCUUGAUUAAUUUAUUCAUUUUGAGCUUUGUUCUUAAUAAAAUUUCAUCUUAUCCAUAUUGAUAAUCUUUUUCAAGCAUUUUACAUUGAAAUAACGAUUAAUUGACUGAAUAUUCAAGCAAAAGGAGUUUUGCAUAUUACUCUGAAAGUUUCUAAAUAAUACAGGAACCUGAAAUAGGACUAUUGUUUAGAGCAUACCAAGUUUAAAGGGUGAAAUGUCUAAGAAGGAAAAGUCUAAAUUAAGACUAUCCUUUCGAACUUUGUUGUCCAAGCAUGAAUUGAACAAAACGAAAAAAUGUCGAGAUGGUGACAAAGUUUCAAUGAACAAACGAGCAAUGAUCACCGAGUGAUAAAAAGAGGUUUUUGGAAGAGAAAAUUCCACAAUCGUGCAUAAACAUUUGGUAUGACACCUUGGGAAUGGUGUAGAAGACCAAAGAGAUUCAGAUACUGUAUCCCUGAAUUACAGUGGGAGAGGAUUGAGAAAAGUCAGAUCUUAUACUCAGUGGGAGGAAGAUGGCUCGAAUUUUAUGCCCCAAAAUUACCAUGGACUUAACCUUGAAGAUUACAACGGAUUGAACUCUGAAGAUUACAGUAGGGGGCAAUCUGGCUAAGUAAGAGAUGAGUGUUACCAGCUGAGCAAGAUAGCAUUCUGAUAUGUUGGUAAUAAAACCUUAUUGAAUAACGAGCAAUAACAACCCUAACAUUAAAAAGGGAUCAUUCUCAUGACAUUCUGCAUUCAUGCAAAUAUAAUUCACAUACACACCUAGUUAGGAGCAUUUGAUUCGUUCUGAUCAUAAUAUCCUAAUCAUUAGGCAUAAAUAGAUUCAUAAAAUGGACUUUACAGGUCAUGUUCCCCAGAGAACAUAUUAAUAAAGUUACCCAUACCCCUAAAGUUGCAAUGGGAUGAAUUGAAGUUGUCAUAUCAAGUCUUAUCUCUCAGAAAUUACAGAGGAGUGGACUAGAGAUAGCAGAUCUUAUCUUCCUGUAUUUGGCAGCGAAGUAGAUCGUAGAUAGCAGAUCUUGUCUUCCUGUAUUUGGCAGCGAAGUAGAUCGUAGAUAGCAGAUCUUGUUUUCCUGUAUUUGGCAGCAGAGUAGAUCAUAGAUAGCAGAUCUUGUCUUCUUAUAUUUGGCAGCGGAAUAGAUCGAAGAUAGCAGAUCUUGCCUUCCUGUAUUUGGCAGCGAAGCGUAGAUAGCAGAUCUUGUCUUUCUGUAUUUGGCAGCGAAGUAGAUCGUAGAUAACAGAUCUUGUCUUCCUGUAUUUGGUAGAGGAGUAGAUCAUAGAUAGCAGAUCUUGUCUUCUUGUAUUUGGCAGCAGAGUAGAUCGAAGAUAGCAGAUAUUGUCUUCCUGUAUUUGGCAGCGAAGUAGAUUGAAGAUAACAGAUCUUGUCUUCCUGUAUUUGGCAAUAGAGUAGAUCGUAGAUAGUAGAUCUUGUCUUCCUGUAUUUGGCAGUGGAGUAGGUUAAAAAUUACUGAUUCUGUCACCUUAAGCAGUAGUGGAGCAGAUUAAAAGGAUGGAUCUUAUCUCUCCGAAGUUGCAGUAGAACAGAUCGCAUCAAACUUUAUUGAAGCUACAAGUCUUAUCUCACUGAGGUUGCAGUAGAAUAGACUGAAGAUAGCAGAUAUUAUCUCUCUGGAGUUGCAGUAGAGCAGACCACCAUGAUUUUAUCUCCCUAAAGUUGCAAUGGAGUGUACCAAAAUAAUAAAUCCUAUACCUCUGAAGUUGCAGUAGGUCGGACUAAAUCUACCAUAACAAAUCCUAUCUCCCUGAAGAUGCAGUGGAGCAAAUUGAAGACCGACUACAAGUCUUAUCUCCCUGAAGUUGUAGUGGAGCAGACUGUCGAUAACGGAUCUUAUCAUAUUAAAACCUUAUCUUCUUGAAGUUACGUGAAGCAGGUUGAAGCAACAAGUCUUAUCUCCCUGACGUUGCAGUAGAGUAGAUUAAAACCACGGAUCUCGUCCCCCUGAAGUUGCAAUAGAAUGGAUUGAAGCUACGAGCUGUAUCUCUCUGAAGUGCAGUGGAGUGGAUUGAAGCAACAAGACACAGUGGAUUGGAAUGAGGCUACCUGAAGAAGAGAAGCACUAGAAGAAGUCAAGACUCGGCGAGACCGGGUAAAUUUGGUCUUUCUUGGUCUUUGCUCUAUUCUCAUUACACGACAACGAGGAAAGAGGGGCAGCUGUACAAGCCCAAAUUUGCCCGGGGCCCAAGAACCCAAUGCACCCAAACCUCAGCUUAAUUACAAAUUUAACUCAGCAGACCCAACCCACCUAAACACCAACCCAACACCCAUGACCCAAACCUCAAUCCAAUAACACCUAGCCCAACAAGAUUAAACCCAAACCCGAGGCCCAAUAUCCAACCAAAAAAAAAUGAAGGCCCAGUAGCCCAACAUGUUUGAGACUUUUUCAGAAAAAAUGAAACCCUAGCCUACUGCCUAACCCUAGCCGCCUCUGCCUCCUCUAACAUCUUCUAGUAUGGCCGCCGCUCGUAGCCUCUGCCACCACCACCUUUGACGCCGAGCCGCCCGUCAAUCACCUACUCCAUCAACGUCAACACCUGCAAACAAGAGAAAAAGCAAUAGCAAAUAAUAGCAAAAAUAUUGUAAAAAAUGGCUAUAAAGCCAUAACCACCACUGUAAAUGGGGUACUCCCUCCCCCCCCGAUUUUUGUAUAAAAAAAUAUUAGCAGGGAAAUAAAGAAAAAAAGAUUGAAGGUGAUUUUUUCUUUUCUUUUCUUUUCGAUUUUGUAGACCCGUUUUUCUGUUCUCUUUUCUUUUUUCGUUUACACGUAUGUAAAUAAAGGUAGUAAAUAAAAGGAAAGAAUGAAGACUUACCCAUUUCGCCUUUCAGUUGCGCCGCCGUCGGGGUCUGCUCAUCGUUGAAAUCGGCCCCGAAAGGUCGAGUUAGGGGGUCCUUCGUCUUGAUUUUUGGGCCAAACGAAUAUAGCCUUCGAUUGGGUCUUAAAACGGGGACUAGAAUGCCCAUUUUGCGCAACGCCGGCCACUGUCCACGGUAGCGCUAUGGCGGCGCUAAGAAGACCCAAAGGCCGAACGUUUGAGAGGGAUGAGGAAAGGUUUUUUUUUGUUUUUUUUUAAAUUAGUGGCUGAAAUGUUUUAUAUUUUCAUAUAGUUUUUAUAUACAUAUAUAUAUAUAUUCUUAUAUGCACAUACUUAUGUUUUUUUUAUACUUUAUAUAUAUAUACACCUAAACAUGCAUACUUUUUUANNNNNNNNNNNNNNNNNNNNNNNNNNNNNNNNNNNNNNNNNNNNNNNNNNNNNNNNNNNNNNNNNNNNNNNNNNNNNNNNNNNNNNNNNNNNNNNNNNNNAAUUUAUAUUGUUAUUAAUUGUUUUAUUUGAUAUUUAUUUAUUUGCUUAUCAUUAUUUUUAUGAAAUGCUUUAGUUCUUUUUACUUACUCAUUAUUUCAUGUAUAAUUUUUUUUAUAUAUGUGUCCUUUUUAUUGUUGCUCGUAUUAUUUUACUUACAUUAUCAUAAUUGUCAUUCCAUUACGUUAAUUUUCACCCAGAUUCAAAAAAAGAAAUUUUAAAAAUAUAAAUAAUACUCGGUAUUUGGGAUCUUCGAGAGAAUCGAGUCCUAACGUAUUGGGUUCCGAUUUUCUUCGUUGAAUCUAAAUAAUUGAGACUACUCUUUUUUUAUAUAUAUAAAAAAACAUAAAUAAAAGCUCAUUAUCGGGAAUUCAAUACGUUGUGUCCUAACGCAUUGGAUAUGAUACAUUGUUUUCUCGAGAUGAGGAUUUUUCUAAAAAAAUAAAAAUAAGGCAAUGUUUUGAGUUUGGGAAAUUCGAGAAAACGUGCCCUAAUGUGCUGGGUUUCGAUUUCUCGUUUAGCCAAAUAUUCUCUUAAAUCUUAAUCUAUGUCAUUUAAGUUUUUUUAGGAUCGUAUUUUAAAUCUCUUUAAAGUUUUCAGUUUUUCGACGCUAAGACAUUAAGUAAUCAACUAGGUACCAAUUUUGGGCGUAUCGAGCGUGCUAAUCCUUCCUCGUGCGUAACCGACUCCCGAACCCGUUUUUCUGAAUUUCGUGGACCAAACUUGUUGUUUUAAUAAAAUCAAAUCAUUUAUUAAAACAACCACUUUUUGAGGUGAUCCGAUCACACCUUAUCAAAAAAGAUUGGUGGCGACUCCCACUUUCGUUUUCAUUUUUCAAAACCCAAGUCGACCCCUUUUUAUCAAAAAAAUGGUGUCAACAACAAUAACAAUAGAAGCACAUCAAAGUCAAAGCACAUAGGCUUUAAGUUCAUUGUUAUUAUAAUAAAAGUUCAGGGUGGUUAGAUGUCUAUAAAGUAUAUUGAGACGAACUCCAUGAUUACGGAUUCGCUUAUUAAGUGACUACCACCCAAAGUUUUUUUCCUGAGCACACUGUUGAUAUGGGUGUAAUGUCAUUUAAGAAUAUUUGAUUUUAGUAGGAGUUUGUACUUUUAAAUGUUUUUAUGUUAUAAACACAUUUUCAAUUAUUUUAGUUUACGAAUAUUAAGUUUAUUUUUUAUAGAAAUAAAGUUUUUUUGGUAAAGUUUGAUCUCACUAAGGUUAAUAAGGACCAGUUAGAAUAUGCAUGUUUGAAUCAUAUUACAUAUAAUUUUCAUGUUACACAUCCAUACUUGAUCUAUGUCAUUUGGUUGUGCUAAUAUAUGUGAUUAGGGAUGUAUUUAAUUAUGAUAUAUGUAACAAAAGUUGCAUUCGUUCUAUGUUAACAUAAUUAAUGGACGAGAUUGUUCGAAAUAUCUUUUGGAUAUGAUAGUAAAAUUUUGAGCUCAUAAGAUUAUAUAAUAACAUGUAAUUAUAAAGUAAUCGGUAUAUAUCAAAAGUCUUUCCCACAUUCAUCAACUAGAAAUCAGAGCUCACCAAAUGUCUAUUCUUUUCAAUCUGAACCGACUCUACAAUCACUUAUUGCUCAUGGUCAUCAGCCUAUAAACCCAGGAGCAUUGUUAACUUCUAAAUCCAAAACACUAAUAUCAGCAUCCAACCCUACAAUGAUAGUCUUAUUGACUCAUUUAAACAAGUUUCCUUUGUCAAUCUAUAUUCCGUAUUUGGUAAUCUCCAGUAUGAAUUCAGAAUUUAGGAUAGCUGGAAUAAGAAUAGCAGCAAAGAUGCAAAGGGAAACGACUUGUAGGAGGAGGAAGAACCUUCUUUUGGGUACAGACCUGUAUAGCAUAUAAUAGGAUGUCCUGUAUAAUGUCACGAGAGCUAGUACCGUUGCCAAGCAGUAAUUAGUAAUGCUGAGUCUAGAAUAGGAAACGGAUCCAGGAGUCGAAAGAGAGAAAAAAUACUGAAGUUCGAGUGUCCGUAUGGAAACAGCAACUAAAAGCAUGUAACAGGUCCCAAACAAGGAAAGUGUUAUGAGAAUAAACAAGCAGAUUGAACGGCUGGGUAGGAGAUAGGCAGUUAAAACAGUUGCUGCCCAAAAGGUUAAAGUGUUGUAUAACCAAAACAUUGUGGACACGUCUAGUAUAUUUUUUAAAUCUUCUUUUUCAGCGGGUGGAGGACUUGGUACGGGUCCAGUGCUGGUUGAACCUAAAGAUGCGUCAUACAUGAGAUGGAAAUUCUGGGAAUUUGAAAUGGUAUCAGGCUGCUUUGGAGGGUUCAAAGUGGCAGUAUAUGUGGCUGUUAUAAUUAGCACUGUGACUACUAAAAAUGUGUUACGCAUCUCAUAUGGGAUUCCCUUCUUUCCACGACUUGCUAUUGUUGCAAAAUUUUGAAGAACUGACACCUUUCCUUUUAAAUAUGCGAUGUGGAAUGAAGAGAUGGAGGUUUUGGGAAGCGAGGAAGAGGAACCACUCAAACCUCCUGCUUUGCUUAUCAUGUCUUUAAUGGACUCCUUAUAGUCCACUUUCUCUUCAUCCAAUGUGUAUUGUGAUGGGAUAUCAAGUGCAGUCAAUCCCUCCGCAUUUUUGGCAUUGAUAUGGUCACCACACAAGCGUUCCAGCAGUACUUUUACCACCUGUUAAUUAGAAUAUUCAUACAAGUAACCUUUGAGUAUAUAUAUACAUAAAAAAUUUCACUAGCAAAAUUAUCAUACCUGAGGUCUAUUUCUGAUAGCAGCAACAUGUAAAACAGUGUUGCCAUCAAUGUCUGCCCAACUCAGUAGUUCUUUCUCCCAACGGCUGGCAGCUUUAUGGCGGCUCCUUAUAAGCCACCCCACCAAGACUUGGAAAGCUUCAAACCUGUCAUUUUUUACGGCAAGAUGGAAAACCGUCUCAUCUCGAACAGUCAUAUCUUCAAUAGCCUCGGGGCAAACCUCAAGGAACUUGAUCAAAAAAUCAACAUUUCCAUUUUGAACCACAUCAUGCAAAGGAGUCAAGCCCUCCCGCCCUUUGACACGAGCAAGGCCUUCAUCAAACCUGAGGAGUCGAAGCACUGUUUGAGUUUUUUGAUUUUGCAGAGCCAAGUGCAUGGGGCUAAACCCAGCUUGGUUUAGCUUUCUUGCAAACGAUGGCUUUAAGUUGAUCAUCUCCAUCAUAAAAUCAAUAUGCCCUGCAGAGGCUGCUACAUGCAAAGGAGUAUGGAAAAAAGGUACAUCAUCGAUACGCUGUAAAGCAUAUGGAUCAUUCAGAAUUAACUCAUACAAGAUGUUUAUGUCUCCUGUUUGUGCAGCCCCCUUCAUCCUCUCAUCCAUAGCAAGGUGCGGAAAUUUGCAGAAUAUAGAAAUGGAGUGAAGAAAAAACGCUUUAGCAGAGGAUAUGAUUAUGUUAAGGAUACAAUGAAGUGUUUGAUUAUUUUUUCCAGAUGAAGUGUUUGACAUUUUAUAGCACUUUAAUUAUUUUGGAUUUAUAUGUGAUGUCAGCCUCUACACGUAUACAGGUGAAUUGUUGCCUAUUAGAAAGAAAUAGUAAUUAAAUUCAUAUUUAAUAUAUAUUUUUAAUCUAAUUUUUUUAAUUCAAUUUAAUUUUAGUUAAAACGUUUAAAAACAUUUAUUUAAUCUAAUUUCUUUAAUAUAUUAAAUAAAAUAGAUUAGAGAAUAUAUUGAAUAUGGAUGAAUACUAUAUCAUACUAAUUUUAUGUCUCUAAAAAUUAAUAAGGUGUUAUUAUUUUAUUGGUGCUUAAAAAUUUAAAAUAUUUAGAAUCAUUCUAAUAUAAGUUAUUCUUUUAAUAAUAAUAUUUGGUACUUCCACGACAAGUUCAAUGGUUGACAAAUAUCUUAUAAAAGUAUUAUAAAAUAUUUAAAAAAUAUAUUAUUUAGUGACUUAAUUUUUUAAGAACAUUUGAUAAUUCAUAAAGAAAAUAAAUAAUAUUUUUUUUCCAAUAAAAAAGGUGGGAAAAAUGAUAAGUAGAUAAGAGCUACCAUCACUUACAACAUGUUUGGACUAAAAAGAAGAAAAAAGGAGGGAAAAUUAAGUAAAAUGAGUAAAGAAAAUUUGGUUUUUUUUGUUUAAGUUAAGUAAAGUUGUUUAUUUUUUAUCGUAUUAUUAGAUUUUAUUUUUUAGAUUAUUAUCUCUUUUUCUUCUUUUGUUGACUCUUUUUCAUUAGUUUGUUAUUUCUCUAUGAAUCAGUAUCCCAACCAACUCAAUUUUGUUCAGGUAACCAUGUCUAUAUGUUUAAAAGCAUUAAUGCACUAAUCGAAAUCUGAACGUAAUAACUGUUCUCACAUUGAGGUAUAGAAGGUUCUUUUGGUGAAAAGAUGAAGCAUUGCAAAAAAAAAUUGAAUAAGAUAUUUUGAAAGAAAGCGGAGAGGAAGACUAAAACAUAUUUAGUAACAUUAAGCAUCGUACAAGUAAAAAAAAAUAAAGUAAAUAAUUUUAAAACACAAAAUUAUAACUUUAAAAAAGAUAAAACUCACAAUAAAAUAUUUUUUUUAUAAUUUUUAUACUGUUUAAUAUAACUUUAAUAGUUUUUAAUUUUUAAAAAUAAUUUUAUAUUUUUUGAAUUUUUUAAAUUAAAAAAUAAAUUAAUUGCUUACAUGACAAUUUAAUGUAUGUCAUGUCAACAAAGUUAACAAACGCUAACUUUUCUAUUCAUUUUGGGGCGAUUUGAUAAACCAACUUAGUUUAGCUUUCUAGCAAACGACGACUUUAAGUUCAUCUCCAUCAUAAACUCAAAAUGCCCUGCAAAGGCUGCUACGUGCAAUGGGGUAUCAAGAAAAGGAACAUGAUCAAUACGCUCUAAAACAUAUUGAUCAUUCUGAGUCAACUCAUAUAAGACGUUAAUAUGUCCUUGUGCAGUCUUUCUCAUCGUCUCAUCCACGGCAAGGUGUGUGUGUGUUGGGGGGAGAGGAUGAAAUAUGCCGGAACAUAAGAGUCCAACCAAUUGAGAAGGUACACAUAUAUUGAAAGGACCGAUGAAAUCUUAGACCGCACAAAACGGAAGCUAAAGGAUUGAUGAAAGAACGCUUUAGCAGAAGGAUAAUAUUGAAGUGUUUGAUUUUUCUUCUUCUUGUUAUAAUGUUUGACGUUUUGUUUGAUACCAAAUCCCACUUGUUAAAAAAUAUACAAUAAUUAUAUAUUUUUUUAAUGAUUUUUUAGAUAUUAAAUAAAUGGUAACACGUCAUAAUAAAACUCUAAAACUAGAUGCAUUUAAUUUUAAUAUAAAUAUUAUAUCAAUGUAUCAAUAUGGUUGACUUAAAUACAAAUAGUUGAUUAAUUAAUAAAAAAUAUUUAUUGAAUUAUUUAAAUAUUAUCUAAACUAAUUUAAUUUUUAAUUUUCAACCCUAUAAAACAUUUCACCAUCAUUUUUAACAAUAAUACCUAAUAUUUUAAAUUAACAAACCACAACCUUUUAAAUAUUAAUUAUCUUGAAAUUCAACUUUUUAGAAGUUAUUUUUUAACCGUCAACAACGUCAAACUGGCACUAAAGUCUUCCACUCACACUUGUAAAUUAAUAAAAGGACUCCGGUAAUCAAGGGACUUGAGAAUUUAAUCCAGUAUGAAUCUCCGUCACUCACGUAUUUGCUGUCAAUAGUGAUGGAUGAAUACGAAUUUUGUCCCAUAUACUGCUUGGAUUUAUAACCCCAAGCAAUGCAAGUGGUAAUAUUGUAGGGAUUUUCAACAUUAUCAUAAAUUUUAGGGAGGAAUUAAGUGAAUUCAGAGACGAAAUUAGAUGCCCAUUGAGUUUUGUUCAAAUCUAGGGAUUUCAUCGUCAUAUAGGGUCGAUUUUGAUAGCUAUUUUUAGCAACAACUUGAUUUAAUUAAUUAAAUUAAUUAUGAUUAGUUAAGUUUAAUUUAAGUAUAAAAGUUAAAAUUAAAUGAAAAGCAAAACAUUUUUCUCUUCAUCUUCUUCUCCACUGUUUCUAGGGUUUUGGAGCUUUCUACUUUAGCCCUCAAUUUGGUAAAUAAUUUCAAGUUUUUUUUAUUAUAAAUUUGAGCUUGAUUUGAUUUAACUAAACCAUAUUCUAUUUUUGCAAAACCGUUAAAAUUUUCAAACAGGAAAUGUUGAUCUUUUGAUCAAGUUACUUAAGGUUUGUCCUGAGGCUAUUGCAGAUGUGACUGUUCGAGAUGAGACAAUAUUCCAUCUUGCUGUGAAAAACGACAUGUUUGAAGCUUCCAAGUCUUGGUGGGGUGCUUAUGAGAAGCUUCCAUGAGCCUGCCCAAUGGAAGAAAUAACUGCUGAGUUGGCCAGACAUCGAUGGCAACACUGUUUUACACAUUGCAACUAUUAGAAACAGACCUUGGGUAUAUGCUCAUUUUUGUCAUUAAGUCAGUUACUGAUGUGCAUAUAUGCAUGAUAAAAGGGUUACUUAUAGGAAUAUUCUAAUUGAUAGGUGGCAAAACUAUUGCUGAAACACAUGCCGUGACCAAAUCAAUGCCAAAAAUUUGGAGGGAUUGACAGCACUAGAUAUCCAAUCUCAGUACCCAUGGAAUGAAAGGCAAGCAGAUAGGAUUAUAGAUGCUAAGAAAAGCAGGAGGUUUGAGUGGUUCCUCUUCCUCACUUCCAAUACCUUCAUCCCUUCAUUCCUAAUCGAAUCUUUAAAAGACAAGAUGCACGGUCUCAAAAAUGGGCAACUUCUGAAUUUCCACAAUACUUACAUUAAGAGUUCUUAUCAGAAUUUCCAGCACCACUACCACCACUACCUUUUGCAGCAACUUCUGAUCCACUACUGGCACCACUCUUCUUCCCUUUCCACUUCUAGUCCUUUCCUUCUUCACCCUGCUACAUCUUAGCCUUCAAUGCUUCCUUCCUGCCUCAUUAGUCUCUUCUACUACUGUGCUUGUAAAGCACUGAUCAACUCGACUACUCUCAGUUGAGUCAAGUCAUUUGUGUUCUCCAAAGAAGUAAUUGUUCCUUCAUACUUCUCAAGCACAGAGAUUAGUAUUUUCUACAUUAGUCUACAAUCAGAGAGAUUAGUCACUACAACAAAAUAGACUUUUAGCGGCAUUUUUAAGCGCCGCUAAAAGUAUUAGCAGCACUUUAACAAGUGCCGCAAAAAACGCCGCUAUAGACAACGCUGCUAAUUUUAGCGGUGUUUAUGUGAAAAAACACUGCUAAAGAUCAUGACCUUUAGCGGCGCUUCUACCACAAACGCCACUAUAAAGAAUGACUUUCAUGAUUUUUAAAAAAAAUAUUUUAAUUAAAUAAUAUUUAUUUCUAUGAUAAAUAUUAUAUUAUGUUUUAUUUUUGAAAUUUAAACUUUAAACUAUAUGCUUUUAAGGAUAAAAAAUAUUAAAUAAAUUAAAAUUUCUAUUAAAAUUUUAACUUUAAAGCUAAAUAUAAAAAUUAAUGAAUUUAAAUUUAGAAUUAAAAUAUUAUGUUUAAAUAAAUGAGCAAUCUACCUCACAGCUCAUCUGAUCUAUAUUAACUCGGCCAAAUAUAAAAGAAGCUACAAAACACGUAAUAAUUAACAAUCAUGGUUAAAGAAGCUAGUACACAAGGUAGCUACAAAACCCUGUUUCAAUAACACCAAAUUCAAGUUCCGACUAAGAUAAAAGACCAUGACGAUGUGCUUGUUUCCUUCUAUAUAUCUUUGGAAGAAUUCCUUCAAGAAAUCAUCCAUGGAAGUCACUCCACCUGCAGUCAAUAUUAAAAGAUAAACAGUGUCAUCAUCUUGAAAUAAGUAUCUUAUUGAGCUCUUUUGAAUCAAAUAACAUAAAUCUUCUAGCAAAAAGAAACAAAUACAUAAUCUAUAAUGCAAGUAGCUUAGGAAUCAUUGAUAAUUCCCAAAUACCAAAUAAUAUAUGAAGAUUAUAUUUUGACGAUUAAAGAAAAUAUGUAGAGAGGGUUCUUCUCAAGACAUCAUUUUGAUUGAAAAGCAAAUCAGUAAAUCUGGAAGAUAGGAUACAAAUCUAAAAAGAUUUCAGCAAUUGCUAAUACUUAAUAUAAAUGAAUAGAAUUCAUAAACAGGCUGAAAAAAAUGCCGCGAAUGCUCAUUUUUAGCGGCGUUUUUUCAAAAAUUGCCGCAAAUGCUCAAUCUUUAGUGGCGAUUUCCAUAAAGCGCUGCUAAUGCUCAAUUUUUAUCGGUGUUUUUUGUCCAAGUGCUGCUAAAAGCCUAUUUUGGUGUAGUGAGUCCCGAAACCCUUACCUUAUUAGCAAUAUCUAUCAACUUGUUUGAGUAUUCUUUGAUUGACUCAAAAUCUUUUAUUUGUAGCCUAUCGAAUUCCCUGGUCAAGUUCAACACCUUCAUGAUCUAGAACCUCUUAUCUCCUUGAUACUCAACCUUGAGGUAGUAUCUCCUUUAUUGAUCCAAAAAUAAUAAUUCUAUUGAAUAUGGCUAGUGAAACAACAACAUAAAGGCAAACCUUUACAUUUGCUUUCCAAGUGGUUCUUUCUUUGUGCAGUUUGAUCUGGUUCAUAGUUGGAUUUUUGGAAAGUGAAACCACCUCAUAGUCUUCCUCGAUAACUUCCCAAUAAUCACAACCAUCCAUGUAUGCUUGCAUUCUCAUAGCCUAUGCUUGAUAGUUCUUUCCAUCAAACACAUGUGGGGUUAAGACAGACAAAUUGCUUGAUCUUGAUUCCAUUUUUCUCAAUUCCUUACAAGUGUAUCUCUCAAUUUUUGUCUUAGGAUUCUCAUAAGGCCUCUCUCACAGGUCCCUCAAGAAAAAGAGGCUCUCGAUACCACUAUUGUUUCAAUGGAGAACUAACUAAAGGCACAAAAAUUGAAAAUGGAGAAAGUUGAUUAAAAUUUAUUAACCAAGCAAUGCUUAUUUACAUGACUCAAGCAAUGCUUAUUAAAUCAAAUUUUUAUUAUUUUUGGGGGCCAAAGUGUAAUUUUACCAUUACUAAUUUAGAAUUUUAUAAAUUAUAAAGGGUCUAACUGAAAAUUUUUCUAUUUCAGGAGGGCCGAGGGCCCUGCCACCCCCCCUUGGCUUCGCCACUGAUAUUAGUUCUCGUGGUAUUAUACUAGAUAGCCAGUUAUAUACUAUAUAGGUUUGUACCCAAAAGAAAAAUAUCUUCCUCCUUAUGGCAUACUAGUUCAUAUGCUUUUAUUUUUAAGAAUUUAAACUAUCCUUAAUCAUAUAGUCCGCUAUAUCAUUCAGUCAUCACUCUCUUCACCGCUCAUUUAUCUUGUUUUUUAUUUGAUUUAAGAUUUCGUACAUCGAAAUUUCCUUUGACCUUUCAAGAAGUUUUAUUUUCUAAAAUUAGUGCGUUUUAAUCACCUAUAAAAUCAAAAUUUUUAUUCAAGUUGCAGUUGAUUUGGACUGGAUGUACAUUAUCUAUGGCUUUGGGAUACUUGGAAGUUUCCUACGACCUUCGAAGAAAUCUGUUUUUUGAGACAAGAGUGAUCGAGUCGUGUAUAAAUUUUGGUCAGGUUCCUGUGUUUUGCAAAUUUCCUUUCCUACAUUCUCUUCUGGUUCUUUUUUCUGUGUUUCGUUGCAAAUUUCCUUAGUUUUCAAUUUUCAAUUAUCUGAAGAUUAACUGCUCAAUUUAUUACCCCCAAAAGAAAAGUUAUGGAUGAGAGGAUGAUAGAGGCUGCCCAAACAGGAGAUUUUAACCUCUUGUAUGAGUUGAUUCUGAAUGAUCCAUAUGUUUUAGAGCGUAUUGAUGAUGUGCCUUUUUUCCAUACACCAUUGCAUGUAGCUGCCUCUGUUGGGCAUAUUGAGUUUAUGAUGGAGAUGAUCAAAUUAAAGCCAACGUUUGCAAGAAAGCUAAACCAAGCUGGGUUUAGCCCCAUGCACUUGGCUCUGCAAAAUCACAGAACUCAUGCAGUGCUUCGACUCCUCAGGUUUGAUGAAGGACUUGUUCGUGUUAAAGGGAGGGAGGACCUCACUCCUCUGCAUCAUGUGGUUCAAAAUGAAAACUUGAAUCUUUUGAAAAAGUUUCUUGAGGUUUGUCCUGAGGCUAUUGAAGAUAUGACUGUUCGAGAUGAGACGGUUUUCCAUCUUGCUGUGAAAAACGACAUGUUCGAAGCUUUCCAAGUCUUGGUGGGGUGGCUUAUGAGAAGCUGGUAUGAGUCUCCCCGAUGGGAGAAAGAAUUACUUAGUUGGCCAGACAUUGAUGGCAACACUGUUUUACACAUUGCAGCUAUCAGAAACAGACCUCGGGUAUAUGCUAAUUUUUGUCAUUAAGUCAGUUAUUGAUGAGUAUAUAUGUAUGAUAAAAGGGUUACUUAUAUGAAUAUUUUAUUAACAGGUGGUAAACGUAUUGCUGGAACACAUGAGGCGAGACCAAAUCAAUGCCAAAAAUUUGGAGGGAUUGACAGCACUAGAUAUCCAAUCACAGUACCCAUGGAAUGAAAGGCAAGCGGAUAAGAUUAUAGAUAUGCUAAGCAAAGCUGGAGGUUUGAGUGGUUCCUCUUCCUCGCUUCCCAAUACCUCCAUCUCUUCAUUCCACAUCGAAUCUUUAAAAGACAAGAUGUCACGGUCUCAAAAAUGGGCAACAAGAGCAGGUCGAGGAAAGAAGGGUAUGGGACAUGAGAUGCGCAACACAUUUCUAGUAGUGACAGUGCUAAUUAUAACAACCACAUACGAAGCCUCUUUAAACCCUCCAAAGAAGCCUAAUGACAGUCCAUCCAUGAAAUACCAAGUCUCUUCAAGUCAAGAUGAGCCUCUCAAUUCCCACACAUUUUUGCAUAAAACCGACUUCAAUACUGCUCCCAUACCCAGUCCCUCCGCAAUUGACGUUUUGGAUCUAGAUGAUUGGACAUUUAAAUACUCCUCAUUUUUGUUUUGCAACACGUUCACCUUUUGGGUAGCAGUGUUCUUAACAGCACUUCUCCUACCACCUCAUUCAUUCUCUUCCUUGAUUCUCCUAACACUUUCCUUCUUUGGGAGAUCUUACAUGAAUUUAUUUGAUGUUUCCGCAUGGUCAUGGGGAGAUUCAUAUGAGUUUUCCAAUGAAAACGCACACUUAUUAUAUGUUGUAGCCUCCUUUUGUAAUGUUUUCUUCUCAACGUUGCUAGUUUUCCUUGUAUCAUACCAGACAAUAUUUUAUUUUUGCAGUAGGGUAAACAUUACCAAACCAAAAUUCUUCUUCCUCCUACUAGUAGUUGUCAUUGGCUGCAUGGUUUUUAUGUUUGGUUAGCUUAGUGAUGUGAUGGCCAUCGAUAAAUAAAAUCAAGUUUGGUGAAUGUACCCUUUCAUUCCAUUGAUAAAAGAAGUUUAUCUUUAAGUUUUAAAGUUGUUAUAUAUCAUCUAUCUUGCUCCAUAUAUAAAUAUGGAGUGCAAAUCUGUUAAAUACUUAAAUGUGAUAGACUAAAACAUCAUUCUAAUAUAUUAAAUUUAAAAUAUUUUGAUAUUAUUAAAAGCAAUGAUUAAAUUAUUUUAACAUAUAAUAUCUUUUUUUAAGAGUAUUGAUUUUAUUUUUAGCUUUAAAAAAACACAAGUAAAAACAAAAUUUAAUUAACAAAAUUUUUUAUACAAUGCCACAAAUUUAUGUUUUUUUUACACUAAUAGUAAUAUCGAUACUAACUAAAUUAAAAUUCAAUCGAUAAAUAAUUUAAAUUAUUAAUAAAUUAAAAUCUAUAUUAUAUAUUAUACUUUAAAAUAUUUAUGAUAUAAAAAUAUAUUAAUAUAAUACCGACAUAUUGAUUAUUGAUUGUCGUGUUUAAUUAAGACUAGUAUAGCGUCUUAAGGUCAGAUGGGACUAUUGAAGAAACUUUUACCCCUAAGUGCCAAUUCGUUUGGAAUAAGAAAAAACAAUAAAAAGUGCUACUACUUUUUCUUUUCUUCUUUCUGUUUAAGACUUCUAUGGCUUGGGACCAUACGAGAAUUGUAUGUUCUACUUUUAAUUCUAGGACGACGUGAGUACAAAUUAAAUAUUUUUGUAUUGGUAACAAUAUUGAUUGUAAUCAAUUAAAAUAUUAAAUUUUACACUAAAGAACUUAAUAGAAAGAAUGUUGAUGAUGCUAACAACUAAACUUGAAUUUUUAAAUUCGAAAAUUAGAAAGAUUAAAUCUUAAAAGUAAAAGUAGAUGGACUAAUUAAAUUUCUAAUGUAUAAAGUGAUAAGGACUUAAAGUAUAUUUUAACACUUAAAUUUUUAUUUUAUAAUUUCAGACAAUCAAAUAAUCAAUCCAAUAUAAAACGUGGUCAAAAAAAUUCUAUUUUCAUUUCAAGCCUUCAAACAAACAAGCAAAAACAAAAUAAAAUCAAAAGAAGAGAUCAAGUUGUCACUAGAUAACAAUUCUAGGUAGGAUUGGACCGAUGAGGUUCCGGUCCACAAUGAGCAAAACGGUGAGAGUGAUCCGAUUAAGUGAAGAAAUUUGAGAAGGGGGGGAGGGGGAACUUUCAUCGUUGUAAAGUGAAAAAGCUAAGGGAGUGAUUACAAUUUGAUUAUUAUUUCAUAUGCAAAUUCAAUUUUAAUUUAAAAUAACUUGAAGGCUAAAUUCAAUAAAAAAAUACUUUUAUAUUUCACUUUAAUAUUUAACAAUAAUAAGUUAAUUAAUAUAAUAUUAAAUUUAAAUAAAAUGGUUAUUUUAUAAAAUAAUUGUUUUUUCAUUUAUGAUAUAUGGACUUUUAUUUCUCAAGUUUUUAUAAAAUAAGGCUGUUAGGGUUGUUGCGUAUGUAUGCAUGUGUGUAUGCCUUGCAUGGGUGACAUUAGCAAACAAUAUCCCUCAGUUAGUAUAUAAGCUGAGCGAUAGUUGCUGAAAUGUGUGAGUUCCGGAAUAAUAAAAGUUCAAGUUUAUGCUUCUAUUUACUUUCUUGGCAAGUUUUCUCAGCUGCCAAACAGCUACAUAUGAUCGUUUGAUGUUCUUAACUAUCGACUUGUUGGAGUUUAGAGAAGUUGAGAGAGCAAAUAAAGAGAAAAAAAAGGAAAAUAUUUGCUUUCAAAAUUUUUCAUUAUUAUUAUUUUUACACAUGUAAUACAAUAUAUGGGUGUAGUGGUUACAGAUAAUUCAACAAAUCCUACUAAUACACCUUGAAAAUAUCAAUUUAUACAGAAACUGAUUAGGUAAAAUCAAUACCUAAAAAUAUCAAUUCAAUACUAACUCUGCUUGCUUUAACAAGUAAUCUCAGCAAAUAAAUUAAUUACAAAACAUUUAUAUCAGCAAAGGUGAACCCUACCAGCAUUACAACUAGUGGUUCACCAAAAACUUUACUAGCUCAUACUUUGAUGAGCUCCCAGCUUCAAUUGAACUCGCACUUUUUGUUCAACUCACAGCUUCACCGGAAGAAUUCGCCACUGCAUGCCACUUCACAACACGAUUGCAAGAAAGCUAAACCAAGCUGGGCUUAGCCCUCUGCUCUUGGCUCCUCAAAAUGACAAAACUCAAGCGGUGCUUCGACUCCUCAAGUUGACAAAGGCCUUUGUUCGUGUGAAAGGGAGGACGGCCUCACUCCUCUGCACCAAGUUGUUCAAACUGGAAAGGUUGAUCUUUUGUUCAAGUUUCUUGAGGUUUGUCCUGAGGCUAUUGAAGAUCUGACUGUUCCAGAUGAAACGGUUUUCCAUCUUGCCGUAAAAACCAGCAUGUUUUAAGCUUUUGAGCUCUUGGUGGGUGGCUUAUAAGAAGCCGCCAUGGAGCUGCCAAAUGUUGGGAGAAAGAACUACUUAGUUGGCCAGACAUUGAUGACAGUACUGUUCUGCACGUUGCAGUUUUAAACUCACCUCAGGUAUGCUAAUUUUGUUAGUUAAUUCAAUUAUUAAAUAUACAUAUAAUAGGGUUACAUAUUUGAUUUUUUUUUAACUAACAGGUGAUAAAAGUAUUGUUGGAACAUUUGUGUCGACAUCUGUUGGAACAAAGAGACAAUAACAGGCUGUUUUGUAUCUUGCUUGAAUAGCAAGCCUCGAGCCUUGGUGAAGAAACAAACUCAGAAGCAGAAACAGAAAAUGAAACUAGCAAGUGAAUAACAGAAAAGAGAGAAGAAGAAUGAAUGAAAAAUGAGCUGAUAUUUUUCAUUAACACACAACAAGGCAUUAAGCCAUUACAUAUUUCAGUCAACAAGUAAAACAAACAAGUAAUCACCUAAUCAACUACCUAACUCCACUAAUUUGCAUUGAAACUUACAAGAUUAGCUUGUACAACUUGCAUUGCUGACUUUUCAGUCAAUCAAUAUCAAAACAUUUACCUACUUAGUUCAACAUGAACUAGAUUACAAAACAAUCAAAAUGGAACUAAAAACAGCAAGUGGAUUGGCAGCUUCAAACUUCAGUUGCUGCACACAAUGGCAUCACUGCUUGCUGCUAUUUCUUCGAGCAUGACCACCUUUGCAUGUCGUGCAUGGCCACCUUUGCAUGGGAACUAAACUUAACAACAUCAUAUCAAUGCCAAAAAUUUGGAUGGAUUCACUGCCCUAGAUAUCGAACCAGAGUUACCAGAAUGGCCAUUGGAUGAAGGGCAAGUGGAUAAUCGGGACUCCAUUAAAGAUAUGCUAAGCAAAGCAGGAGUUUGAGUGGUUCUUCGCUACCUAUGAGGCUCCGGUCUACAAUGGGAAAAACGGUGAGAGUGGUCCAAUUGUGUCGUCCUUAUUUGGGACCUGUUGCCCGCUUUUAGCUGCUGUUAACAUAUGGGCACUCAUCCUAUCAUGAUGGCCACAGCAUUGUUAAUUACUGCUGUUAACAAUGUUAACAAAAAAUUGUUAACUGUUUAUCCUGAAUUUUAAAAUAUGAAAAUAAAAAAGAUUAAAUUAUUAAAAAUAAAAUAUAUGAAAAAAAAUUUAAAAUUUUGAAAAGUACAUCGUCAAUCAUAUGGUCUGCUAAACCAUUCUUUCAUCACUCCUUCCACCACUCAUUUAGGUUGUUUUCUGUUUGAUCUAAGAUUUCCUACUUGGAAAUUUCCUUUGAUCUUUCAAGAUGUUUUAUUUUCUCAAAUUAGUGCGUUUUACUCACCUCUCAAAUCAAAACUUUUAUUCAACCUGAGUUGCAUUUGAUUUGGACUGGGUGUCUAUUUUCUAUGGNNNNNNNNNNNNNNNNNNNNNNNNNNNNNNNNNNNNNNNNNNNNNNNNNNNNNNNNNNNNNNNNNNNNNNNNNNNNNNNNNNNNNNNNNNNNNNNNNNNNNNNNNNNNNNNNNNNNNNNNNNNNNNNNNNNNNNNNNNNNNNNNNNNNNNNNNNNNNNNNNNNNNNNNNNNNNNNNNNNNNNNNNNNNNNNNNNNNNNNNNNNNNNNNNNNNNNNNNNNNNNNNNNNNNNNNNNNNNNNNNNNNNNNNNNNNNNNNNNNNNNNNNNNNNNNNNNNNNNNNNNNNNNNNNNNNNNNNNNNNNNNNNNNNNNNNNNNNNNNNNNNNNNNNNNNNNNNNNNNNNNNNNNNNNNNNNNNNNNNNNNNNNNNNNNNNNNNNNNNNNNNNNNNNNNNNNNNNNNNNNNNNNNNNNNNNNNNNNNNNNNNNNNNNNNNNNNNNNNNNNNNNNNNNNNNNNNNNNNNNNNNNNNNNNNNNNNNNNNNNNNNNNNNNNNNNNNNNNNNNNNNNNNNNNNNNNNNNNNNNNNNNNNNNNNNNNNNNNNNNNNNNNNNNNNNNNNNNNNNNNNNNNNNNNNNNNNNNNNNNNNNNNNNNNNNNNNNNNNNNNNNNNNNNNNNNNNNNNNNNNNNNNNNNNNNNNNNNNNNNNNNNNNNNNNNNNNNNNNNNNNNNNNNNNNNNNNNNNNNNNNNNNNNNNNNNNNNNNNNNNNNNNNNNNNNNNNNNNNNNNNNNNNNNNNNNNNNNNNNNNNNNNNNNNNNNNNNNNNNNNNNNNNNNNNNNNNNNNNNNNNNNNNNNNNNNNNNNNNNNNNNNNNNNNNNNNCAGAACCCUGUAGCCCUUCUUGACUGAGCUGUAGCCUACUAGAACACCUGGUUGAGCCCUUUUAGAGAGCUUGUCUCUCUUUGCUGCUGGUAUUUGUGCAUAACACAGGCAACCAAACACCUUCAGAUGUGCCAAAGAAGGCUUGAAACUGAACCAAGCCUCGAAAGGUGUCUCGGAUGCAAGAGCUUUGGUAGGAAGCCUGUUCUGAAGGUAAACAGCAGUGUUUACUGCCUCAGCCCACAUGGUUUUGGGCAGUUUCUUUUCAAACAGGAAACAUCUGGCCAUAUCCAUCAGGCUGCUGUUCUUUCUUUCAGCUACCCCAUUCUGCUGAGGUGUGUAGACAUUUGUAAGCUGAUGUUUGAUACCAGCAUCAUUGCAAAUGGCUUGAAACUGAGCUGAAGUGUACUCAGUGCCAUUGUCUGUCCUUAUCGAUUUCAGCUUGCAACCUGUUUCUUUCUCUACAGCAGUUUUAAACUUCACAAACACUUGAGCUACCUCAGACUUGUGUUUUAAGAAGAAAAUCCAGCAAAACCUUGUAAGAUCAUCAAUGAAGAGGAUGAAAUACCUGUUUUUGCUGAGUGAUUCAGUCCUCAUCGGGCCACAUACAUCAGAGUGCACCAGCUGCAGUCUUUCAGUAGCUCUCCAAGCUGAAUUUGUAGGAAAUGGCAGUCUUGCCUGUUUCCCCAUUUGGCAAACUUCACAUACAUCCUCAUGCUCCACUGAGCUGGUGAAGUUCUCUGCCAAACCCUCUUUGGCCAUUCGAGCCAUUGAUCUGAAGUUGGCAUGUCCAAGCCUUUGAUGCCNNNNNNNNNNNNNNNNNNNNNNNNNNNNNNNNNNNNNNNNNNNNNNNNNNNNNNNNNNNNNNNNNNNNNNNNNNNNNNNNNNNNNNNNNNNNNNNNNNNNGUCAUUGUGACUGUCAUAAGGCUUGAUCCACUUGGAUCAGUAAUGUGGCAUUGUUUGUCCUUGAACACAACAGAAUAACCUUUCUCGAGCAGUUGAGCUAUGCUGAGAAGGUUUCUGUCAAUUUCUGGCACCAACAGCACAUUUGGAAUGAUCUUGUUGCCUGUGGGAGUACAUAUCAGCACUUCUCCUCUUCCUCCAGUCCUUAUAAACUGACCAUUUCCAACCUUGACCUUGGUUUUAUAACUUCUGUCCAAGGUUUUAAACAAGGAGGCAUCUGGUGACAUGUGGUUAGUGCAACCACUGUCCAGCAACCAGCCUUUUGAGCAUUUCUUCUGAACAGCUAAGCAGGAAACAGCAAAGACCUGUUCUUCUUGGUCACUACUGUCCUCAGCUACUCGAGCUUCAACCUUUGACUGCUGAAAUUGAUUCUGCCUUGGCUUACUCCUGUUUUUACAGACCCUUUCAACAUGGCCCUUCUUCUUGCAGUGUUGGCAUACUGCAUCUGGCCUAAACCAGCAUCUGUCUUCUGGAUGACCUGGCCUCUUGCAAUGUCUGCAGGGCUGGUCAUUACUCCUUGCAAUAUCAGUCUUAGGCCUGUUUUUCCAAGGCCUUUUGCCUCUUGGAGCUUUGAAGCUCGAGGCUUCUCUGGCCUUGGCAUUGAAUGCACCUUCCUGGUGAUCUUCAGCUCUGCUAGCUCUCCUUUGUUCCUGAGCAUAGAAAGUGUUGAUUAGCUCAGUCAAAGAGAUGGUAGCAAGGUCUCUUGAGUCCUCUAAGGAGGAUAUCUUGGCCUCAUAUCUCUCAGGCAAAGUGGAGAGGACCUUUUCCACAAUUCUUGCCUCAUCAAAGUGCUCACCAAGGAGCCUUAUACUGUUAACCACUGCUAUGAUUCUGUCUGCAUACUGCUUCACUGUUUCUUCUUCCUUCAUCUUUAGAUUCUCGAAAUCCCUUCUCAAAUUUAAUAGCUGCUGUUGCCUUGUUCUCUCAGUGCCUUGAAACUCCUCCUUAAGCUUAUCCCAGGCCUGUUUUGGAGUCUCACAGGCCAUAAUUCUGGUGAAGAUGACAUCUGAUACACNNNNNNNNNNNNNNNNNNNNNNNNNNNNNNNNNNNNNNNNNNNNNNNNNNNNNNNNNNNNNNNNNNNNNNNNNNNNNNNNNNNNNNNNNNNNNNNNNNNNNNNNNNNNNNNNNNNNNNNNNNNNNNNNNNNNNNNNNNNNNNNNNNNNNNNNNNNNNNNNNNNNNNNNNNNNNNNNNNNNNNNNNNNNNNNNNNNNNNNNNNNNNNNGUGAAAAACUUGAGGAAGACAUUCAGCUUUCUUAGUUUAAUACAACAGGUCCACUAAGAAUGAAGCUCUAGAUACCAAUUGUUGGAACAAAGAGACAAUAACAGGCUGUUUUGUAUCUUGCUUGAAUAGCAAGCCUCGAGCCUUGGUGAAGAAACAAACUCAGAAGCAAAAACAGAAAAUGAAACUAGCAAGUGAAUAACAGAAAAGAGAGAAGAAGAAUGAAUGAAAAAUGAGCUGAUAUUUUUCAUUAACACACAACAAGACAUUAAGCCAUUACAUAUUUCAGUCAACAAGUAAAACAAACAAGUAAUCACCUAAUCAACUACCUAACUCCACUAAUUUGCAUUGAAACUUACAAGAUUAGCUUGUACAACUUGCAUUGCUGACUUUUNNNNNNNNNNNNNNNNNNNNNNNNNNNNNNNNNNNNNNNNNNNNNNNNNNNNNNNNNNNNNNNNNNNNNNNNNNNNNNNNNNNNNNNNNNNNNNNNNNNNNNNNNNNNNNNNNNNNNNNNNNNNNNNNNNNNNNNNNNNNNNNNNNNNNNNNNNNNNNNNNNNNNNNNNNNNNNNNNNNNNNNNNNNNNNNNAUGGGAACUAAACUUAACAACAUCAUAUCAAUGCCAAAAAUUUGGAUGGAUUCACUGCCCUAGAUAUCGAACCAGAGUUACCAGAAUGGCCAUUGGAUGAAGGGCAAGUGGAUAAUCGGGACUCCAUUAAAGAUAUGCUAAGCAAAGCAGGAGUUUGAGUGGUUCUUCGCUACCUAUGAGGCUCCGGUCUACAAUGGGAAAAACGGUGAGAGUGGUCCAAUUGUGUCGUCCUUAUUUGGGACCUGUUGCCCGCUUUUAGCUGCUGUUAACAUAUGGGCACUCAUCCUAUCAUGAUGGCCACAGCAUUGUUAAUUACUGCUGUUAACAAUGUUAACAAAAAAUUGUUAACUGUUUAUCCUGAAUUUUAAAAUAUGAAAAUAAAAAAGAUUAAAUUAUUAAAAAUAAAAUAUAUGAAAAAAAAUUUAAAAUUUUGAAAAGUACAUCGUCAAUCAUAUGGUCUGCUAAACCAUUCUUUCAUCACUCCUUCCACCACUCAUUUAGGUUGUUUUCUGUUUGAUCUAAGAUUUCCUACUUGGAAAUUUCCUUUGAUCUUUCAAGAUGUUUUAUUUUCUCAAAUUAGUGCGUUUUACUCACCUCUCAAAUCAAAACUUUUAUUCAACCUGAGUUGCAUUUGAUUUGGACUGGGUGUCUAUUUUCUAUGGCUUUGGGGUACUUGGAAAUUUCCUUCGACCUUGGAAGAUAAUUGUUUUUUGAGACAAGAGUGUUCGAGUCAUGUAUAAAUUUUGGUCAGAUUCCUGUGUUUUUGCAAAAUAUAAGUUCUAUUUCCUUUCUAUCUUGUCUUCUGGUUCUUUCUUCUUUGUGUUUUGUUGCAAAUUUCAUCAGCUUUCACUAAUCUGAAAAUUUACUGCCUAAUUUAUUACCCCCACAAAAAAAGCUAUGGAUGAGAGGAUGAUAGAAGCUGCCCACAUGGGAGAUAUUAACUUCUUGUAUGAGUUGAUUCUGAAUGAUCCAUAUGUUUUACAGCGUAUUGAUGAUGUGCCUUUUUUUAAUACUCAAUUGCAAGUAGCAACCUCUGUUGGGCAUAUUGAAUUUAUGAUGGAGAUGAUCAAAUUAAAGCCAACGUUUGCAAGAAAGCUAAACCAAGCAGGGUUUAGCCCCAUGCACUUGGCUCUGCAAAAUCACAGAACUCAUGCAGUGCUUCGACUCCUCAGGUUUGAUGAAGGCCUUGUUCGUGUCUAAGGGAGGGAGGACCUCACUCCUCUGCAUCAUGUGGUUCAAACUGAAAACUUUAAUCUUUUGAAAAAAAUUCUUGAGGUUUGUCCUGAGGCUAUUGAAGAUAUGACUGUUCGAGAUGAGAUGGUUUUCCAUCUUGCUGUAGAAAACGACACGUUUGAAGCUUUCCAAGUCUUGGUGGGGUGGCUUAUGAGAAGCUGCCAUGAGUCUGCCCAAUGGGAGAAAGAACUACUGAGUUUGGCAGACAUUGAUGACAACACUGUUUUACACAUUGCAGCUAUUAGAAACAGAGCUGGGGUAUAUGCUAAUUUUUGUCAUUAAGUCAGUUAUUGAUGUGCAUAUAUGGAUGAUAAAAGGGUUACUUAGAGGAAUAUUCUAAUUAACAGGUGGUAAAAGUAUUGCUGGAACACAUGCGGCGAGACCAAAUCAAUGCCAAAAAUUUGGAGGGAUUGACAGCACUAGAUAUCCAAUCACAAUACCUGUGGAAUGAAAGGCAAGCGGAUAGGAUUAUAGAUAUGCUAAGCAAAGCAGGUGGUUUGAGUGCUUCCUCUUCCUCGUUUCCCAAUACCUCCAUCUCUUCAUUCCACAUCGAAUCAUUAAAGAAAAAGAUGUCACGGUCUCAAAAAUGGGCAACAAGAGCAGGUCCAGAAAAGAAGGGUAUGCCACAUGAGAUCCGUAACACAUUUCUAGUAGUUAUGACACAUGCCCAUGUGAAGGAGGCACACGCCUAUGUGAAAAGAGGCACACACACGACCGUGUGCCCUAGAGACAUGACUGUGCGAAUAACCCAUGUUACUCUUUGUCCGAAAUUGUUAAAAUAAGGUGCAAAGAAGACACAGCCGUGUGAAAGUCUCACAUGCUCGUGUGCCACGGAACACUACUGUGUGCCCAGAACACACGCCCAUGUGAUUAUCAACUAAAAUCUCCAAAUCGAAACCACAAGAUCGUAUGACACCAAAAAUCAUCGAAAAACCCUAAUUCCUAAAUUCGCACAGCCGUAUGAACUGCCCGUGUGUGGCACAAGCCCAUGUGGUUACGAAACCACACCGAAACAAGCUACAGAACAUGCAUUUGCUACCGAAACAACCCUCAAUCCUCGUUAACAUAGUAAUACACCAAAAACAAAUAGUAUUUCAAGCAAUUCCACAACAAUCGACACUUCGAUUGGUAAAUUUCAGAAACACACAAAAUAUGUCGAAUUUCACGGAGCCAAAUCAAAAUUUUAAAAAUGAAAAUGAUGAGUUUUCAAACCCACACCUAAAUUUGUGAUCAAAGCACGAGGAGAACAACAAAGAAGAAAGCCAGAACGUAGGAGAAGGAAAUAAUAAAAUCUCCCCAACAAAAACAAAAAAAAAUUUGGAACAAAAAAAAAUGGAAACAAAUCUAACGUGAGGAAGAGGGAGGGAGAGGAGGAACGUGAAAAGAUUUUUUAGGAUAACUCCCUGUUUUAGACACAAAAUAAUAAUAAUAAUAAAAUAAAAAGAAUUAAAUUAAAUAAAAAUAACAAAUAAGUAUUGAAACUUUAAACAAGCUAAAAUAAAAUUGAUUCCUCUAAAACACUCAUGAGGGCUCAAACUUGAAAUCCGAAGGUAAACUAACACACUCGCCACUACCAACCAGCAGACUCAUUCUAACAUUAAAACGCAAAAACAAGCACAAUUACUCAGCCUACUCACUAACCCUUACUUAAAACCUCAAAUCUUCUAACCCCAAAAUUUAGGAUGUUACAUGUAAUGUCCAUAUUUUUCUAAUACAAUUUUAUACAUGAAUUUUGGUUUUGUGCAGUUUUGCACAUGAUUUUUUUAUUUAAUUUAUUUUUCACAAACUACUAACAAAAUUAUUGAUAUAUAUCACCAUUUUAAGUUUACAUAUUAUAUACAUAAAUAAGUAUAUUUAUAAGAUAUCAAAAUAAAUCGAUGUCUUUAAACGUAACACCAAAACAAAGUUUGAUAUAUAACUCAACAUAUAAAAAGAAGUUAUUAAACAAUACAUAUAAUGUUUAGAACUAUAGUUCUAAUAUUAUUGGUAAAUUUAUAAUUUUCGGUUCACGUAAAUCGUAAUUAUAAAAAAUAAAAUUAUGACUUAUCUUGGAUUAAACUUACAUUAUAUUAUUUAAAUAAAUAAUUUACUAGUUUUUAAUGUCAGGUAGAUGUAUGUAAUUUUAUGCUUUUAAUAUUUAAUUAAUUUUAAAUAUUAUAUUUUUAAUUGAAAUAAUUAAUGUAAAAUAAUAUUUUUUAUUUGAAUUAUUGAAUGUAAUUAAAAUAUAUUAACUUAUCACUUCAAAUAUUAUAAUAGAAAUUUUUUAAAUCAAAAUUGCAUUUUUAACAUAAUCGACCUACAAUGUAAUUUUACUUUUAUGUAACUAAUACAAGUAACAUUAUUCAAAACAAUAACUAAUCAAUAUAAUUAAAUCUAGUAAUAAUUAAUUUUUAAUUAAGAUACUUAAAAUUUUAGUAAUAAUUCAAUUUUACAUUGAUAAAUAUAUUAAUAUAAUUUUUUAUUUGUAAAUAUAAAUAUAAUAAUAUGAUAGAAAAUAAAAAGUAUUUUAAUAUGGAUAAAUAAAUUUUAAAAUUUAAAAUUCAACAUAUAUAUUUACAUAUUUCGCUAAUUCACCAACGUAUAUGCCUUGAUUUGAUAUAGUUAAUAUUCGGAUAAUGUUGUGAAUCACAUAUAUAUAUAUUUUGAAGUUUUAUCAUAUUUUCAUGGGUAAAAUACUUUAGAAGUUGUUGUACUCUUUGAAAAUUUAGAAUUUAGUUUUUAUGCUUUUAUUUUUAAGAAUUUAGUUCAUUUAUUUUUCAGAUUUUAAAAUUCAAAUCCAAUUGUUAAUAUUGUUAAUAUUUUUAAUUUCUUUAUGUUAAAUUCAAGUUCAUUACAACAUAUUUUUAGUUACAUGGUUUCCAAGUGUUUUUUUUUUAAAUGUCACACCAACAAAUUUAACAAAAAAAAUUUGAGUGUUAACAAUUGGACCUGAGUUUUGAAAUUGAAAGGUAGAGGGACUAAGUUUUUGGAAAUAAAAGUAUAUGGAUUAAAUUUCAAAAUUUUGAAGAGUACAGAUACUUAUAACAUCUUUUAACCUAUUUUAAAAAUGUUUUGAAUCAUUACUUAACUUAUUUAGCUCUUCCAAUAAUUAUUUUAGAAUCUUUUUAAAUUUUAUCUUUCCUUAUAUAAUCUUUAUAAUUUUUUAAAAAUAAAUAUUUUGAAUUUAUUUUUUGUAAUUUUUGUUGAGAGAGAGACUAACCUACUCAUUUUCAAAAUUGUCAAGGACCAAACGAAUAUUUACAUCAAUCUAAUAUUUGAAUUAUUUGAAUCGAAACUCAAAUUACUAAUUCGAGUUGAGUUGAAAAAUCGAAUAACUCAGUUUCAUUAAAUAGAAAUUUAAUUUUUCUUUCUUUAUUCGAAUUAAAUUGAGUUUAAGUCGCCCUUAGUUUUACUCUAUAAAUAGGAUAUUUUUAAUAAUUUUUACCGUUCCUUCAACUUGCUUUUUGUUUGGUCCAAGGUUUUAUAGUUGGAAAUUCCCUUGGACCUUUAAAUAUGUUUAUUUUCUCAAAUUAGUGCGUUUAUGUCAUAAAUAAAAUCAACCUUUUUAUUUAAUGUGUAUUUCAUGUGGACUGGAUACCUGUUUUCUGUGGCUUUAGUUCUUGGAAAUUUCCUUGGACCUUGGAACAAAUUUGUUUCCUCAAACUAAAGUGUUCAAAUCAUGUAUAAAUUGUGGUCAGAUGCCUGUGCUUUUGCAGAAUACAGGUUCUAUUCCCUUUUCUGUAUUGUCUUCUGGUUCUUUCUUCUUUAUGUUUUGUUGCGAAUUUCAUCAGCUUUCAGUAAUCUGAAAAUUUACUGCCUAAUUUAUUACCCCAAAAAAAGCUAUGGAUGAGAGGAUGAUAGAGGCUGCCCAAACAGGAGAUAUAAUUAACCUCUUGUAUGAGUUGAUUCUGAAUGAUCCAUACGUUUUAGAGCGUAUUGAUGCUGUACCUUUUUCUCAUACUCCAUUGCAUAUAGCAGCCUCUGCUGGGCAUAUUGAGUUUAUGAUGGAGAUGAUCAAAUUAAAGCCAACGUUUGCAAGAAAGCUAAACCAAGCUGGGUUUAGCCCCAUGCACUUGGCUCUGCAAAAUGACAGAACUAAAGCAGUGCUUCGACUCCUCAGGUUUGAUGAAGGCCUUGUUCGUGUCAAAGGGAGGGAGGACCUCACUCCUCUGCACCAUGUGGUUCAAACUGGAAAUGUUGAUCUUUUGGUCAAGUUACUUAAGGUUUGUCCUGAGGCUAUUGCAGAUGUGACUGUUCGAGAUGAGACGGUAUUCCAUCUUGCUGUGAAAAACGACAUGUUUGAAGCUUUCCAAGUCUUGGUAGGGUGGCUUAUAAGAAGCCGCCAUGAGUCUGCCGAACGUUGGGAGAAAGAACUACUGAGUUGGGUAGACAUUGAUGGCAACACUGUGCUACACAUUGCAGCUAUCAGAAACAGACCUCAGGUUUGCUAAUUUUCCUAAUCAAGUCAAUUAUUGAUAUGUAUGUAUAUGAUAAAAGGGUAAUUUACAUUAAUUAAUUUCCAAUUAACAGGUGGUGGAAGUAUUGCUGGGACACUUGCGUCGAGACCAAAUCAAUGCCAAAAAUUUGGAGGGAUUGACAGCACUAGAUAUCCAAUCACAAUACCCAUGGAAUGAAAGGCAAGCGGAUAGGAUUAUAGAUAUGCUAAGCAAAGCAGGAGGUUUGAGUGCUUCCUCUUCCUCGCUUCCGAAUACCUCCAUCUCUUCAUUCCACAUCGAAUCAUUAAAGGAAAAGAUGCCAUGGUUUCAAAAAUUGGAAACAAAAACAGGUCGACUAAAGAACGGUAUUUCAUAUGAGAUGCGUAACACAUUUCUAAUAGUGAUAGUGCUACUUAUAACAACCACUUACGAACCCUCUUUAAACCCUCCAAACAUGCCUUAUGACAGUCCAUCCAUGAAAUACCAAGUCUCCUUAAGUCAAGAUCAGCCUCUCAAUUCCCACACAUUUUUGCAUAAAACCGACAUCAAUACUGCACCCAUACCCAGUCCCUCCGCAAUUGACGUUUCCAAAAAAGAUUGUUGGACAUCUAAUCACUCGUUUUUGGUUUUGAACAUGUUCAACUUUUCGGUUGCAGUUCUUUUAAUAGGACUUCUCCUACCAUAUCAUCCUUUCUCUUUGUUGAUUCACUUACCACUUUCCGGCUGUAUGGUAUCUUACACGGAGUUAUAUGCUUCCUUAUGUGAGUUUUCCAAUAAAAACGCACUUCUUUCUGGCGUUUAUAAUUUUUCCUUUACAAUGUUGCUGCCUUUUCUCGUAGUAUGCGGGUCAAUCUUUUAUGUUAUGGGCAAAGAGACAAAAUUUUCUAAGAAUCUGAAUUAAAUUGUAUAUUUGUUGAAGUUAGCUUCCAUGCAACACAAGCAGCAACAAACGUGUCCAUGCAAGCCACAUGCAGAAAAGAAGCAGCACAUGAAGGCAGCCGCUUGAGCUCGACAUUGCUGUCCAAAUUCAACUAGUUUUGUUGGAUUAAGUUUAUAUUUUGUAACUUAGUUCUUAUAGAACUUAGUUGGUAAACUUUUGAUGUAAUUUUUGAUGAUUGAUUGACUGAAAAUCCGGCCAAUGUAACUUAUGCAAGCUGNNNNNNNNNNNNNNNNNNNNNNNNNNNNNNNNNNNNNNNNNNNNNNNNNNNNNNNNNNNNNNNNNNNNNNNNNNNNNNNNNNNNNNNNNNNNNNNNNNNNGGUACGUGAUUAGGUAGUAUUUUGAUUUGUAAGUUUAACUCAAUGUUUGAUAUUUGUAAUGCCAACUUGCCAAUGUUUUGUUAAUGAAAAAUUAGAUUCUUUUUCAUUCAAAUUCUCUCCUUUCUUUGCUUUUGUUUUCUAUUUUCCACUUGCAAAGCUUUUCUUCUGUUUUGUUUCUUCCCCAAGCCACGAGGCUUGCUGUCCAAGCAAGGCUAGACCAGCUUGCUUACUGCCUUUAACACCAACAAUAUUUCUGUAAUAAUAAAAAUAAAAAUUUAUCAAUUUAAUAGUCUAUAUUUUUAUAUUUUUUAGAAGAUUAAAUCAAAAUUUUGUCAUUUAUAGGAGCCAAAAUAUAAUUUUAUCAUUACUAAUUUAAAAUUUUAUAAAUUAUAAAAGACUUAAAUAGAAAAAAAAAAUCAUUUUAAGGAGGCUCCAGCUCCCUGACUCCGCCUCUGCAGGUGGGUAACCAGUACCAAUCCAAAAUUCUCCAACCUCAUAAUAUAAUCUUUUACAUUGGCUUCCUCCUUUCUACACUGUGUCCAGUUUCGUGGAUCCUUCUAAUGUAAAUGCCGAAAGCGUAAUGAAGUUUUGGGGUUUGUAUUAGAGAUGGUGAUGGAGUAGUUAUUGGGUUGAGCUGGUUCAUUAGUUCCCUUCAUCUCUUCUACCGGACUCUUAUUCCUUUUUUAUUAUCAAGGGUGAAGGUCUGCACAUACUUUUGUUUAGGCCUAAUCGUCUCUUGAGGAAGAGCUAUGUUGUAAUGAUAAAAGAAGUGCGAAUUUGUUUGUCAAGUAGUUGUUGAAUAAGGAUCUUAACUAGGAUCUUAAAUAAAGGGAAAUGUAUUUGUUAUGUGCUCAUGAUACAUACCAUCGUGAUUCAUCAAAACAGCAUUCUAAAAUAUUUACUUUAAUUGUAAUUACUUGGUAUGCUUUACAAACGAGGUUGAGAUUUUGUUACAUAUUUUGUUUAUUUUUUUUAAAAACGAGGUUGAGAUUUUGUUACAUAUUUUGUUUUUUUUUUUAAAUGAGAUUGAAAUUUUGUUACAUAUCUUAUUUAUUUUUCAAAAAAUUCAAUAUAAUUUAAAGGCACGUGAUGAUAUAAAUUCUACUUGCACAAUUAAAAAAUUUCCAUUGGCAAUAUUUUAAAUAAUUAUCCUUAAUUCAAAACAAAUAAGUGUUGAGUGUAAUAGUAAAAUAUAUUGCAUUUCCAAGAAAAGAUGUAAGUUCAAACCUUGGAAAUAAUAUUAUUAGAGCGGCAGCCAUGAACUCCGAAUAUGGACCAUAAAAUAGAUAUAAAAAAUAUGUAAAAUAUUUAGAAAAAUAAUAAAAUAUAAAACAUCACGUUAGAGUACUAUUACAUAUUACUAUAGAUUUAAUUUUAUGUGUUAUAAAUAAUAUAAUAUAUAAAAAUAACAAAAUAUUUAACAUUACAAACUUAUAAAAACGGGUUUAACCUGGGCUGACCUGGUCUUUAAAUGUUCAAGCCCAUUUUUCAAAUCUAAUCUUUUUACCUAAAUCCUCCUCAUUUUUUAAACAAGCGAAUAUUCGGAGGAUUCUUCUAACCAAAAUAGAAAAUAUAUCAAAAAACUAAAAAGUAUAACAAAAAUAAUAAAUAAAAAAUUUACAUAUAAUUUGGAAUUUCUAAUUGUACUUAGAAUUGUAUAACGUAUAAUUGUAAUUUGUCAGCAAAGUUGUUUCUUUUUUUUCCCCUUAAAAUUCAAAGAAUUCUUCUCCCUUUAUACAUAGGUCAUCGAUUCAGCAUUAGAAAAAGGGGCUCAAAUCGUUUUAUCGACAUGAGUGUUUUAUGUCGAAAAAAUAUUUUUGUUUUGAAAAUAUUUCUGUAUUUAGUAACAUAGUAGUAAAAAGAGUACCCAAUUGCAUCUGAACUUCAAACGGGUUUGGCCUUAACCAUGUUAAUGGUCCCAGAUUAUUGGUUAAUAAAGAAUCAAAGUCGAUGUGCCAAUGAAUCACGAAAUGCUAUAGUUCUAUAGUAUGAUUUUAAAAAUAUAUUCAGAAGUAAUUCGCGAGAUCAUGCACUCUUUUAUUUCCUAGUUAUAAUGAAAAAAAGUACAACUGGGUGAAUCCAGCUUAUUCUUGAAAUAAACAACUCACACACACUCACUUUCCAAAAAAGAUUAAUACACCAAGGACUACACUUAGAUUUAUUAGAUUUGUUGCUAAAAUAUCGGUAUUAACCCCGAAACUCUCGGCAGAUGGCCAGUGACCCAAGGAAACGAAAGAAUCGAUUACAUUUUUCAUAUGAUCUCCUAUUUUAUUUUAGAUAGACUAACAAAAAGAAUUCAGUUUUUUUUUGUAUUAUAUCGCUUUGACUCCUUUUCCAUUUAUUCUAUUCUAUCAUAUUUAUAUUAUUCUAAUUAUUCUAGUUCUAUGUAUUUCUUUAUUUGUUUUAAUAAAUUAUUAAAUUUAUUAUAAAAUUAUUCAUUAUUAUGAUUAUGAAUUUUCAUUUACCUAUGUCUAAACGGAGUUAAAAAAAUAUAUUCUAUUUAUCUAGUUAGCUAGAAAUGUAUUUUUUAAUUGAAAAUUCCCAAUAAUAAUAAUUCUUAUUAGAAUUAGGGAGCAGGUUUCAUAUCAAUGGCAAAAUACCUCAUUUGUUGCUACACUCCUUUAAACAAUAAAUAAUAAAUAAGGGGUUCUUUUGAACUAAGAAGGAGAAGGAAGAAAGCGAGUUGGCGUGAUAAUUCUUCAGCCUCAAAUUAAUCCUUUCCACGGAUUAUUGUCCUAACGAAUAUUAAUUGUAGGGGUGAAAUCUUGAUAGAAUUCGAAAAAGCGAGGAGUAAGUCCCAAGCCAUAAAAUAAGAAAAACAAAUACAAAAUUCUCAUGUUUAUAGGAUUAAAUAAAGGGAUUCACAAAUAAGAGUGCCAGUGGUACAACCAGCGCAUAAAUUGUUAAAGCUUCCAUAAAAGCCAAACUAAGCAAUAAAGUACCUUGUAUUUUUUCCUCCGCCUCAGGUUGUCUCGCGAUACCUUCUACAGAUUGGCCCGCAGCAGUACCUUGACCGCCUCCAGGUCCAAUAGAAGCAAGCUCGACAGCCGACCCUGCAGUAAUAACGGAAGCGGCAGAAAUUAGUGGAUUCAUGAUAAGUUCCUCGCACCAAAAUAAAGAAAUAGUUAAUGAUACAAUCAUCCAAUGAAUUUUGACUUAAUUAUAUUAUAUCAUCCAUAUGUUUUACAGCGUAUUGAUGAUGUGCCUUUUUUUAAUACUCAAUUGCAAGUAGCAACCUCUGUUGGGCAUAUUGAAUUUAUGAUGGAGAUGAUCAAAUUAAAGCCAACGUUUGCAAGAAAGCUAAACCAAGCAGGGUUUAGCCCCAUGCACUUGGCUCUGCAAAAUGACAGAACUAAAGCAGUGCUUCGACUCCUCAGGUUUGAUGAAGGCCUUGUUCGUGUCAAAGGGAGGGAGGACCUCACUCCUCUGCACCAUGUGGUUCAAACUGGAAAUGUUGAUCUUUUGGUCAAGUUACUUAAGGUUUGUCCUGAGGCUAUUGCAGAUGUGACUGUUCGAGAUGAGACGGUAUUCCAUCUUGCUGUGAAAAACGACAUGUUUGAAGCUUUCCAAGUCUUGGUAGGGUGGCUUAUAAGAAGCCGCCAUGAGUCUGCCGAACGUUGGGAGAAAGAACUAUUGAGUUGGGUAGACAUUGAUGGCAACACUGUGCUACACAUUGCAGCUAUCAGAAACAGACCUCAGGUAUGCUAAUUUUCCUAAUCAAGUCAAUUAUUGAUAUGUAUGUAUAUGAUAAAAGGGUAAUUUACAUUAAUUAAUUUCUAAUUAACAGGUGGUGGAAGUAUUGCUGGGACACUUGCGUCGAGACCAAAUCAAUGCCAAAAAUUUGGAGGGAUUGACAGCACUAGAUAUCCAAUCACAAUACCUAUGGAAUGAAAGGCAAGCGGAUAGGAUUAUAGAUAUGCUAAGCAAAGCAGGAGGUUUGAGUGCUUCCUCUUCCUCGCUGUUGGAACAUUUGGCAGCAGCAAAAGAANNNNNNNNNNNNNNNNNNNNNNNNNNNNNNNNNNNNNNNNNNNNNNNNNNNNNNNNNNNNNNNNNNNNNNNNNNNNNNNNNNNNNNNNNNNNNNNNNNNNNNNNNNNNNNNNNNNNNNNNNNNNNAUUUAUAGUCAAAUACAUCACCAAAUACUACCUACUACCACUAGUUUUACUUUGAAACAAGUAAAACUUAACUUGCACACAAGCUGAUUAUGUCAAUCAGCACCUAAAAACAUCAAAACAAUACCAACUUAGUUCAUUUUCAACUAAGUAGCUUAACAAAGAAACUAAAGAGAAAACCUUGCUGCUACAGCAAGUAUACGUGCUGCAGCAUGUCAUCAAGCUGCAUGCACUUCAAACAGCAGCAUGGUUGGCCAAUUUCAACACUCCUCCUUUGGACUCCAUGCUGCAAAUACAUAUCAUUCAUCAAGUUUUUGAACUUGGCAGCCCUUAGAUGCUUUGUUUCAAGCUGACCAAUUCAUUUUCAACCUUGGCCUCAUUCACAAACAAAUCUGACUUACACACUUGACUAUCCCAGUCUUUUGUGCCAAAGAUUUGUUCACCAAAUGGAGUCUUCUCCUCCUUCACAGCCUUGGUUGACAACUUGUUUCUUCUUGCACAAACAGUUCCUGAGUAUAGUUGCUUGCCUUCAUUCUGCCAUUUUGGCUUGCAACUAUACAACACACAUUAAGCUUCCACAUGUUGCUGAGCUCACACCUUUGACAGACUCACAUCUUUGCAUAUUGUCUUCAACAGGUGUCUUCAACAGGCUCGUACUUUGCUAAGCUUGCAGCUUUGACAUCUUGCUAAGCUUGCACAUUUGGAAAGCUCACACCUUUCCUUGAAACUCCUCCUUCAGCUUAUUCAAGCUUGUUUGGGGGUCUUAUAAAUUUGAGCCGGUGUUGAGCAGGGGAAGCAAAAUCAAUGGUCCCUUAAGACUUAGGCUCUUGAUACCAUUUGUUGGAACAUUUGGCAGCAGCAAAAGAAGAGAACAGAGAGCAUAACAAUGAAGCAAGGUGCAAGAAGGAUUUUUACUUGCUCACAAAUGUGUAGCAAGGGAGCUUAUGGCUGAUAGCCUAUUUAGCUCAUUCAUUCAACUAGAAAAACAACAUAUUUAUAGUCAAAUACAUCACCAAAUACUACCUACUACCACUAGUUUUACUUUGAAACAAGUAAAACUUAACUUGCACACAAGCUGAUUAUGUCAAUCAACACCUAAAAACAUCAAAACAAUACCAACUUAGUUCAUUUUCAACUAAGUAGCUUAACAAAGAAACUAAAGAGAAAACCUUGCUGCUACAGCAAGUAUACGUGCUGCAGCAUGUCAUCAAGCUGCAUGCACUUCAAACAGCAGCAUGGUUGGCCAAUUUCAACACUCGCUUUCGAAUACCUCCAUCUCUUCAUUCCACAUCGAACCAUUAAAGGAAAAGAUGCCAUGGUCUCAAAAAUUGGAAACAAAAACAGGUCGACUAAAGAACGGUAUUUCAUAUGAGAUGCGUAACACACUUCUAAUAGUGAUAGUGCUACCUACAAAAACCACUUACGAACCCUCUUUAAACCCUCCAAAGAUGUCUUAUGACAGUCCACCCAUGAAAUACCAAGUCUCCUUAAGUCAAGAUCAGUCUCUCAAUUCCCACACAUUUUUGCAUAAAACCGACAUCAAUACUGCACCCAUACCCAGUCCCUCCGCAUUUGACGUUUCCAAAAUAGAUUAUUGGACAUCUAAUCACUAGUUUUUGGUUUUGAACAUGUUCAACUUUUCGGUUGCAGUUCUUUUAAUAGGACUUCUCCUACCAUAUCAUCCAUUCUCUUUGUUGAUUUACUUACCACUUUCCUGCUGUAUGGCAUCUUACACGGAGUUAUAUGCUUCCUUAUGUGAGUUUUCCAAUAAAAACGCACUUCUUUCUGGCGUUUAUAAUUUUUCCUUUACAAUGUUGCUCCCUUUUCUCGUAGUAUGCGGGUCAAUCUUUUAUGUUAUGGGCAAAGAGACAAAAUUUUCUAAGAAUCUGAAUUAAAUUGUAUAUUUGUUGAAGUUAGCUUCCAUGCAACACAAGCAGCAACAAACGUGUCCAUGCAAGCCACAUGCAGAAAAGAAGCAGCACAUGAAGGCAGCAGCUUGAGCUCGACAUUGCUGUCUAAAUUCAACUAGUUUUGUUGGAUUAAGUUUAUAUUCUGUAACUUAGUUCUUAUAGAACUUAGUUGGUAAACUUUUGAUGUAUUUUUUGAUGAUUGAUUGACUGAAAAUCCAGCCAAUGUAACUUAUGCAAGCUGAUUAACAAUUUCCAAUGUAUUAAGUGGAGUUAGGUACGUGAUUAGGUAGUAUUUUGAUUUGUAAGUUUAACUCAAUGUUUGAUAUUUGUAAUGGCAACUUGCCAAUGUUUUGUUAAUGAAAAAUUAGAUUCUUUUUCAUUCAAAUUCUCUCCUUUCUUUGUGUUGCGCGGAAGCGUGUAAAAGAGUAAAAUUAUUGUACUAAAAAAUCACACUAAGUUCAAUUCCUAGGAAAGAGAGGUGGAUCACGAGGAUCGCUUAAGUACCAGGUCUUUCCUAGCCAGAAUAUCCCUCUAUCGUAAUUUAAUAGCACAAUAAAUCACUACAAUCACACUCGCAAAAUAUGCAAAAUAAACAAUAAAGAACACUAGAAUUUUAAUGAGGUUCAGAAAAUUUUGCCUACGUCCUCGGGCACUACCAAAUAUAUUUCACUCCAAAAUACAAGUGAAAGUUUACAAAUAAGGAGAGAGAACAAUUGCCUUAAGUAGAGAAUGGCAAAUGUGGGAUGUAGAAAAUGAGAAAUAGUUAGGCCUAUUUAUAGUUGAAGCUCAAGGAUCAACUUGCAAAGUCCCUAUACAAUUAGGGACCAAAAUUGCAAUUAUCCCAAGCCAAAUUUCAACCCUAAAAUCUAUGCCUUAAAUGUUUUGAGUUUCGGUGCCAAAUUUCUGACACCAUCCAUCGUUGAAAAGUCAAAGAUGGUUGCCAAUAAUCUCUACCUUGAAGAUUUGAUUAGGAUAAUCUUAUCUUCACACAAUUCUUUCUACCUUUGACAACAAUACUUGAUAGUGCCUUCUUCAACUGUUAAACUUACAGGAUAUUGAUCAAGUUCAAACAAUGUUCGAACUUGAUUGUUGUUACCACUUUGGUCAUCAUAUCUGCAGGAUUAUCUGCAGUCUUGAUCUUCUGAAAUUUUCCCCCCAUCAAUAAUUUCUCGCACAAAAUGGAAUCGUACGUCGAUAUGCUUUGUACAUGCAUGAUAGACUUGAUUCUUUGCUAAAUGAAUAGCACUUUGACUAUCACAAUACACGUUAAUAUGCUUCUGAACAAAUCCCAAGGUUUUAACCAUACCUUGUAACCAAAUAGCUUCAUUUACAGCCUCUGUUACAGCCAUGUAUUCGGUUUCUGUGGUUGACAACGCAACUGUAGACUGCAGUGUAGACUUCCAACUUAUAAACACAUAACCGGUGGUUGAUCUUUGUUUGUCCAAAUCACCGGCAUAGUUAGAAUCAACGUACCCAAUAACACCUUUACCAAGUGUAGUAUCCUGCUUGAACAGUAAUCUAACAUCCACGGUCUUCAGAAUAUAUCGUAGAAUCCAUUUCACAGCUUGCCAAUGUCCUUUUCCAAGAUUAUGCAUAUACCUGCUCACUAUACUAACUGCCUGUGAAAUGUCGGGUCUUGUACACACCAUUGCAUACAUCAAGCUACCCACUGCAUUAGAAUACGGAACUUGUAACAUGUAUUCUUGUUCCGUAUUCGUCGAAGGAGAUAGUUGUGCAGAAAGCUUGAAAUGAGAAGCCAACGGGGUACUUACAGGUUUUGUUUGCUCGUUCAUGCCAAAUUGCUGUAGUACUUUCUUCAAAUACUGCUUCUGAGAUAAACUAACUCUGCCAUGAGCUCUAUCUCUACAUAUUUCCAUGCCAAGAAUCUUCUUAGCUUCACCUAGAUCUUUCAUCUCAAACUCGAGAUUGAGCUGAGUCUUCAAUCUCUCAAUCUCAACUUUGCUCUUAGAUGCUAUCAGCAUAUCAUCAACAUAUAAGAGCAGGUAUAUGGAAGUUCCUACUUGUAGCUUCUGAAAAUACACGCAAUGAUCAAAUUUACUUCUUGUGUACCUUUGUCCUUUUAUGAACUGAUCAAAUCGCUUGUACCACUGCCUCGGAGAUUGUUUCAAUCCAUAAAGCGACUUCGUCAGUUUGCAAACCCAAUUUUCUUUAUCAGCAACCUUGAAUCCAUCAGGCUGAGUCAUAUAGAUCUCCUCUUCCAAAUCACUGUGUAAAAAAGCCGUCUUCACAUCAAGCUGAACUAGUUCAAGGUCAUAUUGCACAACCAGGGCUAGCAAAAUCCGAAUAGACGAAUGCUUCACAACUGGAGAAAACACUUCAUUGUAGUCUAUUCCUUCUUUCUGAGCGUAACCUUUUGCUACCAAUCUAGCCUUGUAUCGAAUUUCAUUUUUACCAGAAAAUCCUUCCUUCUUUGCAUAUACCCAUUUGCAUCCAAUUGCCUUAUUUCCCUUGGGCAGUGUCACCAACUCCCAAGUCCUAUUUUUAUGAAGAGACUGCAUUUCUUCAUUCAUAGCCUGCUUCCACUUUACACCAUCAGGGUUACUUAUUGCUUCUGUGUAAGUAGAAGGAACAUCAUCAUCUGCAAUUGGAAGUGCAUAGGCCACUAUAUCAUUAAAGAGAGCAGGCUUACGAAUCUCUCUUCUUGGCCUCCUAUAUGCAAUUGAAUCUUGUUGCUAUAGAAGUUCUUGAGUCGAAACUUCUUCAUCAUUUGCUCCUUUAGUAUUAGCUGGAUCAUCAUUAACCUUUUCAAGCUCCACCUGCUGCAAAGUGCCACUAGUUUUGUCAUCCUUUUGUGAAUCAUUGUUCUUCAUCAUGGUUGAUUCAUCAANNNNNNNNNNNNNNNNNNNNNNNNNNNNNNNNNNNNNNNNNNNNNNNNNNNNNNNNNNNNNNNNNNNNNNNNNNNNNNNNNNNNNNNNNNNNNNNNNNNNAUCAGGACACCAGAGACGGUAUCCUUUUACUCCACUAGUUAUACCCAUGAAUAAUGCUUUCUUUGCUCUUGGGUCUAACUUAGAUUCUUUUACAUGAUAAUAUGCAGUGGAACCAAAAACAUGUAAAGAAUCAUAAUCAGUAGCAGGUUUACCAGUCCACAUCUCCAUAGGAGUUUUUCCAUUUAUUGCAGCUGAUGGCAACCGGUUAAUUAGAUGGCACGCAUAUGUAACUGCCUCAGCCCAAAAUUCCUUGCCCAAUACAGCAUUGGACAACAUACAUCGAACUUUCUCCAGUAUAGUCCGAUUCAUACGUUCUGCCACCCCAUUCUACUGUGGUGUAUCUCGAACAGUGAAGUGUCGCACAAUGCCCUCAUCUUGACAUACUUGUAGAAAUGGAUCAUUUUUGUACUCAGUACCAUUUUCUGAUCGAAGUCGUUUGACCUUUCGACCAGUCUGAGUCUCCACCAUCUUCUUCCACUUCAGAAAUGCAUCCAAAACUUCACUUUUUCUUUUCAUUAGAUACACCCAUACUUUUCUUGAAUAAUCAUCAACAAAAGUAACAAAAUAGUGCAUACCUCUCAAAGAAGCCACUUUGGUAGGUCCCCACACGUCACUGUGAACAUAGUCCAGAAUUCUUUCCGUAUUGUGAAUUACUGAACCAAAUUUUACCCUCGCCUGCUUGCCCAGAACACAAUGUUCACAGAAUUCAAAUUUGCAAGAAUUUACACCUUUCAACAAGCCUUGCUUCGCCGAAGUCUACAAAGCUUUUUCACCAGCAUGUCCUAAUCGCAUAUGCCAUAACCUGGUAGCCUCUGAAUCUGCAUCUUUCGCAAAAGCUGUUGAUGUUGAUCCAAUAAUUGUACUUCCAUUUAAAUAGUACAAGUUAUUUCUUCUAGUGCCUUUUAUCACCGUCAAUACCCCAGCUACUACCUUUAGUAAUCUAUCUCUCAAAGUGACUGUGAGCCCUUUAGGUUCUAGGGCCCCUAAUGAGAUGAGAUUUUUCUUCAAGCUAGGUACACAGCGAACAUCUGUCAAGACUUGGAUUGAGCCGUCGUGAUUCUUCAAUUUGAUUGUACCUACUCCUAUUGUCUUACAAGCACUGUCAUUGCCUAUAAAAACAACUCCACCUUCUAGUUUUUCAAGACUAGAAAAUCAAUCCUUAUUAGGACACAUAUGUUAAGUACAUCCCGAAUCCAAGAUCCACUCAUCCGUAUGACAUUUCAUUGCCAUGCCAACCAAGCUAAAGUCUGACUCCUCAUCAUGCUCCGCUACACAUGCAUCAGAAAUAGCCUUGCCCUUUUGUAACUUAAGACAAUUCUUUUUCCAGUGCCCUUUCUCACGACAAAAAGCACAUUCAUCUUUGGCGGGUCUCCCUUUGGACUUGCCCCUUCUACGAGGUUUGUUGCUGUGUGAACGACCUCUUACUAUUAAGACUACUGCAGUUGUAUCUCUGUGAUCUCUUUUAUCUUUCUUUCGAGUCUCAGAUCUGUACAACGCACUACAAACUGCAUCAAAUAUGAUCGUAUCCUUCCCAUGAAGCAAUGUGGUGGUAAGAUGAUCAUAUUCAUCGGGAAGAGAAUUCUACAACAAUAAUGCCUUGUCUUCAUCUUCAAACUUCUCAUCCAAAUUUAGCAAGUCUGCUAAAAUUUUAUUGAAUGAGUUCACAUGGUCAUUCAUCGACAUUCCGGGUGCAUACGUGAACCGAAAAAGUUUCUUUUUCAUAUAAAGCCUAUUUUCAUGACUUUUCGUUAGAAACUUUUCUUCCAGUGUAUCCCACAACUUCUUCGCUGAUGUCUCCCUCAUGACAGAGUACUUCUGCUCUUUGGCCAAACAUAGGCGGAUUGUACCACACGUCUGUCUAUUGAUCUUGGCCCACUCCUUGCCAUCCAUCUUGUCAGGUUUUUCUUCAAGGGCUAUAUCCAACUCUUGCUGACAUAAGACAUCCAGGAUCUCACACUAUCACAUACCAAAAUUAUUGGUACCAUCAAAUUUAUCUACAAAUUUUGCAUUGGUCACGGUAGUCUUUGUUGAUGACGAUGCCUCUGCCAUUUUUCUCCUCAAUCCCAACUACUGUAUAUGUGAACAGUACCGUCUACGUGAAUAGUGCAGUGGAUGAACAAUACCGUAUACGUAAAUAGUAUCGUAAACGGUCGUACUCCCCAAGUACGAAUCUAGCUUCGAUACCAAUUGUUGCGCGGAAGCGUGUAAAAGAGUAAAAUUAUUGUACUAAAAAAUCACACUAAGUUCAAUUCUCAGGAAAGAGAGGUGGAUCACGAGGAUCGCUUAAGUACCAAGUCUUUUCUAGCUAGAAUAUCCCUCUAUCGUAAUUUAAUAGCACAAUAAAUCACUACAAUCACACUCACAAAAUAUGCAAAAUAAACAAUAAAGAACACUAGAAUUUUAACAAGGUUCAGCAAAUUUUGCCUACGUCCUCGGGCACUACUAAAUAUAUUUCACUCCAAAAUACAAGUGAAAGUUUACAAAUAAGGAGAGAGAACAAUUUCCUUAAGUAGAGAAUGACAAAUGUGGGAUGUAGAAAAUGAGAAAUAGUUAGGCCUAUUUAUAGUUUAAGCUCAAGGAUCAACUUGCAAAGUCCCUAUACAAUUAGGGACCAAAAUUGCAAUUAUCCCAAGCCAAAUUUCAACCCUAAAAUCUAUGCCUUAAAUGCUUAGAUUUUCGGUGCCAAAUUUCUGACACCAUCCAUCUUUGAAAAGUCAAAGAUGGUUGCCAAUACUUUGCUUUUGUUUUUUGUUUUCCACUUGCAAAGCUUUUCUUCUGUUUUGUUUCUUCCCCAAGCCACGAGGCUUGCUGUCCAAGAAAGGCUAGACCAGCUUGCUUACUGCCUUUAACACCAACAAUAUUUCUGUAAUAAUAAAAAUGAAAAUUUAUCAGUUUAAUAGUCUAUAUUUUUAUAUUUUUUAGAAGAUUAAAUCAAAAUUUUGUCAUUUAUAGGAGCCAAAAUAUAAUUUUAUCAUUACUAAUUUAAAAUUUUAUAAAUUAUAAAAGACUUAAAUAGAAAAAAUCAUUUUAAGGAGGCUCUAGCUCCCUGACUCCGCCUCUGCAGGUGGGUAACCGGUACCAAUCCAAAAUUCUCCAUCCUCAUAGUAUAAUCUUUUACAUUGGCUUCCUCCUUUCUACAUUGUGUCCAGUUUCGUGGAUCCUUCUAAUGUAAAUGCCGAAAGCGUAAUGAAGUUUUGGGGUUUGUAUUAGAGAUGGUGAUGGAGUAGUUAUUGGGUUGAGCUGGUUCAUUAGUUCCUUUCAUCUCUUCUACCGGACUCUUAUUCUUUUUUUGUUAUCAAGGGUGAAGGUCUGCACAUACUUUUGUUUAGGCCUAAUCAUCUAUUGAGGAAGAGCUAUGUUGUAAUGAUAAAAGAAGUGUGAAUUUGUUUGUCAAGUAGUAGUUGUAUCAGGAUCUUAACCAGAAUCUUAAAUAAAGGGAAAUGUAUUUGUUAUGUGCUCAUGAUACAUAUCAUCGACUCCAACACCCUUAAAAGUGAUUCAUCAAAACAGCAUUCUAAAAUAUUUACUUUAAUUGUAAUUAUUUGGUAGGCUUUACAAACGAGGUUGAGAUUUUGUUACAUAUUUUGUUUAUUUUUUUAAAUGAGAUUGAAAUUUUGUUACAUAUCUUAUUUAUUUUUUAAAAAAUUCAAUAUAAUUUAAAGGCACGUGACGGUAUAAAUUCUACUUGUACAAUUUAAAAUUUUCCAUUGGCAAUAUUUUAAAUAAUUAUCCUUAAUUUAAAACAAAUAAGUGUUGAGUGUAAUAGUAAAAUAUAUUGCAUUUCCAAGAAAAGAUGUAAGUUCAAACCUUGAAAAUAAUAUUGUUAGAGCGGCAGCCAUGAACUCCAGAUAUGGACCAUAAAAUGGAUAUAAAAAAUACGUAAAAUAUUUAGAAAAAUAAUAAAAUAUAAAACAUCACGUUAGAGUACUAUUACAUAUUACUAUAGAUUUAAUUUUAUGUGUUAUAAAUAAUAUAAUAUAUAAAAAUAACAAAAUAUAUAACAUUACAAACUUAGAAAAACGGGUUUAACCUGGGCUGACCUGGUCUUUAAAUGUUCAAGCCCAUUUUUCAAAUCUAAUCUUUUUACCUAAAUCCUCCUAAUUUUUUAAACAAGCGAAUAUUCGGAGGAUUCUUCUGACCAAAAUAGAAAAUAUAUCAAAAAACUAAAAAGUAUAAUAAAAAUAAUAAAUAAAAAAUUUACAUAUAAUUUGGAAUUUCUAAUUGUACUUAGAAGUAUAACGUAUAAUUGUAGUUUGUCAGCAAAGUUGUUUCUUUUUUUUUUCUUCAAAUUCAAAGAAUUCUUCUCCCUUUAUACAUAGGUCAUCAAUUCAGCAUUGGAAAAAGGGGCUCAAAUCGUUUUAUCGACAUGAGUGUUUUAUGUCGAAAAAAUAUUUUUGUUUUGAAAAUAUUUCUGUAUUUAGUAACAUAGUNNNNNNNNNNNNNNNNNNNNNNNNNNNNNNNNNNNNNNNNNNNNNNNNNNNNNNNNNNNNNNNNNNNNNNNNNNNNNNNNNNNNNNNNNNNNNNNNNNNNNNNNNNNNNNNNNNNNNNNNNNNNNNNNNNNNNNNNNNNNNNNNNNNNNNNNNNNNNNNNNNNNNNNNNNNNNNNNNNNNNNNNNNNNNNNNNNNNNNNNNNNNNNNNNNNNNNNNNNNNNNNNNNNNNNNNNNNNNNNNNNNNNNNNNNNNNNNNNNNNNNNNNNNNNNNNNNNNNNNNNNNNNNNNNNNNNNNNNNNNNNNNNNNNNNNNNNNNNNNNNNNNNNNNNNNNNNNNNNNNNNNNNNNNNNNNNNNNNNNNNNNNNNNNNNNNNNNNNNNNNNNNNNNNNNNNNNNNNNNNNNNNNNNNNNNNNNNNNNNNNNNNNNNNNNNNNNNNNNNNNNNNNNNNNNNNNNNNNNNNNNNNNNNNNNNNNNNNNNNNNNNNNNNNNNNNNNNNNNNNNNNNNNNNNNNNNNNNNNNNNNNNNNNNNNNNNNNNNNNNNNNNNNNNNNNNNNNNNNNNNNNNNNNNNNNNNNNNNNNNNNNNGAACUAAGAAGGAGAAGGAAGAAAGCGAGUCGGUGUGUAUAAUUUUUCAUCAUCAAAUUAAUCCUUCCCACGGAUUAUUGUCCUAACGAAUAUUAAUUGUAGGGCUGAAAUCUUGAUAGAAUUCGAAAAAGCGAGGAGUAAGUCCCAAGCCAAUAAAAAUAAGAAAAACAAAUACAAAAUUCUCAUGUUUAUAGGAUUAAACAAAGAGAUUCACAAAUAAGAGUGCCAAUGCUACAACCAGCCCAUAAAUUGUUAAAGCUUCCAUAAAAGCCAAACUAAGCAAUAAAGUACCUUGUAUUUUUCCCUCCGCCUAGGGUUGUCUAGCGAUACCUUCUACAGAUUGGCCCGCAACAGUACCUUGACCAACUCCAGUCCAAUAGAAGCAAGCUCGACAGCCGACCCUGCAGCAAAAACGGAAGUGGCAGAAAUCAGUGGAUUCAUGAUAAGUUCUUCGCACCAAAAUAAAGAAAUGGUUAAUGAUACAAUCAUCCAAUGAAUUUUAACUUAAUUAUAUUAUUCCAUCGCUAAGAUUCAACCUGCCGAAGUAACUAAGAACUCCGAAUGGAAGUGAGAAGAUUAUUGAACUGUCAGAACUAUUUUGACAUCUUUUUUUUAGGUCCUAUCCACUAGAUUUUUUUUGAAUCCGCAUAUAUUUUGUUCUUCCCUUUCUUUUUUCCAACCCAUUCUUUACUUUGAAUUCUUCGUUUUUAUCUUUAUUUUAUCUCUUUAUUCGUUCAAUUCAGAGUCAAAGACAAAAUAGAGGAACUUCUAUUCUUCUAUUGGAAUACCUAUCUAAGUCCACAGUAGUAGGUUGGAUUAGAUAUAUUUUAAGUUCGUAUAUAACUAGUCAAUAUCUCAUAUCCCAUAUACAUGUGUUUCUUACAUAACGUAAACCAACUAUUCAUGUCUUAGAUUCAAUUGGAUUCUAGAAUUAUUCCUCAAAGGAUAGACAAGAGCUGUCUUAUAGCCAUUAGAUUCCAUAUACCUAAUUUUACCCCCUUUUUUUUCCUAAUAAUUUUUUAUAUCGUUUUUUUAUUGUAAAUUCGUCUCUUCCUUUUAUUUUUUAUUUAGUAGCAUUAUCUCACAUGGAUACAAUCUAAAUGGACGAAUUCAUUAGACCAAAUCAUUGCAUACAAAUAAAACAUCAAUAUCAGUAUUUGAUUGAGCUAAGUUCAUGCAAUUUAUUUCAUUAUUUAUGAAAAAAAAUUCUUUAGGUCAAUCAUUGAAUUGAAUGUAGAAAUUGACUAAAAUGGGAAUCAUUCUAUAUAAAGAACAACUUUUUUAAAAUCAUAGACCCUAAAUUGAUAAGAAUUCCUAUUCUAAUUAGGACUCAUAAUAUUGAAAUUGAAUAAACAAAAACAAUAUCAAGAUAAAGAUAAUNNNNNNNNNNNNNNNNNNNNNNNNNNNNNNNNNNNNNNNNNNNNNNNNNNNNNNNNNNNNNNNNNNNNNNNNNNNNNNNNNNNNNNNNNNNNNNNNNNNNUUUCAAAAACAAAAACUAAUCAAUGAUGGCCCUCUAUGGAUUCGCCUAUAUAAGCCGCAGCUAAAGUUGCAAAAAUAAGAGCUUGAAUCCCACUUGUAAAUAAUCUAAGGAACAUGACAGGUAUAGGGACUACUGAAGGUACUAAAGAAACAAGAACAACAACUACUAAUUCAACAGCUAAUAUCUUCCCAAAAAGUCGAAAAACUAAGUGAUAAGGGUUUUGUGAAAUCCUCUAAAAUGUUAAUAGGUAAAAGAAUUGGAGUGGGUUGAAUGUAUUUACUAAAAUACCCCAAUUCUUUUUUUGAAAGACCUGCAUAGAAAUAUGCUACUGACGUGAGUAAAGCUAAAGCAACAGUAGUAUUUAUAUCAUUUUUGGGUGCGGCUAACUCUUCAUGAUGUAAUUGUAUGAUUUUCCAAGUUAACAGAGCGUCCGACCAGUUAGAAACAAAAAUAAAUAGAAACAUAGUUCCAAUAAAGGGAACCCAUGGACCAUAUUCUUCUCCAAUCUAAGUUUUGCUUACUUCUUGAGUGAAUUAAAGAACAUAUUCGAAGAAAUUUUGACCGACAGUUUGAAUUGUUUGUGGAUUCCGAACUGCGAUAACGACGGAACCUAAUAAGAUAGCAAUUAUAACCCAAGAAGUAAUAAGUACUUGGGAAUGGACUUGGAAACCUACUAUUUACCAAUAGAAAUGUUGGCUUACUUCCACACCAGAGAUAUCGUAUAACCCGUUUAGUGCGUUUGAUAUACCAUUCAUAUUGCCCUCUGACAGAAAUAGAAGUUUACUUAAAAAAAAGGAAUUAUUUUUAUUCAAUCUUCUCUUGCCUACUCAAAUUCUAUAUUUUUGACACCGACGAAACUAAUCACACAAUAUUCACAAUUUUUUUUAUCUCUUUUGUGCGAUUCAGGAUAUAGUAACUGAUUCCAUAGAUCUAUGUAGUUCCAAAAAAUAAUUUAUUUAUCUUAUUAUUAAUAAAGGAUUUCGUAUAUAACUAGAAUGACCCUCACAAAUUGCGACUACUAAUUUGUUAAGAAUUAAUCGAAUUAAAGCUAUAGAGUCAUCAUUUGCUGGAAUCGAAAUAUCUGCGAGAUUAGAUUGCUAUUUGUAUCGAUUAAACAAAUUGCUAGAAUUCCGAAAUUGAUACAUUCUCGCAGAGCCGUAUAUUCUUCUUGCUGAUCAAUGAUGAUUACAAUAUCAGACAAUCUUGUCAUAUAUUUAAUCCCGCCUAGAUAUGUUUGUAAGCGAGUUAAUUGUCUUUUUAACAUAGCUGUAUCUCUUUUCGGAAGAUAGUUGAGUCCCCCGGUCUUUUGUUCUGUUCUCAAGUCCCUGAACUUAUGAAGCCUCGUUUUUGUAGUGGGCUAAGUUGUUAACAUACCACCGAGCCAUUAGAAAAAGACAAUUGAAGAAGAAUUGUCCAUAAAUUUGCAGUCAAUAGUUAAUGGUUCCAAUUUAUUGUCCUGAAUUUGACUUUUGGAACUGAGAAUCCNNNNNNNNNNNNNNNNNNNNNNNNNNNNNNNNNNNNNNNNNNNNNNNNNNNNNNNNNNNNNNNNNNNNNNNNNNNNNNNNNNNNNNNNNNNNNNNNNNNNNNNNNNNNNNNNNNNNNNNNNNNNNNNNNNNNNNNNNNNNNNNNNNNNNNNNNNNNNNNNNNNNNNNNNNNNNNNNNNNNNNNNNNNNNNNNNNNNNNNNNNNNNNNNNNNNNNNNNNNNNNNNNNNNNNNNNNNNNNNNNNNNNNNNNNNNNNNNNNNNNNNNNNNNNNNNNNNNNNNNNNNNNNNNNNNNNNNNNNNNUAUUAGAUUGGAUAGAUAAUUGACUUUUACUCUAUGAGAGACACCAAAAAAAAGAAUAAGUCUUAUUAUUGAUACAUGUGAGUAACAUUCUUUUGAUACUUCCAAAAGUGUUACUGCGCAUUUUGUUUGUGCUUAAUGGUUCUCGAUUUUACUCGAAAUCAUAUAUAUGUCUAAUUACAAUCUUAAUCCCCAUCAAAGUAGCAACAAAAUCAACAUUUAGUAUCUUAAUAAAGUCUAGGAUCUCUGAGAUAAGUUUUAAAGAGAUUUGAUCCUGUCUCCUUAAAAUAGGGGAUUCGAUUGUUUGAUCUAAUCCAAUAUUCAAGAUACAUUUUUUCUUCUAGAUCGAUUUCCAAUAUAAAAUAACACACGUCCAAAAUAACAAUAAAGAUCAUGAGCUAAAUGUUUUGUUUUAAAAACUUACCAACUCUAAAUAAAACAAGUUAUGUAAUUUACACAGCACAGAAUGCAGUUGUAACUUCCAUCCUCAUCAUUCCUUCAACAAUUUUCUCUUAAAUUUAACAUCUUUGAACAAAACACUAACAAAGGGGAAUCCCACAUUGUGCGGUUUCAUCAACGUUGGUUUCUCCUUGUUUUGGUUUAAAAUUAGGUCAUUUCAAGGGUUUUCCAUUAUAUGAAUGAGGUUUAACAUAAAAAAAAAGUACACAUUCCAAUAAAUAAUCAGAAAAUUAGCGUAAUUUUAAUAACUAGAAUAAAAUUUAUCAAUAUUAUAAAGAAGUGAUAAAUAGCGAUUCCGAAUUUGCUAUUAGCUGAUUUGGUCAAGAUUUAAUACUUCAAUUUAACCAUUUCCAAUUUCCUGGAAGGGAAGGGACCCCUUUUCCCAUACACAUUCAGCAUUGCUCACACUUUUUAGUGCAUGUUCUUUAAUGAAGUUUACUUAUAUUACAACAUCUAGACUUAAUUAUAAACAAAUUAUUUAUAUUUAUCUACUUAAAUAGAUUAUCCUUUACAAUUAAAGACAAAAACAUUCCACUAACCUUUCCUGUCGGAGCAGCUGCCAGGAAGGUACCAAUUGACAUAGGAGGAAAAUUAGAAGUUUAACCACCGAAAGCGAUUAAUUCAAAAAUUAAAGACUAGUAUGGUCCGUCAACAAGGAAACAAUAUAAAGUCAAAAAGGGCAGACAAACAAAGUAGAGAUUUAUGCCUAAAUGGCACCAUAUCAAAGCCAACUUGAUAUCAAGAAAAGAAAUCAUAAAUAAUAUAAUUGUUUUUUGAAAGUAAAAACAAAAUUGUGAUGAAAAAAAUAAAUUUACUUUUUUUUUCUAAUUCAUUAUAAAUAAAAGGUGAAUUUAAUCUCUUUUACUAUAGAUUAUUAGUAAAAAUAAAAGUUAAAUUUAAAAGUUUUUUCAUUAUUAUAAAUAUAUUAUCAUUGUUUAUAUUUAAUCACAUUUCUAUUUUUUUAAUAAAAAUGUUUAAAAUUAUCCAUAAUUCCUUCUCAAUAUUUUAAUAGGAGGAUAAAUACAUUCUAUCGUACUCGAACCCACAUCCUCCUAUACCAACAAUAAUGCCGAUACUAACUGAGCUAACACUCAAUUAGACUAUUGAGUAGAGAAGUUCAUUAACCCAACUAGAUUAUUACUUAAAGUUCUUAGGCACAUCAUAUGUGAAUAAAUUUGAAAUAGAAAGAAAAAAGAACUUUCAAGGAAAAGUGAAAAAGCAAAGGGAAUGAUUAUUAUUUGAUAUAUAGUAGAAUCUUUUAAUUCUAUAAAUGAGAUCUUUUUAUAAUUUUUAUUUACUUUUUUGGAUUUAUCUAUUUUUUUUGAAUUUUUAGAAUUUAAUUUAAAUUGAUAGAAUAGGUAAACAAUAGAAUUAAUUUUGUUAUAUUUUUUAAAAUUAUCAAAUUUAUAGAAUAGGUAAAUAUUAAGAGCUAAAAACAUCAAUAUUACAUUAAAAAUUUAACUUAUGAGUAACCUCUUGAAACCGUUUUUUGAACAAAAUUGGCUUAUGAUAUUAUAGAAAACAUAAAAUUUUAAUUUUUAAACCGUUGGGUUUUUACUAAGAAAAUAGAAAUCGCAACCAAUCAUUUUGAUAAGGUGCGAUCGAUCACCUAAUAAAUUAACUUUUUAAAAUGAAAAUUUUUUGAAAUUCUCUUAAAAGGAUAAUUUUUUGAAACUACGUUUAGGGUUUGGGAUAUGUACAAGAAAAAUUAUAACACCUUCGUAAUGCCCAAAAAUUGAUAACUUGUUCAUUACGUGUUGUAUCAUAUCUUAGAAAUAUGAGUUCAAACUUGCAGUACUUAAUUGUCAUCCUUUAAAAUUAAAAUGAAUACAAAUUUAUUUAAUGAGCGAAUUUAAAAUUGAAAUUUGAAAAAUUGUCAAAUUUUGCAUUUUUGUUUAUUUAAAAGACAUUUUUUUUUAUUCAUCCGAGUUUGAAAACAGCAUUCCAUCAUUAAACACAAUCAACAAUAUCAUAUUCCAAAAAUUUUGGUAUCGACCUCAUCAAUUUUUUAAUAUUGAAAUGUCAGCAAAAUAUAUUUAACGAAUAUACAUAAUAUCACAAUUAAAUGUCAAUCUCAAUCACGAAAUUCAACUAUAUUUCAAAAAAAAAAAUAUCUUCACAUGGAUUUUAUUUUAUGGUAUAUGUCAUGACAGUUAUUAUAUAACAAGAAAUUGGCAAUCUAGCAAUGGCAUGGCGAUAUAAUUAGAACAAAAAAUUUGGGAUAUUCAAGUUUGAAGAGACAUGGAAUCACACUAUAAUAUUAAGGCAUUACAAUAUCUUCAAAAACAUCAGUCACAUAUCUCAACAACAUGAAGAGAAAAAAAUAAAGCUGCAUAAGGGAACUAUACCGAAGUGCCAAGAAUUGUAAUGUUGUGAGUGCUUACAUAUAUGGACGCAUAGAAAUUAAAUUUGAGAACAAAGACUCCUGGGGGAAACCAAAACUUCGAAUAUAGAUCUGGGUGAAACCAGAAUUUUGAAAUGACUAACUGGACGAAACUAAAAUUUGGAAAGUAGACUGAGCAAAACCAGAAUUUGAUUAUUUAGGUGAUUAUUUGAUGCUAAUGGUGAAUUUUAUACUCUUAAUCCUUUAAAUUCAUGUUUUAAUGCAUAAUAGAGCAUUUGGGUGCAAAAUGAGUGAAAACCGAAAAAUCGGAGCAAGUUAUAGGAGCCACAUGGGUUGACCUAUUCCACACGACCUAGACACAUGACCGUGUGAGCCACACAGCCAUGUAGUAGGCCAUGUUGAUUUCGUGAAUUUGCACCCUAAACUGUGGGAAAUCGCAUUUUUUAGAUUUUUCAGGAAUUCUAAGACGUAUAUAUGAUAAAAGUAAAAAGAUAGGAAUGAGUCGUCAUAGAAUACUCAAGAAAACAUCUCGAAAAACACCAUUGAAACUAAUUCUAAAGUAGAUUUCCGUCAAGAUUGAAGAUUCUCAUUUGAUUUCUUUGGAGAUUGUCAUGAGUUUCUUUAUUUCUUUUCAAUUAUACUGUGUUUUGGAUUUUUUUAUUUUCUUUUCAAGCAUGAACUAAUUUUCUAAAUACCUAGGGGAGAUGAACCCUAUGAUAAAUUCUGUCUUUUGAUUUUUAUUUUUCGCAAUAAAUAUUUAGAUCUUGUUUUCAAUUAAGUGUGCCUAAUUCUUGCUUUAAUAUUUCUAAAUUAUUGAUUUAUAUUUGAUGUACUUAAAUCAGAGGAGGAAAAGACCCUGUUUGAGAGUAGAUCUUGUGUAAUUGAGUGGAGUUACAUGCAAUUCUAGACAUAGAAUGACAUAAAUAUACUGGAUUAGAUUCAAAUCUAAUGGGCGAAUCCAUAGCACGAGUUAAUGCGAUAAUAGGGGUCUUAAUUAGAAAGAAAAUUCAAUUAAUCAACCUAGAGUCAGUUACUCUUACUCUCGAAAGUGAUAUUAACAUAAUUUGGAGAUUUUUACAGAUCAAUAUACUAAGUAAAGAAAUAGCGUAAUUUAGAUUGAUAGUUACAAAUGAAAUUUAGGCGAAUUCUUUCCUGAGUAUUGUUUCACUUCUUGGUUAUUACUCUCUUUUUUUAUUUGUUCUUUGAUCGUGUUCGUUAGUUAAUUAAUUUAGUUAAUUUUAGUUUUAAUCAUUCACUCGAAUUUAUCGGUUAAAUAAUAGAAAGACAAUAAUAACUAGUACUUUUAGUCUUCGUUGGAAUGAUAUAUUUGCUCAUUGUAACUAUAUUAUUAAUUGAUAAGUCCACUUGCCUUAGCCAAAUUUUUAAUUAAUUUCGUGAGACAUUAAUACUUUCUUGUUAUACUACUCUUACAUUGUUCUAUAAAAAAUUACUACAAAAAUACUUUAUAGAAAUUUAUUUUCUUGCUAUACUCUACUCAGUACUUAAUGAACUAUUUUCUUCAGUAUAAAACACAAACAAUCACCAGACUUCAUUGUAUUCUCAAAGUUUAUUUUUUCUUAAAACUCAUUUGCACACUAAGUAUAGGUGCGGUGGAUAGGACUUUAAAAGUAAUGACUUGAUACAUGUCUUGAAGCCUUAUCUUAUUGCUUUGAUUUUCUAUUCGAGUUGUUGUUCAUGCUUCGUUCAUAUGUUUGAGAUUUUCCUCACCAAAAUUCGGCAUUACCAUUUAAUUCUUCUUUUAAGUCAUCCCAUAACUAUUUGUUCCAUUAAAUUUUGGUCAUAUCUACUUUCAUUUUUCAAGGGUUUGAUUAAGACUUCAUUAAUUUGUUAACCAUUACAGAAUUUGGGCCGAAGCCCAUAGAUUGUCAUGAAUAUUGGUUUAAUAAGCUCUCCUUUUGAAAACAUCACAACCACUUAUGCUCCUCAAUGAAUCACUACUUUCCCACUACACAAACAAAUUGUCACUCACACAUCAAACAAAUCACAUUCAAGAGACUACAAGGCCUUGUUAACAAAAGCAAACAAGACCUCAUACAAGAGAUGAAAGGGGACCAAUUAACCAGCUGAAACGAAUAAGAAUUCAACGAAGAUCACUCAAAGAAAUUGGAGUCCUUCAAUAUGGUUUCGGUAUUAAGGAUAGCUGGAACAAGAAUAAAAGCAAAGAGGAUAAAGGAAACGAUUUGUACGAGGACGAACAUCUUUGUUUUAGGCACAAACCUGCAGAAAACAUAACGGGCUAUCCGGUAUGAAACCAGCAGUGCUAGCGAUGUUGACAAGCAGUAAUUUAGAAUGCAGAGAGCACGAUAGGUCAAGGGUAUAGUAGUUUGAAGAGAAACCACAUACUGAAGUUUCCACGACCAUGUGGACACAGCAACUAAAAGCAUGUAACAGGUCCCAAACAAGGAAAGGGUUAUGAGAAGAAACAAGCUGAUUGAACGACUUGGUAGGAGAUAUGCUGUUAACCCGAUUGCUGCCCAAAAGGUUAAUGUGUUGUAUAACCAAAACAUGGAUGAUACGUCUAUUAAAUCUGACCAAUUAAUCUGAUCAUCGGCCAGUGGUGGCAGAGGACCUGGUAGGGGUGCAGUGCUGUCGGUUGAUUCUAAAGAUGCGUAAUACUUGAUAUGGUAUUUCAUGGAUGAACUGUUAUCAGCUUUCUUUGGAGGGCUUAAAGAGGCAGCGUAAGUGACUGUUAUAAUUAGCACUGUCACUACUAGAAAUGUAUUACGCAUCUCAAGCGGGAUAUCCUUUCUUCCUCGACCUGCCAUUGUUGCAAAUUUUUGAAAACAUGACAUCUUCGGCCUUAAUGAUUUGAUGUGGAUUGAAGAGAUGGACUUAUUGGGAAGCUUGGAACCACACAAACCUCCUGCUUUUGUUAUCAUAUCUUUAACCGAGCCCUUAUAAUUAUUCACUUGCCUUUCAUCCAAUGGACAGUCUGGUUGGAUAUCUAAAGCAGUGGAUCCCUUCAAAUUUUUGGCAUUGAUAUGGUCUCGACGCAAGUGCCCCAGCAAUACUUGCACCACCUGUUAAUUAGAAAAUUCAUGUAAAUAACCCUUUUAUCAUAUACGUAUAUACAUCAAUAAUUGAGUUAACUAGCAAAUUAGCAUACCUGAGGUGAGUUUUUGAUAGCUGAAAUGUGUAGGACAUUGUUGCCAUCAAUGUCUGCCCAACUAAGCAGUUCUUUCUCCCAACGUUGGGCAGCUUCAUGGCGGCUCCUUAUAAGCCACCCCACCAAGACUUGAAAUGCUUCAAACUUGUCCUUUUUUACUGCAAGAUGGAAAACCGUCUCGUCUCGAACAGUCACAUCUUCAACAGCCUCAGGGCAAACCUCAAGGAACUUGAUCAAAAGAUCAACAUCUCCAGUUUGAGCCACAUGAUGCAGAGGGGUCAAGCCUUCCCUUCCUUUAACACGAACAAGGCCUUCAUCAAACUUGAGGAGUCGAAGCACAGCUUGAGUUAUGUUAUUUUGCAGAGCCAAGUGCAUGGGGCUAAACCCAGCUAGAUUUAACUUUCUUGCAAACGAUGGCUUUAAGUUGAUCAUCUCCAUCAUAAAAUCAACAUGCCCAGAACUGACUGCUACAUGCAAUGGAGUGUCAAGAAAAGGAACAUGAUCAAUACGCUCCAAAACAUAUGGAUCUUUCUGAAUUAGCAAACACAAGACAUUAAUGUUUCCUGUUUGUGCAGCCUCUAUCAUUCUCCAAUCCAUAGCUAUGGAGAAGUGGAGGUAAUAAAUUACGCAGCAAAUUUUCAGGCUACUGAGAAAUGAUGAAAUUUGCAGGAAAACACAGAGAAUAGAGACACAUAAGACAAUAUAAAGGGAAUAGAAGCUAUAUUUAGCAAAACACACAGCAAUCCAACCACAAUUUUAUACAUGACUUUAAACGCGCUAGUCUGAAGAGAAACUUCUUAAAAAGUCGAAGGUAACUUUCACACUCCAAUUACGACUUGUUUAAAAGAAUAGAAAAUAUAGAACCCAUUUUGGUUGAAUGGAAAUCUUACUUCCGAAAAAAAAAAAUCUAACCAAAAGGUUAGAGGUACAUAAAAUCGAAAUGAAACCCAACUCCUAGAACAGGAGGACAACAAACAGCUAUCAUCCUGGAUUAAAUAUAAAUGUUAAUUUCAUUCUAGAUACACAAUGCUUAAUAUAAUAUACUUCAACACACUCGAAUCCACAUCCUUCUGACAGCAAUGUCAAUUGAACUAAUACGCAAUAAAUAACACCACUAUAUUUAAUUUUUUUUAAAAAUAAUAACAUAUAUUUUAAAAAAUUCAAUUUAUAUGAGCCGGCCACCUUGCUAAGAUGAGAUUUUUUUGUUGUUUUCGGUCAUUUGCUUGUUAAAUUAACAAUUUUAUAUGAAUCUAUGUCAAAGCUGAACAUUUGGCAUACAUUCAUAUUAUAGAUGAGAUAGGUGAUUCACAUCAAAAUCAAAAUGUCGAGAGUCAAUAAGAAAUUUGAAAAAUACGAAAAGAGCUUCCAAUGAUAUCUUUGACGUUAAAGUAGGAAGAAGAAACUUGAUCUCUUUUUGUGAAGAAAAGGAAGAGAUCUUAUAUUGGUGGUGGAUUUAAUAAUGAGCCGGCCGUGGACCUCGAUGAAUGGUUGCUUUAUUUAUAUAGGAUUUGGUGGUAUGUAACAGGAUAUGGCUAGACCUCACUAAGAUAUGAUCAACCAUGCUGUAGAUAGUUGGUGGCAAGAUUUCUAUGAUGUGUAUUGGUAGGAUGAAGCUAGAAAAUUUUGUAGGGAUCAAAAUUAAAUUGUAUUUUUACGAUAAUAAAAAUAUAAUUUCAUCAUUUUAAUAGUCUACGUUUUAUAAUUUUUAAAAGAUUAAAUCAAAUUUUUAUCAUUUUUAGGGGGCAAAGUGCAAUUUUACCUUUACUAAUUUAAAAUUUUAAAGAGCUUAAAUGAAAAAUUUUCUAUUUUAGGGGAGACGGGCCCUGCCAGCCCCCUUAACUAGGCCCUUGUGUACUAGGAAGCAACAAAUGUAAUUGGAGGGUUCCGAUUGGAUUUGAUGGUGAUUCCAUAAGCAAACAAGACCCUAGUAAGGGGCGAACGUUUGAUUGAAUCGAGUAAAAAAAUUGAGUUAGUCGAGUUUACAAGCCUUGUUUUUAUCAUCUUAUCUCGACUUGAAUUUUUUUGCAUUCGAGUUCAUUGAAAUAAAAUUUCAUUUAAGUCGAAUCGAAUCAAGUGAAAUUGUUUGAGUUAAAUUUAAAAAAAUUAAACAUGUCAAGAUAAAAUCUUGUUACAAUAUAACUAAUUCUAUGUAAGAGCACAUAAAUUUGAAACAAUAUAUAUAUAUAUAUAUAUAUAUAUAUAGAAACUAUAAGAGAAAAUAUAAUAUAUUUAAUACGAUAAACUUGAAUUGGUAAAUUUACUUGUUUAGAUCCUCAAAAUUAAUGUAUUGAAAAUUUUAACAUUUUUUAUAUAUUCUUUAUUUUUUUUAAUUUAAAAAUUAUGAAUUUUUUGGAAUUUUUGAAAAAUAAUUUGAAUAUUUGAAAUUUAUUUUGAAUUGUUUUGUAAAUUUUUGUUGAGAGAGAUCGAUUUGAUCAUUUUUUAAAAUCGAUAGGGGUCAAAGGAAUAUUUACACUAAUCAAUUACACGAAUUGUAAAAUUCAACUCGACUCGAAUUCGAAAAAUUGAACUACUUGUUUAAGUUGACUUGAAAAAAUUGAAUAACUCGAUUAUUUCAAUUCGAUUAACUCAAAUUUUGAAAAAAAUAUUUUUUAAAUUAAAUCGAGUUUUGAUAAACCGCAUCUAUCUAGAUGAAAUGCCUUGAAAUUAGUUCAUCAUCAAUUAGAAAUUAGUUAUUUGACUCCUACUUUAUUUAAUAACAGAAGUCCAAUAAAUUUUAACUUAAUUAGAUCACUUUAAAUUUGGGCUAACCUUUUAAGAUAGUAAAUAAUAACAUGUAGUUGACAUUAUUAUAUAUGUUAUGUCCAUAUUUUUCCAACACAAUUUUAUACAUGACAUUUGGUUUUGUGCAGUUUUACGCAUGAAUUUUUUAUUUGAUUCACUAAAUCAAAGUAUCCACUGGAGCGAGCUCAAUACUAGCCUUUCGCGUUCCGUAGGCCCAUUAAAUAAGUAGACGUUUGCCACGAGUUUUAAAGUUACUCCAUACUUGGACACAGUUAUAUAUAUUACUUUAUUUUGUGUGAUGCACAAAUUUAAUUGUGUGGAUCAAUUAAAAUGUAUUCUCAAUGUUUCUAGUUGUUCGUGCAUUAUGCUACUUAAUCUUUGAUUUUGUCAGGUCGGUAAACAGUACGAAUAAAAAAUUCUUCGUCCUCGUACUAAUCGUUUACAUUGGCAUGGUUUCUAGCCCAAUCUAAAUACCGAAACUGUAAUGAAGUUUUGGGUUUUGUAUUAGUGAUAGUGAUGGGGUAGUUCCCUUCAUCUCUUGUACCGGAGUCUUUUUCUUUUUCUUUUUUUUGGUAUCAAGGGCGAAGGUCAGGUCACAAACUUUUGUUUAAGCCUAAUCGUCUAUUGAAAGGGUGAAUUUGUUUGUGAAGUCGUGGUUGAAUAAGGAUCAUAACCAGCUGUGCUUUUAUUGUAUUUUGUUCUUUUUGUAAUACAUCUUGAAGACAAUUCGAAGUCACAUAUCUUAUUUAUUUAAAAUCAAUAAGACUCAUGCCAAAAUUCCAUUUUCACUUGUAGGUUAAAAUUUUCAUGUUCAGUGUCUUAAAUAAUUAUUUUUAAUAUAAAAUUAAUAACGGUUAAAUACAAUGAUAAAACACAGUGCAUUUUUAAAAAAAGAUAUAAGUUUAAAUAUUGAAGAUAAUAUUGUUGAAUAGACAACUAUAAAAUUUAAAUAUAAAUUGUAAAACAGACAUAAAAAAGAUAUAAAAAAUUACCUUUAUUUAUUUAAUUAAAUAAAUUACCCUUUACAGUUUAAUCUAUACAAUUUCACUAGCCUUUCCCGUAGGAGCAGCCGGGAGGAAGCGACGAAAUGACAAUAGAAGGAGAAAAAUUGGAAGGGUUUAACAAGGAAACAAUAUAAAGUCAAAAAGGGCAGACAAAAAAAUUGCCUUUUCCAUUGAUUUUAGUUCUUGUCUUAUACUAAUAAAAUUAUGCCAUUGAUAUGUUCAUAAACAAAAGUUUCAAGGAAAUGGCACCCCCUGGUCUGAACCACAAAGCCAACUUGAUAUCAAGAAAAGAAAAGAAACCAUAAAUUCUUAUUUAUUGAAAAGGCUAAUAUUUAAAGUAUAAACACAAUUGUGAUGAAAAAAAUAAAUUUACCAUAAUUCCUCUUCAACCACAAUCUUUAAAUAAAAGGAUAAAUGUGUACCAACUAUUAAUCGUGCAUCUAUUUUGUUGAUUAGAGAAGUUCAUUGAACCAAUCAGGCUAUUAGGUAAAGUUGUUAGAGAUGUCUGAAAGAAUUGGGUAAAUAGAGAGAAAUAUCCAGCCAAACAGAGAAAUAUAAAAUGGAAAACUUCUUUUUGUUUGUUUAUUCCAAAAUCUUAACUCUCUGAAUACACAUGUUCAGUAUUUAUAGGCAUGAGUAACCGCUCCAUAUUGAGCAACAACCUUCACCGGAUACAUAACUAACUAACAACCUAUAAUACUCUAAUAUUCAUCCAUCUUCCCCACAGGCAAAACCCGUAGACAAUUCCGAAACCGAGCAAAAAUCGAUAGUGAAAGUGGCUUAGUGAGAACAUCAGCAACUUGAUCACACGCCGGAACCUCACCAACGGCAACAGUACCAUCAGCAACCUUUUCACGAACAAAAAACAAAUCUAAUUCAACAUGCUUAAACUUUGAAUGAAGAACAGGAUUAGCAGCAACUGCAACCGCACCAGAACUAUCACACCAAAUAUUUGGAAUACUAGAAGACCGAACAUGUAACUCUUGAAGUAACGACAAAAGCCAUGUAACCUCACUAGUAACCGCAACAAGACUCCGAUAUUCUGCCUCAGCAGUAGACCGAGCAACAACCUGUUGUUUCUUCGUACACCACGACACAGGAUUACAUCCGAAAUAAACACAGUACCCGAUAGUAGACCUUCGGUCAUCAAAAUCUAACCCCCAGUUUGCAUCAGCAUACCCAACUAAGGACAGAUUAGGUGACGGACGAAACACAAUCCCAAAUUCAAUCGUUCCACCUAGAUACCUCAAAAUACGCUUUAGAGCCAUCAUAUAGACAGAAGUGGGACAAUGCAUAAACUGACAUAUUCGAUUCACAGCAUAUUCAACAUCUGGUCGCAUAAGAGUGACAUACUGUAGUACCCCAGCAAAGCUCCUGUAUUCAGUUGGAUCCUCUAAACACUCACCACCAUCUUUAGUUAAGAAAGAAGAACUAACCAUCGGUGUAUUAACACUCUUCGCAUUUUCCAUCGAACACCGAAUAAGAAUAUCACGUAUAUACUUCUUCUGACAUAGAUAAAGACAACCUGAUGAAGAACGAGUAACUUCUAUCCCAAGAAAAUAAUGAAGAUCGCCCAUGUCCUUAAGUGAGAACUCACUAUUCAGCAAUUUAACAAACCAUUCUAUAACAGAUGGCACAUCACCUGUCACAAUAAUAUCAUCAACAUACACAAGAACAUACAACGUUGAACCGGAAACGACCCGAACAAACAAGGAAGCAUCAGACUUCGAUACUACAAAGCCCACAGAUACUAGAAAUCCUUUUAGCUUCUCAAACCAGGCACGAGGGGCCUGACGAAGACCAUACAACGCUUUCUUCAGACGACAUACCAGAGGUCUGCCAUCGGAACCAUACUGUACAUAGCCAGGAGGUUGAUGCAUGAAGACUUCAGUAUCAAGAUCUCCAUUUAGAAACGCAUUAUUCACAUCCACCUGUCGAAGGGACCACCCCCUAGACAUAGCAAUAGACAGAAUAACUCUGAUAGUAGCCGGUUUUACCACCGGACUAAACGUUUCCUUAAAAUCACAACCUGAAACCUGAGAGCAGCCUUUCGCAACCAAGCGAGCCUUAUGGCGAGUAAUAGUACCAUCAGAAUUCCUCUUAAUCCUGAACAACCAUUUGCAUCCUAUAAUCUUACGAUUAGACGGAGAUGAAACUAGCUCCCAUGUGGAAUUGCGCAUAAGAGCAUCAUACUCAUCUUGCGCAGCAGCACGCCACUCAGCAGUAGCAAGAGCUUCUUCAAUUGUAGAAGGUUCUUUAACCUCAACAUGUAAAACCUUAGGCUUGUAAACUCCCGCUUUAGCUUGAGUGACCAUUGGGUGAGUAUUACCCACAGGUGGUCUACUAACUUGACUGUCAGAUGACGACGAAACGCCUUCAGACAGUCUUGAGAUAGACUGAGGAUGAUCAGUAAAAUCACCUAGUGAAGCCGACUCAUGCAAAAUUGAAAGAGCAUCCGACCCAGACCCAACAUCAUCCGAAGGAGCAUGAGAUUGCACCAAAUCUGUAUUUGAAGUAGAAACAUUAGGCUGAGACUGGAACCCUUGAAGAGAUGGUGGCACAACACAAGGCACAGGAGAGGACGAAGAAGAAACAGUGGGCCACACAACGGGAACAACAUUCGAACUAGUCUGACUGGUCUUCGUCAUAGACUUAUCAGGGCUAGACUCAGCAAACAAAAAUCUCUGCUCAUCAAACACGACAUGUCUCAAAAUAAUAACCUUACCAUCCGGUAAAAGACACUGAUACCCCUUAUGACGAGGACUGUAACCCAACAAUGUAGACGGAUGAGACCGAAAAUCCAAUUUAUGACCAACAAACGGACGUAAAUAAGGAUAGCAGCAGCAGCCAAAAACUCGAAGAUGAUCAUAGGUCGGAUCAUUACCAUAAAGUGCCUUAAACGGAGAAUUGCCCUGAAGCACAACAGUAGGAAGUCGAUUGAUCAGAUGAACCGCGCAACAGAACGCAUACCCCCAGUACUGCAUAGGCAAACUCGCAUGAGCCAAUAACGUAAUACCCAUUUCAACAAUGUGACGAUGUUUACGCUCAGCCACUCCAUUUUUUUCAGAAGUGUACGGACAUGUCAAUCGAUGAAUAAUUCCCUGGGAUUCCAAAACAGAUGUAAAACCACGGUAUUCUCCUCCCCAAUCACUCUGAAACUGCUUAAUAGACUUGCCAAACUGUGUCUCAAUUAACUUUUGAAACUGAGUGAAACACUCUAUUGCUUGAGCUUUUUGACGUAUAAGAUAAACCCAGGUAAACCUAGUGCACAUGUCAAUAAACGAAACAUAAUAUCUCUUUUCAUCACAUGCAACAGAUGCGGGACCCCAAAGAUCAGAUACAACUAACUCAAAAGGUUGAUAACUAGUAGUAGAAGGUGAAAAAGGCAACUCAAAUUGACCUCCUGUAACACCUGAACUUGACGAUUCUCACAAUCAACCAACGCAUCAACCACACGCUUUAACGGCAGUACACCAGUCGACAAUCGAACAGACGAGAUGACCGCCUCAUAUUCCGACGGCAAUCCCGCAAGCACCACUUCAACCUUCUCUUCAUCAGAAAUACGCGAACCGGACGCAUCUAACAUAGCACAGAGAUCUUUAAUCUUAGCAACAUAAGUUUUAAUAGAGAGGUUACAUUUCUUCAAGGAAUGAAGCUCAUGCCGAAGUCUCGAUUGCUUGGCGCCAGUAUCGGUCGCAAACAGAUUAACGGCCAUACUCCAUACAUCACAAGCCGUGCAAGCAUCAUCAAAGGAAGAUUGAUGAGAAGAGCUUACUGUAGAUAAAAGCCAGGACGUCAGAAGUCGAUCUUGCUGCAUAAACACCUGAGCCGCCGGAUUUGGAGCACGCGAGCCAUCGGGUAGAAGAUUGAAACGUGAUGGUAGAGCAAUGGUGCCAUCUAAGAAGCCUGUAAGUCCAUAACCAUCAACUAUCAGUUUUACCUGUUUGCGCCAUUGAAGAUAAGUACCUUCAUCAAGUUUAACGACUUCAUGCCGAGGAAAGACAUUCGUGACACGAUCGGCAUCAAACACACCGGAGCUAGGUUCACCAAACUCAGAAUCAACGGAAGCCAUACUAAGCAAAAUCCAGAAUCAACCUGCGAAUGAUACCAUGAAAGAAUUGGGUAAAUAGAGAGAAAUAUCCAGCCAAACAGAGAAAUAUAAAAUGGAAAACUUCUUUUUGUUUGUUUAUUCCAAAAUCUUAACUCUCUGAAUACACAUGUUCAGUAUUUAUAGGCAUGAGUAACCGCUCCAUAAUGUCAUACGUGAAUAGAUUUAAAAAAGAAAGAAAAAAUAACUUUCAUCAUUAUAAAGGAAAAGUGAAAAAGCAAAAGGAAUUAUUAUUUGAUUUAUAGGAGAAAUUUUUAACUCUAUAAAUGAUAAUUUUUUAUAAUUUUUAUUUACUUUUUAUAAUUUUUAUAUUUAACAAAAUUAUUUUUUAAAAAUUUUUACAAUCUAAAUUAAAUUGAUAAAAUAUAUAAAUAAUAAGGUUAAAUUUUUUUUAAUUAUGAUAAAAUUGAUAAAAUAUAUAAAUAUUAUUAAAAAUUAAAUCAUCAACAUUAUUCUAUACUAACGAUUUAACUUAUAACCUGUUAGAAACAAUUUUUGAACAAAAUUGGUUUGAUGAUGGCUCCAAAUAAAUUUCAAGUCUAACGAACUUGUAUCAACAUCACGAAAUUCAACUAUAUUUCAAAUAUAUAUAUAUAUAAAAUAUAUAUAUUUAGGACUUUUUUAUGGUGCAUGUCAUGACAGUUAUUAUAUAACAAGAAAUUAGCAAUGUAAAAAAGGCAUGGAGAUAUAAUUAGAACAAAAAAUUUACAAAAUAGGGACACUUGGGCUAUGAAGAUACUUAAAGUUUGAAGAGACAUGGAAUAUUAAGGCAUUAGAAUAUCUUCAAAAACAUCAGUCACAUAUCUCAACAACAUCAAGGGAAAGAAAGAAAGAGUUGCAAAAGGGAACUAUACCAAAGAGCCAAGAAUUGUGAGGUUGUGAGUGCUUACAGAUAUGGAAGCAUAGACAUUAAAUUUGAGAACUUGAACACUGCCACACAGAUCAAAUACUUGAUGGUUUAGUUUUAAGGAAGAAGGUAGUGAAGAUGUUGAUGGGAAAAUGGAGGUUCUAAUCCCGCUCCUUGUUGGAGACAAUUGUCUCUAAGCUUUUUCCUUGUUUAAAGGUUCUCACCCCAAAACCCUUGCAUUCUUUUUUUAAAACUCAAAAAGGAACACCUUUUAACUUCCUUUCUCCCCACCGCACCCAUGUAACUGCAUAUAAUAUUAUAUGUACGUAAUAUGUAUAUAUUAUAUGUAUGUAAUAUGUAUUAUAUAUUAUAUAACCCCACAUAUAUGUGUAUAUAUAUACACACAUAUAGCAUUUUGUCUCUCAUUGCACAUCGGGGUUCGACAAGUGUUGCGGCUGAAGUAGUGAGAACAUACAUUUUUGUCUUGAUAGUUUUAAAAAGAUUGUUUUUAAAGAUAUUUUCGAUAUUUCUAAUUUAAAAAGAAAUUUAAUUUUAAUUACUUGUUAAUUUAAAGACAGCUUUACUAUGACUUUUAAUAAUAAUAUUGUAAUUUUUAGAAAUUGUUCACUUAUCUAUAAAGGAUUGAUACAAAACAAUCUCUAUUUUAUCGGACCAAAGAUGUACACAAUGAUAGAAAUCGAAAUUGCAAAUAAGGAACUUAAAACUUUGUACUUUUGACAUUUGAGAUUUGACCGUAUUAAGUAAGAAAAAACCACCUUGUGGAAGAUGACAAUUUAAAUACACUUAGGGAAGUUUAUCUCCAACAAUGUGAAUCUUACUUGAAAAGUAAGAUUAAGAGAGUAAUUCAACCUUCAGAAUUUGUGCACACUAAUGCAUGUGGCCCCAAAAAUUUAUUGCAUGAAGUGAUUAUGAUUAUUAUAUUAAUUCAAAAUAUAUACAAUUGAUUUACCAUGCAUUGUAUUUUUUUUAUGAUUCGUUUUACUUUUAGAUUAGGAAGGCCUACAAUAAGUAUGAAAAUGCAAAGAAAAACUGAGUCCAAUAUAUCAGGUAGGAAAAGUUUGUACAUUUAUUCAAGGUUCUUUAGUUGUAAACUAUGUAAUUUGGUUGGUGUUGAUUAAUAAUGAUCUAAAGUUUGUACAUUUAUAGAAGUAGAUGAUCUAAACCGGUGUUGAUUAUGGAUGGCAGAUAUGUGCAGUGCAGUGUUGCUGUCUUCGUCAUUUUUGGUUCAUCACUUGCCAAUGAAAGUCUUUCUUUUUAAGCAUUUGAAUAAAGAGUUGAGAGAACAUCCAAUCUAUUGAUUUUAGUUUCUUAGCCGAAUGACGGCUUUUAGUUCAUAAUUUCCAUUGGCGAACCCAAUGCAGCACCUAAGUGUAAUGAAGUGUCAUCAAUGCGGCCUGAAAACAUUUCCAUCUCAGUAGAUUAAUCUAUACAAUUCACUCGCCUUUCCUGUACGAGCAGCUGUGAGGAAGGGGCCAAUUGACAAUAGCAGGAGAAAAAUUGGAAGGGUUUAACCAUCGAAAGCGAUUCAUUCAAAAAUUAAAGACUGGUAUGGUCCGUCAAUUACGGUCGACAAGGAAACAAUAUAAAGUAAGAAAAGGCAGGCAAUUAUUUUGGUAGUGGUGAAGGUUAAAAGAACUGCUUCUUCCAUGGAUUUUAGAUUUUAAUCAUUCUGUACUAAUUGGAUGAUGCCUUUGAUAUGUUCAUACUUCAUAUUCAAAAGUUUAAACAAACUGGCACCCCGUGGUGUGAACGAGGAAGCCACCUUGAUAUCAAGAACAGAAAAUAAAUAUCAAAAUUAUGUUUUGUUAAUAAAUGAACUUCAUUUAAUUUUAAUUAAAAAUAUACUUUGUUAAUAUUAAUAAGAUUUUGAAAUAUAUUGUCUAAUAUUUUUAAUAAAGAAUAAAUCUUAAAAUCACAUAAAAUUUUAGUUCCAUGUGUAUUGUGUUCUAACCGGAAAUAUGAUAUAAAUAUUAAUAAACAAGGAUAUGUCAUGUCAAAUAAUACAGAAUAAAUUAAGAACAAAACUAAAUGUGAAAGCGUACUUGAAUUCAUUGAAAUCUUGUGGUUUUGAUCUUCAAAAUUAUCACAUAAGUGUUUUAGAGAAGGCGACACUCUCUUUUUUGAAUAAAUCGAUGUUUUUAUUUCUUUAAACUUGAAUAAUUGAAUCAAAAUUAAAAUUUCAAGUAUACAUUUAAACCACAAUCAAAGUUUCAUGUGUAUAAUGGCACCAAAUUAAAGUUCGUGUAUUGAUUUGCAUAUCCAAUCAAUGUUUAUGUACAGUUCUGAGAUUUAUCUCUUUUAAUAAUUUUGAAAUGCAUUUUUAAUAAUUUUAAUUUUUUUAAUUCGAAAAAUAUAGUUUAAGAAAAUCUCAAAUUUUAGGUUUUCUUAAGGAAAGUUCAGAAUUUUACAAAAAAAAAAUUAGAAUUUUUCGAUUUUUUAGUAAUUUUAGAGAUCAUAAUGUGUUUUAUUUUUAUUUUGAAUUUUUUAAAAAUAUUAGUUAAAUACAUUUGUCAACCUCUUAAUCCCAAUUGUGGAGUUAAGAAGUUAUAUUAUAUGUGUAUCAAAUAAUUAUCCUUAGCAAAGGGAAGUAAGGAUUAUUAUUUGAUAUAUAGGGGUUCUUUCAACAAAGGAUGAGUGUUCAAUCAAAUCAAGUGAAAAAAAAUUAGAGUUAAUUGAGUUGAUGAGUCAUAUUUUAUCAUCUUAAAUUGAUUUGAUUUUUUUCAAAUCAAGUCGAGUGAAAUAAAUUCAAUUUAAAUCAAGUGAAAUUGUUUGAGUUAUUUUAAAAAAAAUUAAACAUGCCAAAUUGAAAUCUUAUUACAGUACAACUAAUUUUACAUUAAAACACAUAAAAUUGAAACAAUAUAUAUAUUUGAAAAAAAAAUUUAAAGCAAAAUAAGAAAAAAAUAAAUAUUCUUUAGUAUGAUAAACUUAUUCAAUCAUCAAUUAUUUUAAUUUUGUAUAUAAAAUAUAUAAAUGUAAAAUGAUGUUAUGUGAAUAGUUUUGUUAAUAAUUUGUAUAUGUAAAAGUGAACACAUAUAUUAUACAUUUCCCUAAUUCACCAGCAAAUCUGCCUUAAUUUUGAUAUGGAUAUACUUAAUACUCGGAUAAUGUUGUGAAUCACAUAUAUUGUUUAAUUUUCUUUUUUGAAGUUUUAAUAUAUUUUAAUGGGUAAGAUAUGUCAUUUUUACUCUUUGAAAUUUUGGAAUUUAGUUCCUAGACUUUUAUUUUUAGGAAUUUAGUCAAUUUAUUUUUUAGAUUUUAAAAUCAAAUCCAAUUAUUGACCCUCUUAAAUUUUUUUUGUUAAAUUCAAGUUUAUUAUAACGUUAUUUUUUUAGUUAUAUCGCUACCAAAUGAGUUUCUUUUCAAAAUGUCACACCAAAAAAAUUUAACAAAAAAAGACAUUUAACAAUAUUAACAAUUGGACCUGAAUUUUGAAAUUUGAAAAGUAAAGAGACUAAAUUCUUAGAAAUAAAAGUACAUGGAUUAAAUUUCAAAAUUUUGAAGAGUAUAGAGACUUAUGGCAUAUUUUAACCUAUUUUUAAAUUGUUUUGAAUAUUUAUCUGCUUGUUUAAUUUUUAUAUUUUUUUGGAUUUUUAAUAAUUUUUGUGAAGUUUUUUAGAAUCAAGAUUAAAUUGAUAUAAUAUGCAAACAUUGAGGGUUAAAUUUAUUAAUUUUUAGAAUUAUGAUUAAUUUGACAGAAUGUGUAAACAUUAAAGGAUGAAUUUGUUAUUAUGUCAAUAAAAAAGUUACGUCAACAUUCUAUUAACAUUUAAUAGAUAAUUAACCAAAAAAAUUACUAUUGAUAACAUUGGUGACAAAACCAAAAAACGUGCUAAUACUUAGUGACUAACAACUCUUGGAUGCAAUGAUACGACUCAUUAUACUCUCAAGAAGAGAACACGAGUUUAAAAAUGAGACACAACAUUAUUAAGAGGGGGAUAAUAACAAACCUUAAACACUUACAGCAAAUAUAUAUCCAGAAUCAUAUGGUGCAUUAAACCAUUCAUUCAUCACUCCUUCAGCUAGCUUUUUGUUUGGUCCAAGAAUUCAUAGUUGGAAAUGUCAUGUAUAAAAUCAACCAUUUUAUUUCAUGUGGACUGGAUACCUUCUUUCUGUGACUUUGCUGCUUGGAAAUUUCCUUGGACCUUCGAAGAAAAUUAACUCCUUAAACUAGAGUUCUGUUCAAAUCAUGUAUAACUUGUGGUCAGAUCGGAAACAUGUGUUUCCGGAAAAUAUAGGUUCUAUUUCUAUUUCUAUGUUGUCUUCUACUUCUUUCUUCUUUGUGUUUUGUUGCAAAUUUCCUUAGUUUUCAGUAAUCUGAAAAUUUACUGCUUAAUUUAUUAAACCUCAAGAGAAAAGCUAUGGAUGAGAGGAUGAUACAGGCUGCCCAAACAGGAGAUAUUAACCUCUUGUAUGAGUUGAUUCUGAAUGAUCCAUAUGUUUUACAGCGUAUUGAUGAUGUGCCUUUUUUUCAUACUCCAGUGCAUGUAGCUGCCUCUGCUGGGCAUAUUGAGUUUAUGAUGGAGAUGAUCAAAUUAAAGCCGACGUUUGCGAGAAAGCUAAACCAAGCUGGGUUUAGCCCCAUGCACUUGGCUCUGCAAAAUGACAGAACUCAUGCAGUGCUUCGACUCCUCAGGUUUGAUGAAGGCCUUGUUCGUGUCAAAGGGAGGGAGGACCUCACUCCUCUGCACCAUGUAGUUCAAACUGGAAAUGUUGAUCUUUUGAUCAAAUUACUUGCGGUUUGUCCUGAGGCUAUUGAAGAUGUGACUGUUCGAGAUCUUGCAGUAAAAAACGACAUGUUUGAAGCAUUUCAAGUCUUGGUGGGGUGGCUUAUAAGGAGCCGCCAUGGAGCUGCACAACGUUGGGAGAAAGAACUGCUUAGUUGGGCGGACAUUGAUGGCAACACUGUGCUGCACAUUGCAGCUAUCAGACACAGACCUCGGGUAUAUGCUAAUUUUCCUAAUCAAGUCAAUUAUUGAUAUGUAUGUAAGUAUGAUAAAACGGUUAUUUAUAUAUGAAUAUUCUAAUUAACAGGUGAUGGAAGUAUUGCUGGAACACUUGCAUCCAUACCAAAUCAAUGCCAAAAAUUUGGAGGGACUGACAGCACUAGAUAUCCAAUCACAAUACCCAUGGAAUGAAAGGCAAGCGGAUAGGACUAUAGAUAUGCUAAGCAAAGCAGGAGGCUUGAGUGGUUCCUCUUCCUCGCUUCCCAAUACCUCCACCUCUUCAUUCCACAUCGAUUCUUUAAAAGAAAAGAUGACAUGGUAUGAAAAAUGGAUAAAAGCAGGUCGAAGAAUGAAGGGUAUGCCACAUGAGAUGCGUAACAUAUUACUCUGCUAAUUAUAACCACCACUUACGAUGCCUCUUUAAACCCUCCAAAUACGCCUGAUGACAGCCCAUUCAAGAACUACCAAUUCUCUUUAAGUCAAGAUCAGCCUCUCAAUUCCCACACAUUUUUGCAUAAAACCGACAUCAAUACUGCGCCCAUGCCCAGUCCCUCCGCAAUUGACUUUUUCAUAAAAGAUGAAUGGUCAUCUGAAUACUCCUCGUUUUGGGCUUACAACUCGUUAACCUUUUGGGCAGCAGUUUUUUUAACAGCAAUUCUCCUACCACCUCAUUCAUUCUGUACGUUGGUUGAUACUCCUAGCACUUACCGUGUUUGGGAGAUCUUACAUGCAUUUAGCUGCUGUUUCGACGUGGUCACGGGUACCAUUACCAUAUGCCAGUGAAAAGGCAUACUCAUAUUUUUCUUCAGGCUCCGUUUAUAAUCAAGCAUUCUUAACGUUUCUGCCUGUCCUUAUGGUAUUCCGGGCAAUCUUUUAUGACCCGCAAACAUUACCAAACCAAAUUUCUCCAUGCUACUAUUAUUUGGUAAAGUUCUCUGGCAUUGUAUCUUGGGAAAGUACUUAAGUAGUUAAAUUAGUUACUUAAGUUCUUUGCUACAUUGUAAUUGAUGAUCUGAUUCAAUACACAAAAUGAGCUCUUUUCUCUAUUUUCUAGUUACUAGUUCGUUUCUCUGAUUCUUUUCUGUUUUGCUUGCUAUCUCUGGUUGCCUUCCUUGCAACUGUCGCCGGAGCACUGCCAUUUUCACAUGGUAUCAAAGCAAAGGUUUUUCGACCAGUAGAUCGACGAUUACUCAUUUUUAUGGAUCCACCAUCAAUUCCCAUUGUUGCUUAGGUCAAUCUGUCUUUUACAAAUAACAAAAUCAGUGUUUAUCUUAAUGAUCAAUGUUUAUCAAAUAAGAAAAUGGUGGAAAUCCACUUUCAAAAUGAAAAUCACCUAAAAAUUGAAUUUAUAUUUUUUUGAAGUUUGAAAAUAGAAAUAAAUCAUUUGGUUAUAUUGAAUCGUUGAAUAUGAGAAUAUUAAAUAUAUUUUAUUCUAGAUUCUUCUACGUAAAGUCGUCAUGAUUUUAAUGGAAUUAGAAUUGGAUUGAGAAAAUUAUUUAAAUAAAAAAUAUCGGGUUGAAUCGAAUUAUAAAAUAUUGGAUUAAAAGCUCAAAAAGUACUUGGACUUGGACCCAAUAUGGAAUAGUCCCAAAAGCCCUUUAUGUGAAAAGAGGUGGAAGUCUAACCCUAGUAAAAAUAGCUAGGGUUGUCGCCACCUAUAUUCUUAGUUGGACCAGGAGUUCGUUUUACUAGUUGAAAUAAACUUCUAUAAUUCAACAAGAAUUCUACCUUAUUUCCCUAUAAAUAGAUUACAUCAGUAGGGUUAUUUACAUAACUUUCAGAUAUUAUUAUUUUGCCUGAAAAUAGAGAGAUUUUUAUUCUCUAAGAAUUAAAUAUAUUUUUUGGAAUAAUGAUUAUAUCGGUUUCUAUUUGAGAAGAGAUUUUCGUUUCCACAAAAAAAAAUAUUUCUAGUUCUGUGUUUGAUUCGAUUUAUUCGAGCCCACACUCAAAGUAGCUCGUGGUACGAGAAUAGCAUAAAAUAUCGUUUGGUUGAAAGUCGGGAACGACAAUAAUCCGUCUAUCCAAAAAUGCAGGUGCGAAUUCAGCCUAAAGUUUAUUACUAUAAAACCAUUUUUGAACCUAAUUUUUUUCAACAAGAAAAUCAUUUUCGAACCUAAUUUUUUUCAACAGUUAGUAUUAGAGCGUCAAGUUGUGCUAUGUUUAUAGUGUAAACCGAUAUCAAAAUUCUCUCUCUUCUUCAUGAUUAAUUAUAUUUGAUAAAAUGUGACAUUCUUGUGAUAAUAUGCAUGCAUGUUUAUGGGAAUGUAUGCGGAUGAAUAUAUGAUAUUAUUUUAUUGCUAUGGAUGAUAAAGUAAAUUUGCCAAAGUUGUGAUUCCUAGAAAAUAAUAAUAAUUUAUUAUUAAUUUAGAUUGUGAACUAUCAUCUUCAUGCAAGAUUUAUUUUAUUUUAGAAUAAAAUAUGUGAGUAGGAAACGGAAAUAGGAAUUUCGUAACCUAAAUUUUCCCACCGAAACCCGAGAACUGAGAUAACGCAAAUUCAACCUAGCCAAAACAGUAAUGGCCGGAGGUGGUUCGAUGAAAGUGGUCGGUGGUGAUCCGACGGUGAUCGGCAAUGGUGACAACACAAAAACGAUGGCGGAAAGACGAUGACAAAAACAUGAACCGCUAAAGCAGCAGAAGCCUGUGGCGACAAAAUUGAAGACUCAAAGUAUGCUUUGGGGUGAAUUUUGUAAUCUUAUUUUUAUUUAUUUUUGGCUUGUUAGAGUUGCGACCCAAAUUCUUUUUAAAAUAAAAUACCAGUGGCAAGAUGAGGGGAUCCACGAGGGCGACUUCUAUUAAAGUCAUGACGACUUUAUCAUACUAGAAUCUAUGAGUAAAUAAAUUUAAAUUGUCUUAUUUCGUAAAAUUGCAAUGACUAAUUGAUUUAAUUCCCACUUGAAACUUCAACUAUUUAAUUAUAACAAAUUAAUUAAUAAUUUAAAUAAAUUAAAUUAAUCAUUAAGUUAUCUUUUGUACCUCAUGAGAAAAUGCAUUCACUUCGAAUAGUGAUACAUGCAAUAUGUUUCUCUAUUUGUUGUUUUCAUUCACUCAACAUAUCAAUUCAAAUGCAAUUUAUAAAUGGUUGUGUUAAGCUAGCAAAGGGACAAUUGAAUAUAUAUAAUUAGGGCUCAAAUAAUUUAAAAUUAAGUUCUAACUCUUCCCUAUUAAUUACAACAUUAUUUAGUCAUAGAGUUAAUCCACUAAAAAUACCAUAACUAAAUUCUCUCUUAUUAUAUACCAUUACGAAAGCAACUGAAUUUAUAUUUGUCUAAUGACCUUAUCAUAUGUGUGUUGCCCUCAUAGGAUAUCAUUUAUCUCAUUGGGUUAAAUCUGUUCACACAAUAUGAUCAUAUUUUAUCUCAUGAUGACCACCGCAUCUUCCACCAUGAAAAAGCCAAUUACUAAUACAUAGUAAUUAAAUCAUUUUUCCUAGACAAAUGACCCAUGACAACGUUACUUCUCCAUCAACCACGCAAUGUCAAAGAGAAGAUAUCAUUAACCAUUUAUUAGGCUAUGAAUUUCAUUGUUGUAAGUAAACCAAUGUCAUGCAUAAGUGUAAUACCCAAUAUACUGACUUUUGGCUCUAUUACAAAUUGAACUCUGGCUUUCAAUAUAUCAAAGUAUACAAGUUACAUACACAUAGUCAGUUACUUAUUUAGGAUUGAGGUAAGUCAUACUAUGAAUGUCACAAGCAAAUAAAUCCAUAAACAAAUGUAGGAUAAAUUCAACUUGGGUCUUGUCUGAUGUAUUAUCAAUCUAGACAAUCACACCUAUGUCUCUAUGUUUUGGGGAGUCAUACGUUCCAGUGAGCCAAUAUUUACUUAUACAUUUUGGUUUUUAAUAAAAAAUCAUUGAGGAUAGAAAAAGGAUAAUAAUGUAAAUGAUGGAAUUUUACUAAAUAAUUUUAUUCAAAAAAUUACAAGCAUAUAUGACAAAAUAACUACACUAAAGACACUAGAUCAUAACAAAAGAAGCACUCUCUAUUUUUACAUUUCAUUUUAGAGUGACUAGCAUAAGCUUAUGGUGGAAAGUGAUAGCCAAAUCAUUUUGAAUCCAAUGUAAACAUGUUAUUUGUUAUGAUAUAUGGAAAAAUCUGACAAAAAUUAUAUAAAAAAAGGAAUGGUAAUAUUAUUAAAAGUGUAACAUUUGAAGUAUAAUGUAAUAGAAAAAUAUUUUACAAAUAGACAAAAUAUUAAUUUUAGUUGAGAUGUACUUUAAAAAUAUAUAAUAAAAAAUGGAAGAAUUUAAUUCAAUAGUUAUUAUUAUUUUGUUUAUGUUCAAGUAAAAUGAAUUAAAAUCAUUAAAAAUAAGAGUAAAAAAAAAAAAAGGUGAUAUACCUUCUAAUUCUUUGGUAUUAUUGGGAAUAUAAGGUUACCUACUUGUUAGUUGGAUUUUAUUUUUGGAUUGUAUUUUGUCCAUUUUAUUAAAAAAUGAUAAAUUAAUCUUGUUAGAUUAAAGAGCAAAUUAGUACUAUUAAAAGUUGGUUCAUUUACAUCAGCAUGAGAUACACAUGGCACGACGCGUGUAACUGUUUGAUUAUGUCAUCAGUCAUACCAAUUUUUAACGGUAAAAAGAGAAAAAAAUUUACAAAAAGAAAUUAUUUCCUUUUUGAUCCAACCUAAAAGAAUUAAACAAUUACAUUGUUUUUAAAUAAUAGUUUAAGAACAGAUAACAAUUACAUUGUUCUAAGCAUUGUAUCAAUAAAAAAAGAAAUCAAAUAAUUAAUUGCCAGCUCAUCAAUAUAUAUAUUUCAGAAUGCCUAAAUGGACAAAUAUAAAGUUUUGAAGGGUGAAAUUUUUAUAAUUUGAAAAAUAAAAAACAAAGUUAAAAUAUACUAGCGGUUUGAGAAUUAGGUUAUUGCAUGGGAACCAUCUAUUGUAAGAAUGUUAUAUGGUCUAAGAGGGCAAAUGAUUCUGCUCAUUUUAUAAAAUAUACAUCAUGUUUUUUCUUCCUUAUGGAGUCUUCAUUUUUCUUUUAUUGGGAAUUAUCCAUAUUUAUGGAAAAUCAAAGAUAUGGGUAUCAAAUAAUAGAAAGUCAAAGAUAUGGAUAUCAAAUAUUGGAAAGUCAAAGAUAUGGGUAUCGAGAUAUUGGCAUAAUAAAAUCUGAGAUAUUUGCAAUAUAUGGUCCCUAAUUGUAAAGUGACUUUGCAAGUUGAUCCCUGAACCUCAACUAUAAAUAAGCAUGACCAUCUCUCAUUCUGUAUCUCAAACUUGCCAUUCUCUACUUAAGGCAUUGUUUUCUCUCUCUCUCUUUGUAAAUUCUCACUUGUAUUUUGGAGUGAAAUAUAUUUGGUAGUGGCCGAGGACGUAGGCAAAAUUUGCUGAACCUCGUUAAAUUAUUGUGUUCUUUAUUGUAUUAUUCUGCAUGAAUUGUGUGUGUGAUUGUAGUGAUUUAUUGUGCUAUUAAAUUACGAUUGAGGGAUAUUCUGGCUAGGAAAGACCUGGUACUUAAGAGAUCCUUGUGAUCCACCUCUCUUUCCUGGGAAUUGAACUUAGUGUGAUUUUUUAGUACAAUAAUUUUACUCUUUUACACGCUUCCGCACAACAAUUGGUAUCAGAGCUAGAUUCAUACUUGGGGAAUACGAUCGUUCACGGCACUGUUCACGUACUGUAGUUGGGAUUGAGGAGAAAAAAUGGAAAAGGCAUCGUCAUCAACAAAGACUACUGUGACCAAUGCGAAAUUUGAAGUAGAGAAAUUUGAUGGUACCAAUAAUUUUGGUAUGUGGCAAUGUGAGAUUCUGGAUGUCUUAUGUCAGCAAGAGCUGGAUAUAGCCCUUGAAGAAAAACCUGACAAGAUCGAUGACAAGGAGUGGGCCAAGAUCAAUAGACAGGCAUGUGGAACAAUUCGCCUAUGUUUGGCCAAAGAGCAGAAGUACUCUGUCAUGGAGACAUCAGGGAAGAAGUUGUGGGAUACACUGGAAGAAAGUUUCUAACAAAAAGUCUUGAAAAUAGGCUUUAUAUGAAAAAGAAACUUUAUCGGUUCACGUAUGCACCCGAUAUGUCGAUGAAUGACCAUGUGAACUCAUUCAAUAAAAUUUUAGCAGACUUGCUAAAUUUGGAUGAGAAAUUUGAAGAUGAAGACAAGGCAUUACUGUUGUUGAAUUCUCUUCCUGAUGAAUAUGAUCAUCUUACCACCACAUUGCUUCAUGGGAAGGAUAUAAUCACAUUUGAUGCAGUCUGUAGUGCGUUGUAUAGAUCUGAAACUCGAAAGAAAGAUAAAAAAGAUCACAAAGAUACAACUACAGAAGUCUUAACAGUAAGAGGUCAUUCACGCAGCAACAAAUCUGGUAGAAUGAGUAAGUCCAAAGGGAGACCUGCCAAAGAUAAAUAUGCUUUUUGUCGUGAGAAAGGGCAUUGGAAAAAGAAUUGUCCUAAGUUACAAAAGGGUAAAGCUAUUUCUGAUACAUGUGUAGCGGAGCAUGAUGAGGAAUCAGACUUUAGCUUGGUUGGCAUGGCAAUGGCAUGUCAUACAGAUGAGUGGAUUUUGGAUUCAGGAUGUACUUACCAUAUGUGUCCUAAUAAGGACUGGUUUUCUAGUCUUGAAGAACUAGAAGGUGGAGUUGUUUUUAUGGGCAAUGAUAGCACUUGUAAGACAAUGGGAGUAGGUACAAUCCAAUUGAGGAAUCACAACGGCUCAAUUCAAGUCUUGACAGAUGUUCGCUACAUACCUAGCUUGAAGAAAAAUCUUAUCUCAUUAGGGGUCCUAGAUCUAAAGGGCUCACAAUCACUUUGAGAGAUGGAUUACUAAAGGUAGUAGCUGGGGUAUUGACGGUGAUGAAAGGCACAAGAAGGAAUAAUAUGUACUAUUUAAAUGGAAGUACAGUUAUUGGAUCAACAUCAACAGCUUCUACGAAAGAUGCAGAUUUAGAGGCUACCAGGUUAUGGCAUAUGCGAUUGGGACAUGCUGGUGAAAAAGCUUUGCAGAGUUUGGCGAAGCAAGGCUUGUUGAAAGGUGCAAAUUCUUGCAAAUUGGAAUUCUGUGAACAUUGUCUUCUGGGCAAGCAGACGAGGAUAAAAUUUGGUUCAGCAAUUCACAAUACAAAAGGAAUUCUGGAGUACGUUCACAGUGAUGUGUGGGGACCUACUAAAGUGGCUUCUUUGGGAGGUAUGCACUAUUUUGUUACUUUUGUUGAUGAUUAUUCAAGAAAAGUAUGGGUGUAUCUAAUUAAAAGGAAAAAUGAAGUUUUGGAUGUAUUUCUGAAAUGGAAGAAUAUGGUGGAGACCCAGACUGGUCAAAAAGUCAAACGACUUCGAUCAGACAAUGGUACUGAGUACAAGAAUGAUCCAUUUCUACAAGUAUGUCACGAUGAAGGCAUUGUAUGACACUUCACUAUUCGAGAUACACCAAAACAGAAUGGGGUGGCAGAACGUAUGAAUCGAACUAUACUGGAGAAAGUUCGAUGCAUGUUGUCCAAUGCUGGAUUGGGCAAAGAAUUUUGGGCUGAGGCAGUUACAUAUGCGUGCCAUCUAAUUAAUCAGUUGCCAUCAGCUGUAAUAAAUGGAAAAACUCCUAUGGAGAGGUGGGCUGGUAAACCUGCUACUGAUUAUGAUUCUUUACAUGUUUUUGGUUCCACUGCAUAUUAUCAUGUAAAAGAAUCUAAGUUAGACCCAAGAGCAAAGAAAGCAUUAUUCAUGGGUAUAACUGGUGGAGUAAAAGGAUACCGUCUCUGGUGUCCUGAUACAAGGAAAAUUAUUUUCAGUAGAGAUGUGACUUUUGAUGAAUCAACCAUGAUGAAGAACAAUGAUUCACAAAAGGAUAACACAACCAGUGGCACUUUGCAGCAGGUGGAGCUUGAAAAGGUUAAUGAUGAUCCAGCUAAUAUUGAAGGAACAAAUGAUGAAGAAGUUUCGACCCAAGAACUUCUACAGCAACAUGAUUCAAUUGCAUAUAGAAGGCCAAUAAGAGAGAUUUGUAUGCCUGCUCGCUUUAAUGAUAUGGUGGCCUAUGCACUUUCCAAUUACAGAUGAUGAUGUUCCUUCUACUUACACAGAAGCAAGAAGUAACCCUGAUGGUGUAAAGUGGAAGCAAGCUAUGAAUGAAGAAAUGCAGUCACUUCAUAAAAAUAGGACUUGGGAGUUGGUGACACUACCCAAAGGAAAGAAGGCAAUUGGAUGCAAAUGGGUAUAUUCAAAGAAGGAAAGAUUUCCUGAUAAAAAUGAAGUUCGAUACAAGGCUAGAUUGGUAGUAAAGGGUUACGCUCAGAAAAAAGGAAUAGACUACAAUGAAGUAUUUUCUCCAGUUGUGAAGCAUUCGUCUAUUCAGAUUUUGCUAGCCUUGGUUGCGUAAUAUGAUCUUGAACUAGUUCAGCUCGAUGUGAAGACCACAUUUUUACACGGUGAUUUGGAAGAGGAAAUCUAUAUGACUCAGCCAGAUGGAUUCAAGGUUACUGAUAAAAAAAUUGGGUUUGCAAACUGACAAAGUCACUUUAUGGAUUGAAACAAUCUCCGAGGCAGUGGUACAAGAGAUUUGAUCAGUUCAUGAAAGGGCAAAGGUAUACAAGAAGUAAAUUUGAUCAUUGCGUGUAUUUUUAGAAGCUACAAGAAGGAUUUUUCGUAUACUUGCUCUUAUAUGUUGAUGAUAUGUUGAUAGCAUCUAAGAGUAAAGUUGAAAUUGAGAGAUUGAAGACUCAACUCAACCUUGAGUUUGAGAUGAAAGAUCUAGGUGAAGCUAAGAAGAUCCUUGGCAUGGAAAUAUGUAGGGAUAGAGCUCAUGACAGAGUUAGUUUGUCUUAGAAGCAAUAUUUAAAGAAGAUACUACAGAAGUUUGGCAUGAACGAGCAGACUAAAGUUGUAAGUACCCCGUUGGCUUCUCAUUUCAAGCUUUCUACACAACUAUCUCCUUCGACAAAUAUGGAACAAGAAUACAUGUUACAAGUUCCGUAUUCUAAUAUGCAAUUGUGUGUACAAGACCCGACAUUUCACAGGCAGUUAGUAUAGUGAGCAGGUAUAUGCAUAAUCCUGGAAAAGGACAUUGGCAAGCUGUGAAAUGGAUUCUACGGUAUAUUCAUAAGACCAUGGAUAUUGGAUUACUGUUCAAGCAGGAUACUACACUUGGUAAAGGUGUUGUUGGGUACGUUGAUUCUGAUUAUGCCGGUGAUUUGGACAAACGGAGAUCAACCAUUGGUUAUGUGUUUACUCUUGCUGGAGGACCAAUAAGUUGGAAGUCUACACUGCAGUCUACAGUUGCAUUGUCAACCACAUAAGCUGAAUACAUGGCUGUAACAGAGGUUGUAAAGGAAGCUAUUUAGUUACAAGGUAUGGUUAAAACCUUGGGUUGGUUCAGGAGCAUAUUAAUGUGUAUUGUGAUAGUCAAAGUGCUAUUCAUUUAGCAAAGAAUCAAGUCUAUCAGGCACGUACAAAGCAUAUCGACGUACGUUUCCAUUUUGUGCGGGAAAUUAUUGAUAAGGGGAAAAUUCACCUUCAGAAGAUUAAGACUGCAGAUAAUCCUGCAGAUAUGAUGACCAAGGUGGUAACAACAAUCAAGUUCGAACAUUGUUUGAACUUGAUCAAUAUUCUGCAUGUUUAACAGUUGAAGAAUCCACUAUCAAGUGUUGUUGACAAAGGCAGAGAGAAUUGUGUGAAGAUAAGAUUACUCGAAUCAAAUCUUCAAGGUGGAGAUUAUUGGGAAUUAUCCAUAUUUAUGGAAAAUCAAAGAUAUGGGUAUCAAAUAAUAGAAAUUCAAAGAUAUGGGUAUCAAAUAUUGGAAAGUCAAAGAUAUGGGUAUCGAGAUAUUGGCAUAAUAAAAUUUGAGAUAUUUGCAAUAUAUGGUCUCUAAUUGUAAAGUGACUUUGCAAGUUGAUCCCUGAACCUCAACUAUAAAUAAGCAUGACCAUCUCUCAUUCUGUAUCUCAAACUUGCCAUUCUUUACUUAAGGCAUUGUUUUCUCUCUCUCUCUUUGUAAAUUAUCACUUGUAUUUUGGAGUGAAAUAUAUUUGGUAGUGGCCGAGGACGUAGGCAAAAUUUGCUGAACCUCGUUAAAUUAUUGUGUUCUUUAUUGUAUUAUUCUGCAUGAAUUGUGUGUGUGAUUGUAGUGAUUUAUUGUGCUAUUAAAUUACGAUUGAGGGAUAUUCUGGCUAAGGAAGACCUGGUACUUAAGCGAUCCUUGUGAUCCACCUCUCUUUCCUGGGAAUUGAACUUAGUGUGAUUUUUUAGUACAAAAAUUUUACUCUUUUACACGCUUCCGCACAACAUCUUUAAUGAUAAAAGCUUAAAGAAUAAUCUUUAAAAUUUGGUUGUUGGUAGCUUUAUUUGGGUAGAAUUUGAGAUUUAGUUCAUAUAUUUUAAAUGUUAAAAUUUUAAUUUUUUUUACUUUUUCAAUUUAAUAUUGUAAAAUAAAACCAUAAAAAAAUUGUGUACAAAUAGUAUUGAAUUUACAUAAAAAUAUAUAAAAAAUGCAGCAUAAAUUUGAAUAAUAAUACAUGAACACUUAAAAUGAUAAUAUAUGAAAAAAAACUUAAGAUAAUAAUAUACGAUAAAUUUAAACAAUAUUAAUAAUGAAUUUAAAAUAAUAUUAAGCAUAAAUAUUAAAAUAAGGUUAGAUUUAAAAAUAUAUAAAAAUAAUGGAAUAAUAAAUACUUAAAUAAAUUAGAAAAAUAAGCAAAUUAAAUCAAGCUAAUAAGGAUUAAAUUGGAUUUAAAACAAAAUUAGAAGGCAAAAACGUAAAUAAAAUAAAAUNNNNNNNNNNNNNNNNNNNNNNNNNNNNNNNNNNNNNNNNNNNNNNNNNNNNNNNNNNNNNNNNNNNNNNNNNNNNNNNNNNNNNNNNNNNNNNNNNNNNGAAAUAUCCCCGCCUUUUGAAAUGCAUCGUUUCACCAGGACCAAAUCAAAAACCAAAUAAAAUUUAAAGUAUCAAUUGAAGAAAAUAAAAAAAUUUUGAAUUAAAAUAAUAAAAAAUACGGAGGGGGCAAAUGCAUAAAUAUCCUUACCAAGACCAGAACAGGCAGAUCUAGCUGCCUCUGGGUCGAGUCAUCGGGUAUAGUCAAUACGGCACCGUUUUGGAGCCAUUGAAACAGACUUUAAAUGGUGCCGUUGCAUGGCCUUUAUAAAACAAAAAAAAAAAGAAAAAUAAACAAGUUUUUAGCCAUUUCGAAUCAGAUAAAAACCUUAGCCACACGCCGUUUAGAAGCCUGGCCAUUCAAAGGCCAAUCGAUCCCUGUCUGAACUUCGAUUGCGACAGAGUGAGCAAGGAUUCGACACCACCAAGUAAUUUUCUCACCUUAAAUCGUUUUUUUCUUUUUUUACACAUGAUGAGUAAACAAAUAGAUGAGUCUAGAACAGAAAAGAAAAACAACGAAAAGAAAAAAAAGGUUUCAAAUCACCUUUAGAAAAUUCUGAUUCUUUGAUUUUUCGUCCCCUUUUAUAGAUUUGUAAUUGGCUUUUUAUAGCCGAAACGAAAAAAAGAAAAUAUGUAAAAAAGAAAUCUAUUAUGUUAUCUAGCUAUUUUCAUUUGCUGGCAUAUUGUUGCUCGCUUUUUACUGUUAUUCGUUUCUGUUUCAGGUGUACGAAGGAGCGAUGACGUGGAGGUGCAACACGCGUGGAGGCCUGGUUCCCAGCUGCGGCGUGGACUGUUCCAAAAACCCUAGGGGUUUCUGGAGAUUUCAAAUUGGGCCACUUCAAAUCGGGCUAGGGUUUAAUUAAGUCUAGGAUUGUAUUGGGUCUAGGAUUGGGUUAGAUUUUGGGUUUAGGCCUCAAUCCGAAUUUGGCCUAUUGUAACUGAACUUUUGGACUUAUUAAUGGUUAUUUUGGGUAUUGGGCUAUUAGGGUUUGUUGGGUUUGGGUUUUAGAUAUUUGGGCUGAUUUGUGUUUGUUUAUUUUGGGUUGUUUGUGUAAUUCUGGACUUUUUAUUUUAUUGGACUUUUAUUUUUUGAUUUGGUUUUUUUUUUGUGUGGGCUCGAGCAGAUUGGGCCUGCUACAAUAUUGAUGCAAAACUUUGUCACUAAAGUGCAAAUUGUAACAAUAGUUAAGUAGUCUUUUGUUCGAAUAACAUUAGAAGCACAUCAAAGUCAAAGCACAUAGACUUUAAGUUCAUUGUUGUUAAAAUAAAAGUUUAGGGUGGUUAGAUGUCUAUAAAGUAUAUUGAGACAAACUCCAUGGUUGUGGAUUCGCUUAUUAAGGGACUACCACCCAAAGCUUUUUUCCUGAGCACACUGUUGAUAUGUGUGUAAUGUCAUUCAAGGAUAUUUGAUUUUAGUAGGAGUUUGUACUUUUAAACGUUUUUAUGUUAUAAAUACAUUUUCAAUUAUUUUAGUUUACAAAUAUUAAGUUUUUUUUUUUUUGUAGAAAGAAAGUUUAUUUGGUAAAGUUUGAUCUCACUAAGAUUAAUGUGGACCGGUUAGAAUAUGCAUGUUUGAAUCAUAUUACAUGUAAUUUUCAUGUUACACAUCCAUACUUAAUCUAUGUCAUUUGGUUGUGCUAAUAUAUGUGAUUAAGGCUGGAUUUAGUUAUGAUAUAUGUAACAAAGUUGCAUUCUUUCUAUGUUAACAUAAUUAAUGGACAGAUUGUUCGAAAUACCUUUUAGAUACGAUAGUAAAAUUUUGAGCUCAUAAGGUUAUAUAAUGACAUGUAAUUAUAAGGUAAUCGGUAUAUAUAUAUAUGUCAUCCAAGUGGUAUAUAUGGACAUCACAUAUAUAAUAAGCAUGUUACAUGUUAUUAUUUACUAUCAUAAAAGAUUAACUCAAAUUAAAAGUGACCUAAUUUGGUUAAGAUUUAUUGGAUUUUAGUUAUUAAAUAAAAUAAUAGGUCAAUAAUAUGUGUAGAUACUCUAGUAACUAAUUUCUAAUUUAUGAUGGGCGGAUUAGAAAUUAGGUUAAUGUGAAAAUGUUAUAUAUUAGNNNNNNNNNNNNNNNNNNNNNNNNNNNNNNNNNNNNNNNNNNNNNNNNNNNNNNNNNNNNNNNNNNNNNNNNNNNNNNNNNNNNNNNNNNNNNNNNNNNNNNNNNNNNNNNNNNNNNNNNNNNNNNNNNNNNNNNNNNNNNNNNNNNNNNNNNNNNNNNNNNNNNNNNNNNNNNNNNNNNNNNNNNNNNNNNNNNNNNNNNNNNNNNNNNNNNNNNNNNNNNNNNNNNNNNNNNNNNNNNNNNNNNNNNNNNNNNNNNNNNNNNNNNNNNNNNNNNNNNNNNNNNNNNNNNNNNNNNNNNNNNNNNNNNNNNNNNNNNNNNNNNNNNNNNNNNNNNNNNNNNNNNNNNNNNNNNNNNNNNNNNNNNNNNNNNNNNNNNNNNNNNNNNNNNNNNNNNNNNNNNNNNNNNNNNNNNNNNNNNNNNNNNNNNNNNNNNNNNNNNNNNNNNNNNNNNNNNNNNNNNNNNNNNNNNNNNNNNNNNNNNNNNNNNNNNNNNNNNNNNNNNNNNNNNNNNNNNNNNNNNNNNNNNNNNNNNNNNNNNNNNNNNNNNNNNNNNNNNNNNNNNNNNNNNNNNNNNNNNNNNNNNNNNNNNNNNNNNNNNNNNNNNNNNNNNNNNNNNNNNNNNNNNNNNNNNNNNNNNNNNNNNNNNNNNNNNNNNNNNNNNNNNNNNNNNNNNNNNNNNNNNNNNNNNNNNNNNNNNNNNNNNNNNNNNNNNNNNNNNNNNNNNNNNNNNNNNNNNNNNNNNNNNNNNNNNNNNNNNNNNNNNNNNNNNNNNNNNNNNNNNNNNNNNNNNNNNNNNNNNNNNNNNNNNNNNNNNNNNNNNNNNNNNNNNNNNNNNNNNNNNNNNNNNNNNNNNNNNNNNNNNNNNNNNNNNNNNNNNNNNNNNNNNNNNNNNNNNNNNNNNNNNNNNNNNNNNNNNNNNNNNNNNNNNNNNNNNNNNNNNNNNNNNNNNNNNNNNNUUUUAAGUAAUUUAAUGAAAGUAAUUAAGUUAAGAAGAAAAGAGAAAUGGAUAAGUAUAUAAUAAUACAUAAUUUGUUAAAUAUAUAAAGAAAUUUAUUUAAUUUAGUACCUAAAUAUUAAUAUUCGAAACUCUCGAUUUUUCACAAUUUAUUCAAUCAAAUUUAGAUCCAACUUUAAUUAUAUUACAAAGACAUUCUAUUUUAUUAUUUAUUAACGGGUGAAAAAACAUAGUUCAACCCAUAAACAUUGACCACAAAGGGAAAUUUGAAACACUUACCACCAUUCCCCUAUCAGAAAGUCUUUCCCACAUUCAACUAGAAAUCAGAGCUCACCAAAAUGUUUAUUCUUUUCAAUCUGAACCGACUCUACAAUCACUUAUUGCUCAUGGUCUUCAGCCUAUAAACCCAGAAGCAUUAUUAACUUCUAAAUCCAAAACACUAAUAUCAGCAUCCAACCCUAUAAUGAUAGUCUUAUUGACUCAUUUAAACAAGUUUCCUUUGUCAGUCUAUCAUAUUCCGUAUUUGGUAAUCGCCAAUAUGAAUUCAGAAUUUAGGAUAGCUGGAAUAAGAAUAACAGCAAAGAUGCAAAGGGAAACGACUUGUAGGAGGAGGAAGAACCUUCUUUUGGGUACAAACCUGUAUAGCAUAUAAUAGGAUGUCCUGUAUAAUGUCACGAGAGCUAGAACCGUUGCAAAGCAGUAAUUAGUAAUGCUGAGUUUAGAAUAGGAAACGGAUCCAGGAGGCGAAAGAUAGAGAGGAUACUGAAGUUCGAGUGUCCGUAUGGAAACAGCAACUAAAAGCAUGUAACAGGUCCCAAACAAGGAAAGUGUUAUGAGAAUAAACAAGCAGAUUGAACGGCUGGGUAGGAGACAGGCAGUUAAAACAGUUGCUGCCCAAAAGGUUAAAGUGUUGUAUAACCAAAACAUUGUGGACACGUCUAGUAUAUGUUUUAUUUUUUUUUCUUCAGUGGGUGAAGGACUUGGUACGGGUCCAUUGCUGGUUGAACCUAAAGAUAUGUCAUACGUGAGAUGGAAAUCCUGGGAAUUUGAAAUGGUAUCAAGCUGCUUUGGAGGGUUCAAAGUGGCAGUGUAUGUGGCUGUUAUAAUUAGCACUGUGACUACUAAAAAUGUGUUACGCGUCUCAUGUGGGAUUCCCUUCUUUCCACGACUUGCUACUGUUGCAAAUUUUUGAAGAACUGACACCUUUCCUUUUAAAGAUUCGAUGGGGAUUGAAGAGAUGGAGGCUUUGGGAAGCGAGGAAGAGGAACCACGCAAACCUCCUGCUUUGCUUAUCAUAUCUUUAAUGGACUCCUUAUAGUCCACUCUCCCUUCAUCCAAUGUGUAUUGUGAUGGGAUAUCAAGUGCAGUCAAUCCCUCCGCAUUUUUGGCAUUGAUAUGGUCUCCACACAAGCGUUUCAGCAGUACUUUUACCACCUGUUAAUUAGAAUAUUCAUACAAGUAACCUUUGAGUAUAUAUAUACAUAAAUAAUUUUACUAGCAAAAUUAUCAUACCUGAGGUCUGUUUCUGAUAGCAGCAACAUGUAAAACAGUGUUGCCAUCAAUGUCUGCCCAACUCAGUAGUUCUUUCUCCCAACGGUUGGCAGCUUUAUGGCGGCUCCUUAUAAGCCACCCCACCAAGACUUGGAAAGCUUCAAACCUGUCAUUUUUUACGGCAAGAUGGAAAACCGUCUCAUCUCGAACAGUCACAUCUUCAAUAGCCUCGGGGCAAACCUCAAGGAACUUGAUCAAAAAAUCAACAUUUCCAUUUUGAACCACAUGAUGCAAAGGAGUGAAGCCCUCCCGCCCUUUGACACGAACAAGGCCUUCAUCAAACCUGAGGAGUCGAAGCACUGCUAGAGUUUUUUGAUUUUGCAGAGCCAAGUGCAUGGGGCUAAACCCAGCUUGGUUUAGCUUUCUUGCAAACGAUGGCUUUAAGUUGAUCAUCUCCAUCAUAAAAUCAAUAUGCCCUGCAGAGGCUGCUACAUGCAAAGGAGUAUGGAAAAAAGGUACAUCAUCGAUACGCUGUAAAACAUAUGGAUCAUUCAGAAUUAACUCGUACAAGAUGUUUAUGUCUCCUGUUUGUGCAGCACCUAUCAUCCUCUCAUCCAUAGCAAGGUGCGGAAAUUUGCAGAAUAUAGAAAUGGAGUGAAGAAAAAACGCUUUAGCAGAGGAUAUGAUUAUGUUAAGGAUAUAAUGAAGUGUUUGAUU
Molecule: long non-coding RNA, 115882 nt
Filed under: Gossypium raimondii (Peruvian cotton)
Lineage: Eukaryota; Viridiplantae; Streptophyta; Magnoliopsida; Malvales; Malvaceae
Description: long non-coding RNA (GRAI_LNC009644)
Source: RNAcentral